AGAGACUGUUUCAAAGGAGAAAGGAGAGAUGCUUCACCUCCAAGAUACUUCUUUAACACCAGAUUUUAAGCAAAGUCCUGCACAUGCUUCAUGGGAGGAGGCUGAGCUUGUUUGCCUCAGUGAUGCUACUUCAACACCAGUUUCAGCUGAUCCUCGAGAUAUCUUAAUGGGAGAAGCUAUUUUAAAGGAGGAGGAGGAGCUGCUUCACCUCCAAGAUACUUCUUUAACACCAGAUUCGAAGGAAAGUCCUGCAGAUGCCUUGAUGGAGAAGGCUGAGCUCGUGUGCCUCAAUGAUGUCACUACUUCAACAUCAUCAGAUUCUGAUACAAAUCCUGAACAUGUCUUAAAGGAAACUCAACUUAUGCCCCUCCAUGAAACAUCUCCAGAAGAGGUUCCUGAGUCUUUCACAACAACUGAAACUCCUAUUGAGACAUAUAAGGAGAGGGACACAAACCAAGCUGAUAUGACCUCUCUAGAAUCCGAAUAUGUAGUUGUAUCACCUUCAAAAUCUACAAACUCCAUGCUUGAAUAUUCAAAUGAAAACUGUAAGUUUUCUCUACACCAUUGCUCCUGUAGGAUUUAAAUUAUUGUGAAAUAGUUAUUAGUCUCUUAUGAAAUAAACACAUUUUCAUAUCAGGUGUAUCAGACAACAAGAAAGAAACAUCUCUUACAUUGUCUGAGAUGGCUUCUCACACAGUAGCUGCUCCUGAGUCAGAAUCCUCUUCUUUCAACUCAAUGUCAGUAGCAGCAGAAACAAACCUUGAUUCAUGCGAGUGGACUCAAGGAGGUGGUGAGUUGCUGGAUCUUGCUGAUGCAUACAAAAACAUCAUUGUACACAACGAGAGUAAUAGAGAAGCUCAUAUAGAGCAAUGGAUGAGUAAAGACACUUCUAGAGUCAGCCAAGACCUCAAAGCACUACUCACUCAAAUCUCAGCUUCUCGUAUAAGCCCCAGGAUAUCUAUUGUUGAUCAGGAGACAAAGAACCUAGACUAUGAAGAUAUGCAGUUGCUGAUUCAAAAGAGAAUGCUGGAGAGAAACGAGAGCACCUUAUCAUUAGAAGGUGUUUCCGUGAGCGAGAUAGAAGGAGAAAGCGAGGUUGAGAGGUUGAAAAGACAGGUUGAUCACGACAGGAAGUUUCUCACCGGUUUAUACAAAGAGUUGGAGGAAGAGAGAAGCGCUUCGGCGGUUGCUACUAACCAAGCGAUGGCUAUGAUCACGAGGCUGCAGGAAGAGAAGGCUACGUUUCAGAUGGAGGCUUUGCAGAACCUUAGGAUGAUGGAGGAGCAGGCUGAGUAUGAUUUGGAGGCGAUACAGAAACUUAAUGAGCUGCUUGUUGAGAGAGAGAAGGUUAUUCAGGAAUUAGAAGCUGAGAUUGAUUACUUCAGGAGCAAGAAUGUGACUGAGAGAGUGAGCGACAAGGUACAGAACUGUUUAAGUGGUUUUGAUGAGGAGAGAUUGUAUAUCACUAGUUGUUUGGAGAAGAUUGAAAACAUGGUGCAAGAAGAAGAUGUGGAUGGUGAGGCUCAUGUUGAUAACUUAGCAAGGCAAGAGUCUGUUACUGAGCUACGUGAGAGAGUAGAGAAGCUGAAGGGAGACUUUGAUUUUUUAGAGCAUGUUGUGAGUUCUCUUGGGCAUGGGAGUGAAGGUGUACAGUUUGUUGAGGAAAUAGCUUCUCAUUUGCAAACCCUCAGCAUGAAAAGACAUAAUCAUACAGAGUGUUGAUGCCGGUUCUACCUGUAAUCACAAAGGUAUGUCCUCUAUAGUUAUCUCAUUGUUGUACAAAUUUCUAGUUUUCAUAUCUGUUUUUUUUUUAUUAGAUAACUUUGUGUAGAAGAUACUGCAGAAGAAUAUAAACGAAGCCAAGAGUGGUGAAAAAACUUAAGCAAACUGUACAGCAUUUUCUUCAUGGCCUUUCCCCCUUUAUUAUACAAUAAUAAUCUCAAUAUUUUACAGUAUUCAGGAAUGAUUCAUAUUGUUUUGGGGUUUGGUGUUUAUAUUGUCCUUGUGGAUUUUCAUUUUCUGUGGGUUUGGUUUGCAUUUUCUAUGAUUUUUCUUGUAGGAUUUGUGUGAAGAGUGUUUGUAUGUAUGUGUGUGUGUGGAAGGGGGAGGGGGAGUGUUGAAGUUUUCAUUUUAUAUUUUUUAAUUAGUUAAAUUGAUACUUUGUUAAGCUUGAUGUAACUUUUUCGCCUAUAAUAACAUGGUGAAAAAGUUUAAGCCUGCUUAAGCCUCUGUUAAACUGAUACUCCUUUGCUGGUUUUAGUAAACAAAGUUAAAUAAAGAACCUCGAGUUUGAAAAAUAACAAGACAUUCAUCAUUGUUUUCUGCAUUAGAAGUCUAUUUCUCACCGAACAAAAGAAGUAUAUUUCUCUUUGACAUUAGAAAAGAAGUUUGAUAGGAAAAAUUUAGAAGCAAAAACCUAGUAUAUCUAUAAUAGAAUUACUCUUGGUCUUUGGUGAAAAUAAAAGUUGGAUAACAACAAACCAAGACCUUUAUGCAUCUUUGUCAAUUCUUCUUUUAGUUUGUAACUUCAAUAGUUUGCUCUUCUGUCUUAAUCACCUCCUUAAAUAAACCCUCGUUAGCUGCCAUAAUAUCACAACACUUCCUUUGUCUCACUUCUUUGGUUAAUUAUACUGUAUAACAGAACAUGCAACAGCUUGUGCCCAAUGCCUCAGCCUCGUUUUAACCUGUUGGGGGUUAUCUCCUGAAAGUUUACUUUUAGUAAGUUAUAUCAUUCCAACACUUAUACGAUGAUACAUGUUAAAUAACAGAAUGCGUUUAAAUCAUCUUAUAUUUUUUUUUGUUCUAUUUCUAAAUUUUCUUAUAUAACAGAGGAACUAUUAAAUAAAUAUGAGUUUUUGUUCUAGUAGUCCUCUAUUAUAUAUAGUAGAACUAAUGUUAUAUAUUUUUUUAUUUAAAUGAAUGCUAUUUUGUCUUUAUAAUAAAAGACAAAAUAUAACAUUUCCUUAUAAUAGAAAAAUAUAUUAUUCAGGAAUUUAUUGUAGCAAAAACUCAUAUUUAUAGAAGAAAAAAUAGAAAUGAGUUAAAGAUCUCUUAUAAAAAUGCGGCAACAUGAAAAAAAAAAGUUACCUGGAGACAUAAAUUUCAAUCCUUCCGAGUCGCUCAUAGGACUACCAAAGGAGGAGGAACCUUCUCCAAGGGAAGUAAGUCUAGACGACGAAGAUCCACCGCUGCUUGGUGUAGAAACCGGCGAGAUCUGACGGUUCACAGCGAAGUAAAGGUCCAAAGCAGGCAACGUAGUUGUAAGUUGUUGUCCUUGCUCCUCAUUAAAACCAAACCCUAACUCAAUAGAACCUUUGAGCUCACUCAAGUCCUCGUCUGUUAAGUCAAUAUCUCCUCCUUCGUUUAUUUGCUUCAUCUCGAGGUGAUGGAGCAUCUGGCGACGGCGACGCUCCCAUGCCUUGUCUCUUUUGGUCUCCAGCAUUGAGAGUUGCUUCGAGAGACGUUUCUUGGGUUUAGCUCUCGGUGGUUCUAGUGACAUCUUUUGAAGCUCGUCAGCUUCACUUUCGUUGAGAGAUGAGGACGAUGAGGUUGAUACACUCAAUGCUUCACCAACCCUCACCAUUUUUCACUAUUGUUUUUUUUUUUUAUGAUUAUAUAUGUAUAUAUAUCACAAAAAGUCAAAUCAUAUGGGAUCUGUGCCUUGUUGUACAAGUUAGGUCAUGUGUAUAUCUGCAUGUUUUCCUUGUUUGUAUGCAAGAAUUAAGAAAAAGGACUUAAACAGAAGCAAAAGUUGUAUGCUAACCGAACAGAGAUAAAUGGUUUGUGAUGGAGAAGGAGAUCGACUCCAAGGAUUUAGUGAAAACCCUAGAGAUCUCUCUCCCUCACCGCCGAAACUAUUCUUGUCUGGAGCAAAAUAUAUAAACGGUAGAAUGAUGGAGAGGGAGAUUGAUUCUGUUUGGUUUUAUGUGUUGUUGCAGUUAGUACAGCAUGUUUCGUUUGCCAUAUUUAAUGGUCUAUUCCCUCUGUUAAAUGCCUGGGGAGAUCCUGGAACUCUUCUAUAUGGUUUCUGUUGGAAUAACCAACUCUUUCUUGAUUUAGGUUUGUAAUUUUAAUUUAAACGUUAUGCUCUAUAAACUAUUUCUUGUUAUUAGCCUAAUAUUAAACAAGAGAAACAAACGUAUUAUAUUAAAUUGUUUUUUAUUGGAUAAAUACUUUAUUUAUUUAGGGAUAUAGUAACUGCAUUAAAUAAUUUAUAUGUUUGGGUUGUAAUUUGCAAAAUCUACAUACGUAAAGCAAUUUUGCAAUAGGUGACUUGUUCAUUUUCUUUAAAAUGUAUAAGUUUCACGUAUGUUUUCUUAAGUGUUCGAUCAUUUUAACUGAUAAAUAUGCUAAUACUACAUUUACUACCUAUAGUAUUCCAUGCAAUACUAAACACGUACGACAAAAUGCAAUCAAAAUCGUUUUUUUUUUCGUCAGGCAGUAAAAAUCGUUCAAAAUAUAAAAAGAAAAAGAAAAUUAGGAAAAAAGAUGAUGCAAAAUGGGCUUCGGACAACAUCAUUGUAUCUUUUGGGCUUUUUCAUUUCUAAUGACAAAAAGGUCCACUUGGACACACGCUACACUCUCUUGAGAUUCCCCUUUGUCAAUUUCGUCCCCAACACAACCAGAAAAGAGACGAGAAAAAAAGCUAUUCACUUUGUUCCAAUCGGCGAGAGAAACGAAAAUGAUGCAACAAGUAACAUAAAAUCUCAAACUCUUAGUGUAAUUUUUUUCUCGAUACUCAAAAGUUUCUGGUUUUUUUAAUGAAUGAUUUGAUAAAUGUGCAGGGGAAGAGUAGUAGCAGUGGAUCUGAGAUGCAAGUGACAUGGGAGGACCAACAGAACAUUAACACCUUCAGCCGUCUCAACAACAGGUUCCACGAACUCGAAGACGAUAUCAAAUUCGCAAAGGUUCCUCUCUAAAACGUUUAUUUUAAGUUUUUAUUUUAUUUUAAAUUUGAGUUUCUGCCUCGAUUCUAGGGUUUUAAGACUAGAGAAUAGGUCAAACUAAUCGGUUAUUAAGACACAUCCAUUGUUGAUGAAUCUAAUUAGAAUGUUCCUCUAAUUAAUCUGUUACUUGUAAUAAUUCUCAAUCAUGUCUUUUCAUGCCUCCAACUCUUGUAGUUUUAAACUCAAUGUCCGAAUUUUUUUUGUUUUUGUUUUGAUAACUUAGGAAAAGUGUGACAAUCUAGAGGAUGCGGGGAACGAGUUGAUCCUUUCCGACGAGGAGAUGGUGAGGUUUCAGAUCGGAGAAGUGUUUGCUCAUAUGCCGAGGGAAGAGGUGGAAACAAAGAUAGAAGAGAUGAAGGAGGCGACCUUCAAAAGCCUUGAGAAGCUCCAACAAGAGAAGGAAUCUAUCGUCUCGCAAAUGGCAGAGCUGAAGAAGGUUUUGUAUGCUAAGUUCAAGGAUUCUAUCAAUCUUGAAGAAGAUUGAUUCCAUUACAUUCCAACCAAACUUUUACAUAUCUGUUUCAGAUGACAAACCCUUUUGAUUUUUAUUACUAUUAAAGUUUUUUUUGAGACCUUGUAAGUUUGGUUAAUUACAAAGAAAGCCAAAACAAAUCAAAUUGAUCAAUUAGCUCCAGAGAAUCAGUGUAUACCCGCCAAUUUUCAUAUAUACCAAAAAACAGUUUUUCAUUACCAUCACCAAAGUAAGUUUUGAUUGAAUGUAUGAAAUUUGCAAGUGUUCAUAUGCCUAUUUCAAGAGGAUACAUUAUAUUCCCACCUCAGAUUCACAAUUAUUAAAGACGAUCUAUUAAUCAAAACAUAGUAUUCGAGUUUGUAAGAGAAUAUAGUUCAAGGCGGAUGUAAUCAAAUCUUAAACACAAGAGUUCUUUUUUAUCCGUAAUUUCAAAAUGUAUAAUAAAAUGCGCGAUUACUUGCGUUACAAGCAAUCCGAGUUGGUGAAAGAGGAAGACACUAGAAGACGAGGGGAGAUGCAAGGAUCACUCAGCUACUGGCAAUAAAAAGCUAAAUCCAGAAUUCUCCCGGAUCAAAGGCGGUGGCUCGAUAUCAGCAAUAUCAAAUCUCUCCAUUGACUUUGAUAAAUCAUCCACAGAGAAUGGAAUGCUGCAGAAAAUCAUUUCAAAAUGUAAUUAAGAAAAACGUCACCGAACCAAACCAAACCAAACCAAACUUGUUGGCAUUGGUAAGAAGACCAAGUACUGUAACUAACCUCGAGUCGUCAUCCAAAAGGAAGGAGUUGCUAACAGCAUUAUUCGAAUCUUCUGUCAUUAGCACCCUCAUAUUUGCUAUAACCUAUUUUUAUAAAUGGAAGCUAGCUUAAGAUAUAACCACAGAGAGAUUAUCAGUUGCUUAAGGUGACUUACGUCCGGAGAGACGCUGUGUGUGCCGUAUUUGUCGUCCCAGUACAUUGUACUGAUCCUGUAUAGCUGUUGUAUGCUCAGUACCUGUCCAUAAUAUCAAUUAAUCAGCAAAUGAAAACCUACAAUUUGAAAACAUGAGAGUUGUAUCAGAAUUGAGCGUGGAAUGAUCAACUUACUGGGCAAAGAUCAUGACUGAUCUCAUCGAGAGUUUUCUUAGGUUUUUGGUGUAUGACCUGCAUUUUGGAGCAAGAAUUAAUAAUGGUUUACUCUUAUGGGCAUCUACUUAAGGUUUAGGUAGAAGAUAUCACAAGGUUACCAGAAACCCAAUGGCCUGUCUUAUAUGCUUAAGCUCAUCCCAGGAAGAACCAGCAUACUGCAAUUGUUUUUGUUAGUUAAUUGAUUAGUUUUGGUCGAGGAAUAAUAGGAGAGUGAAAGGAAGGUAGGAAAUAGAACCUCAUCUGUUGCCUUAAAACACCAGUGUUCCAAUUCAGACAAGCCAGCUUUGACAUACUCGCCAUUGCUAAAUGAACAACACUCACGUCUCAACAAAAGACUGUUGCAAAGGAAACAUUUGAUUAGUAGAGAAUAGUGAACAUGUUUUGAGACUAACAUAAUGGGAUUUUUGAUGCCAAUGAACCCUGGAAAAACCUGUUAAAGAGUUGAACAUUGAUGAACGAGAAUAUCUGCGUGAACACCUUGCGCACCAAGAAUGAAGGAACCUAAAAAGCCACAAAUAGAAGAUUCAAACUCAGAGCAGUCUCACAACUUGUUUUUGCUUUAGAGGAAAUGGAACUCACAUUGUUUGAUUUCAGAGUGUUGAGGAAGUUUGUAAGGCUCUUCACUAUUCCUUGCCAGUGGGCGAUCAGUGCUUGCUGGCCUGCAGUGUUGGCCACUGAACGAGAUGCUCCUUUCACUAGACUCGCUCUCGAUGUUCUUGGCGCCUGUUUGAAGGUGAAGACAUAAAAAUAAAAAUUAAGCGACAAGAACCGAGUUCUGCUUGUGAAAGUGGUGGCUGAUGUGAUUAAUGGCAUACCUGAAUGCACAGUCCAAGGAGUGGAGAAAUCUCCUUCUUCAAGUUGUCUCUAAUCAUUCCGUAUAUCUUUUCAACAUAAGCUGUGAGCUGCUGCUUAAACAGUAACGCCGGGUAUUUUGCUUCGACUUGUCUUAAGGUAUCCGCUCCACCUCCCGCAGCACCGUUUAUCAUGGCUAGAUUUACACCUGGAGGUGCUCCACGGAAGCUCUGGAUAAUAGAAACAUUCUCAAAUCUGAACUUACAAUGAAACAAGAAGCUGAUGGAUUUCAAACCAUAUGUACCUGAGUCAUCCUUCCAAAUAGAGUGGCAGAAGAUGAACGGCGCCGCUGUGGAGCCAUCCCAGCUGCACCACUAGCUUUGAGUGUGCGUUGGAGGAGUAAGAGGAGUGUCGAGGCAUUGGAUAACCAAUAGGCCAAUGUAUUGUUGUUAUCUUGAGUCUGAGAUAUCAGUUUACCCAACAUUAAUUCCAAUCACAACUGAAUAGAUAUAAACUAUAAAGCUCGAGCCUACCUCAAUAGCAUGGCCUAUUGUCUGAAUAAUGCGAUCAAAGACACUGGUUCGUUCAACUUCAAAUGACCUCCAUUGAAGUAGGCAUUUAUAUAUGAUACAUGCUGUGAUAGGUCGGUUCCCCUUGAAACCCAAGGGUUGGACAAUGCAGCGGAUAAGUAGCUCAUGAUUUUCUUGCUGCUUCUCGUUUAAUGAUUUUUGUGGUUUAUCAUCCACUUCAGAGGAAUCCCUAUGGUUUAUUGAAUGGCUAUGCAGAUCCUGAUUCAAAUUAAAAGCACCAUCAUUAGAUCAAUCAAAAAGCUUUACUCAAAUAUGUGGCAAAUGUACUCACCAAGCUUGACCUCGCAUCCACUGCUAGAUGACCACUCUCAGAACCUCUCUGUUGUUGUUAAACAGAUGGUAAUUCGUAAGCUUCAGACAACCGAGAAAAAGAUACUUGCGGUCUCAUAUUUCAGUUUAGUCCUAAUUUACCUGUAAAAUGGACCUGGAGCGGCCAGAGAGAAAUUUAUUCGGUGCCAUGGAUACAGCCUGUUGCCGUAAGACUUUAUUCUCCGAUUCCAAGUUGGUGCACUUUUCCUCCAUCCUGAUCACAUUAACUUCAUCAAUUUAUCUCAUCGAACAAUGAAAUUACCAGCAGAAUACAUGAAUCUACAAGACCAAUUAACCAUAUAUGCAGGAGUGGUUAUAGGAACAUAUGAUAACGGUACUUGAUGACACAUUCUUACCUUGUCAGGGAUUCUUGGAGUUGCUGGCCUUUCUUCUCUGACUCUUCCAGUUUCUUUAUUCUGUCUUCGAGAGACUCUUGAGCUUCUUCGAAUUUCUUCACUGCCUCAUCAGCCCUCUGUUUUUCGUUUUCUAGAGUAGCCUGUUUGAACGCAAAUGAUUACUGACGCUAAGUAGAUGUAAAAUCUCAAGGUAUUGAAAAUUGAUAGCCACUGACAGAAUGUACCUUUACACUCUCUAAUUCCUCUGUCAUCAGUUCGAUCUUCUUUGUAUCUUCAACCAAGACUUGUGUUUCUUGUAUAACAGGAGGAGCUUCCUCAGCGGCUUUCUUUGCAGCUUCACGUUCCUUCACAAGCAAUGCAUUUGCUUCUUCCACUUUCUUCCGCAUUUCCUCCAAGGAACUCUGAAGUUUCGCUUGCUCCUGAGUCUUUGCUUCUUCUAAAUCAGCCUGAAAUAGUAACUCAGCGCUAUAAGUUAUAAAUCUUAUUCAAAAAUUGAUUAGAGUGAUGUUUCUAUGGCAGAUACCCUCAGACGUUUCUCCAACUGGACACGGUAUGUGAGUUCCUCAACUUUCUUUUCAAGCAUAUCUUUUGCCUCCUUAAGUGCUCCUGUUUCCCUUGAAGCCUGAAGACAAAAAGAAAAAAUUAAGAGUAUGUCUGAGAUAGUAAACCAAAAGUAGUAUCCUUAUUUUGAAAGUAUUAAAAAAAACUUGCAGAUGCGUACUUCCUACCACAAAGUAUAUGGCAUGAUUGUUUCCAAUAAAUAUACCAUGCAUUAUAAUAGUAGGAUAUUGGAAAUGUGAAUACUAAAAGAAAUUUUAGGAAGUGCAAAUAAACAAGCUGUACCAUUUUGAGCUUCCUAAGUUCUCUCCUAGCAAGUCUGCCUCUCCAUCGUGUCUGAGAUAUGAUCACUCCAUUUUUAAGCUUCUUGUAGUACGUGGUUGCUCUGUGACAACGCCACUGAGCCUGCCAUUAGUAACAGGAAACUCUGUGUUACUGAUCAUGAGAAACGUAAGAUAGUUUAAAACUUCUAUACUCUCUUAAGAACAUCAACCUGAACAAUUGUGGCAGCCUUUGUUUGCUUCCUGAAUCUGAAUUCUUUACGAGCAGCCAUUGCUCUUAGACCAGUCUGUAAAGCAAGCGCGGACACAUGGAGCUUUUUGUAAGAUUUUCUAGAGUAAUAUCUCCGACCAUUCUUCUGAAUCUUCACAGCAGCAGCUUCUCGUCUCAAAUUCUCGUAAACUUUGCAGGAAAGUCUUCCUAUGAUAUUUGAAAUUGAGUAAAAGUUACAUAAAUGUUUCUAUAUUCAAGCAAAUAGUUCAUAUAGUGUGACAAAGUUAAUGCCCUUCCAAAGAGCGCGAUUGAAAUCAGAUGGCUCACCUCUACAUAGAGCUUGUAGAGAUAUUGUGGCCUUUCUCAGAACAGUAAACCGUUUCUGAGCUUGAUGAGUUCUUGUUCGUCUCUGAAUUUUUUUUGCAGCACCACUAAGCACUUCUGUCCUCCUAGCGUCGAGUUCAGCCAUCUGACCAGCCCUCAAGAAGAUCUUUGUUUUACCAAUCUGCAUUAACAAAAGAUACGAGUUUGCAUUUGAUUUCUUUCAAAUUUUCCAUCACUGAAUCAUAUUCCAUUGCAUCAUUCAUACUAUACAAUUGGUUCCAUUAACUAAAUAAUACUCAAGGAACAGUUACCUGGUAUCCUUUAAGUCCCAUGCUGUCCAAUAUCUUUUUACACACGACUUUCUCAUCGUAGCUGUUCAGGGAAAAGUCAAAAUCUGUAAAUAUUGAUUCCAACUCUCACUAAACAUUAUAAUUUUUACGGGCUAGUAAAAUUGCUGUUUACUUACCUCCCUUCUAAAGCCGAAGGACAUAGAAGUCCGAAGCGGUUGACAAACUCAAAGAAAGGUUUACGUGUUGGAUACCCUGCGCAACUAAUUCUGAUCGCCUCUAAAACACCCUAUACAGAAACCGUAAAAGUUUUAGAGUUAUUAGCACACACUUUCCUGCCACUACUCGCAGGAUAUUAAAAACAUAAAGAGGAACCAUGCUCAUAACCCAUAUGUCUAGUCUAGAAAAACAUCACUGUGGAAAAUAUUAUCUUAUGUAUACUUACACCACAACGCAGCUGCUGCAUGAUGUUCACAUUCUCAAAUACGGCAGGUUUUAAGAGAUUGUUAGGCUUCACACAUCUGAUGUAAUGAGGCUCGGUAGAAUUUAAUGUUUCCAUCAGUUGCUGGAGUUGCAGCUGCAUCAAUCAGGCCAACCGUAUUUUAGUUCUCACGUUUACUUACUAAGAGAAUAUUAGUAAGACACUCUUCCUUAGAAACCACCUGAAUAAUUUUAAUAGAAUAAGCUUCCUACCUUGAAACGAGAACCAAUAGAUGAAAACUUUGAAGAUUUAGAUGUUUCUUCAGGGAGUGGAGGGAAAAGACCCACGACAAAAGGGCAUUUUGAAGCUCCCAACAAAUCUUGGUGUUCAGGGAUCACAUAAUCCUUGUUUUUAUCCAGAAAUAGAUCAGACUGAUAUAGAACCUGAAAGAAAUUUAAAAGACACGAGAAACUUGUGAAACAGUCCCCUUGUGUCAAAUUUUUCUUGGUAAAAAGAAAUAUACAACGUACUUCUCCAGCAUAAUGAGCAACGGUAAAAUCUGUUCGAGAGAGUUUUGGUUUGAUGAACCUCUUGUGAGCCUUAAAAGUCUGAUAUAGCUUGUUUGCAAAUGUUUCGUGGGUUGAUUUUGGAAACAUACUGGAAAAAUUACGUCUCAUUAGUUUACAAAAUAACAGUCAGGAUAAAAGAUCUAUGGAAGUAGUCUUUAAUAUUACCAAGCUUCAUCGAGGAGAGCAAUGAUUCCACCAGGCUUCUGCAGAUGGAAAAGAAAGGAGAAAGUGAGGUUAAAACAUCCAAUCUGAUAACACUGUCCUUUCUCAGUUAAGCAAACCUUUUCUAUAAGAUCAAGAACAUCUUUGUUGUCCACAAAUUCAAUGUAGCUCCAAUCUAUUGCCUCUUUUGUGUACUCUUCCUGUUCCAUCUUGAAAACGUGCUGAAAACAACAAAAGGAACUAAUAAACUCAGGGAUCACAGCUGGAAAAACGAACAUCGUUUCCACAACAAUCAAGAACCUACCUGAUUGAAAUGUUGCUGCAACUUCUCAUUAGUGAAAUUGAUACAGAACUGUUCAAAACUGCACCAGAAAGGUAUUAGCAGACAAUGGCGACUGCUAUCUGUGAGCCUAAAAUCACGUAAAAGGUUUCAUUACCUGUUAGUUUUGAAGCUCUCAAAUCCGUAAAUGUCCAAAACUCCAAUUAGACAUUUUGAAUUGGCAUCUUGUCCAAUCGAGUUAUUAAUCUUAUUUACCAACCUGCACAUAACUAGAGAUAUUCACUUAGCAUCAAAUAUGUAAAGAUCCACUAUUUUGACACUUAGAACCAGCCACCUACCAAUCGAACAAUCGAGAGUAGACUGUCUUAGCGAGACCAUCCCUGCUGGUAACAGCACUCUCUGGAUCGAGACUUCUCUUGAUAACUUCCUCGGGUGUGACCAUAACACGUUUACAUAAUGCAUCUUCAAGAGCUUUUAAAUCACACCUAUAAACGAGACUUCCAAUCAGCUCUAACAAUUGAUAACACAUGGCAACAUACAGAGGCAAAAUGUUUUACGAACAUGAGAAGUUCCGCUGCUGUCUUAAGAUGAAACUUCGCCUUAUCAUCCUUAGGAACAGAUGAAUCCACUUCCUUUCCCUUAGUAAACUCGAUGUUUCCAAUAUGAAGAAUUGCAGCAACCACCCUGAAAAUUGCUUCCUGUUGAUAUAGAUAAAGGGAGAAGCUCACCGUCAAUAUAAAACUGCAGAAAACAAAAUUUACAUUCAAUAGCUGCUUACACAAACUGACCUGUUCCUUUUCGCUAAUUCCGACAAUAUCCAUAGCUCUCCUUGUGGCAAGAUAAUCAUGAGCAUCGCUUAUACCGACAAGCUCGUAGCACUUAGACUGGUUCAGAUAAUGAAAGGUCUUUGGAUGGCCUAGCUUGUACUUUUCAAUUUCCUGCUCAGUUCUCUUAAGUUAUGCGGCGAGUUCUUUAUAUUUUAAAAGAGUUGCAGGUGAGGUUACCUCCUGGGGUGCUGCACAAAGAAGAUAGAAGCAGUGGUAAUUGCGCUCCGGAUCAGAGAUUUGACACACACGAGACCUCUCUAGAAGAUAGGUCCUUAUGGCAGCUCCAGAUAUUCUUCCUUGCUUAUCAAAUUGAAUUUCAACAAAUUUACCAAAGCGACUGAGACAAAGCAUAUUAAACAAUCAGCUGAAUCACCAACAAUGAGUAUAGAUAGAGUGGCCACUGUUAUGAGUAGAUUUUGGCUUACCUUGAGUUGUUAUUCCUCACAGUUUUUGCAUUACCAAAGGCUUCAAGGACAGGAUUUGACUGGACGCAGAUAUAACAAACAAGUUAGUGGAUUGAGCUCAUAUAUAAAAUCAUAAAGAUAGCAAAAUCAUUACUUCAAGAACUUGUUGCUCAACAGUCCUUCCUUCUGUAACUGCUCGACCUCCUAAAUACGCAAGGUAUCUCAUAAGCAUCUUAGUGGUUUCAGUUUUUCCAGCUCCGCUCUCACCACUUACAAGAAUCGAAUUGCUUUUCCCUUCAUUAAUCAUGGCCCUGAGUGUACAUUGAUAAAGGGCUUCUUAGGCUGACAACAUAUACGUGGAUCAUAAUAUAUAGACAAGUUUUUAGAAUCACCUGUAUGCAACAUCAGCGACAGCAAAAACAUGAGGAUUUAGUUCUCCAAAAGGUGCUCCUUUGUAUUGUUGCAUCAUAUGGGCAUCGUAGAUGUGAGGCAACCGUUGAAAAGGAUUAAUCGCUAUAAGGAUGUUUCCUGUGUAUGUCUGUCAUGAACAAAUAGAUUCUAAGUCAAGACAUUAAACAAUCAAAAGGUCUAAAGCAUAUUUGUAAGUAAGAAAAUAAGUACUAACAUAGAUAGGAAAUAGGUACUAACAUAGAUCUCAUUAAGUUCAUAUCUGAUCUUUAAGUUCUGAAGGACACCAGGUUCGUGCAGGUAAGACAGCUUUGUCAUGUCAUCAACACCACCUGCAGGAGCUUCCACAUCCUUUGGGUAUAUCUUUGACAACUUUGCAGUGAUCUAUAUAAUAUAAAACAGUUAUGGGAUAUUACUUAUAGGUGACAAGAUGAAAUGUUAACAGUUAGUGUGAUUGGCUUGCCUUCUUUCCAGUUGUUGAGAUAGUAAACCAAAAGUAGUAUCCUUAUUUUGAAAGUAUUAAAAAAAACUUGCAGAUGCGUACUUCCUACCACAAAGUAUAUGGCAUGAUUGUUUCCAAUAAAUAUACCAUGCAUUAUAAUAGUAGGCUAUUGGCAAUGUGAAUACUAAAAGAAAUUUUAGGAAGUGCAAAUAAACAAGCUGUACCAUUUUGAGCUUCCUAAGUUCUCUCCUAGCAAGUCUGCCUCUCCAUCGUGUCUGAGAUAUGAUCACUCCAUUUUUAAGCUUCUUGUAGUACGUGGUUGCUCUGUGACAACGCCACUGAGCCUGCCAUUAGUAACAGGAAACUCUGUGUUACUGAUCAUGAGAAACGUAAGAUAGUUUAAAACUUCUAUACUAUCUUAAGAACAUCAACCUGAACAAUUGUGGCAGCCUUUGUUUGCUUCCUGAAUCUGAAUUCUUUACGAGCAGCCAUUGCUCUUAGACCAGUCUGUAAAGCAAGCGCACACACAUGGAGCUUUUUAUAAGAUUUUCUAGAGUAAUAUCUUCGACCAUUCUUCUGAAUCUUCACAGCAGCAGCUUCUCGUCUCAAAUUUUCGUAAACUUUGCAGGAAAGUCUUCCUAUGAUAUUUGAAAAUGAGUAAAAGUUGCAUAAAUGUUUCUAUAUUCAAGCAAAUAGUUCAUAUAGUGUGACAAAGUUAAUGCCCUUCCAAAGUCCAAAGAGCGCGAUUGAAAUCAGAUGGCUCACCUCUACAUAGAGCUUGUAGAGAUAUUGUGGCCUUUCUCAGAACAGUAAACCGUUUCUGAGCUUGAUGAGUUCUUGUUCGUCUCUGAAUUUUUUUUGCAGCACCACUAAGCACUUCUGUCCUCCUAGCGUCGAGUUCAGCCAUCUGACCAGCCCUCAAGAAGAUCUUUGUUUUACCAAUCUGCAUUAACAAAAGAUACGAGUUUGCAUUUGAUUUCUUUCAAAUUUUCCAUCACUGAAUCAUAUUCCAUUGCAUCAUUCAUACUAUACAAUUGGUUCCAUUAACUAAAUAAUACUCAAGGAACAGUUACCUGGUAUCCUUUAAGUCCCAUGCUGUCCAAUAUCUUUUUACACACGACUUUCUCAUCGUAGCUGUUCAGGGAAAAGUCAAAAUCUGUAAAUAUUGAUUCCAACUCUCACUAAACAUUAUAAUUUUUACGGGCUAGUAAAAUUGCUGUUUACUUACCUCCCUUCUAAAGCCGAAGGACAUAGAAGUCCGAAGCGGUUGACAAACUCAAAGAAAGGUUUACGUGUUGGAUACCCUGCGCAACUAAUUCUGAUCGCCUCUAAAACACCCUAUACAGAAACCGUAAAAGUUUUAGAGUUAUUAGCACACGCUUUCCUGCCAUUACUCGCAGGAUAUUAAAAACAUAAAGAGGCUUUGUGGAACCAUGCUCAUAACCCAUAUGUCUAGUCUAGAAAAACAUCACUGUGGAAAAUAUUAUCUUAUGUAUACUUACACCACAACGCAGCUGCUGCAUGAUGUUCACAUUCUCAAAUACGGCAGGUUUUAAGAGAUUGUUAGGCUUCACACAUCUGAUGUAAUGAGGCUCGGUAGAAUUUAAUGUUUCCAUCAGUUGCUGGAGUUGCAGCUGCAUCAAUCAGGCCAACCGUAUUUUAGUUCUUACGUUUACUUACUAAGAGAAUAUUAGUAAGACACUCUUCCUUAGAAACCACCUGGAUAUUUUCAAUUGAAUAAGCUUCCUACCUUGAAACGAGAACCAAUAGAUGAAAACUUUGAAGAUUUAGAUGUUUCUUCAGGGAGUGGAGGGAAAAGACCCACGACAAAAGGGCAUUUGGAAGCUCCCAACAAAUCUUGGUGUUCAGGGAUCACAUAAUCCUUGUUUUUAUCCAGAAAUAGAUCAGACUGAUAUAGAACCUGAAAGAAAUUUAAAAGACACGAGAAACUUGUGAAACAGUCCCCUUGUGUCAAAUUUUUCUUGGUAAAAAGAAAUAUACAACGUACUUCUCCAGCAUAAUGAGCAACGGUAAAAUCUGUUCGAGAGAGUUUUGGUUUGAUGAAUCUCUUGUGAGCCUUAAAAGUCUGAUAUAGCUUGUUUGCAAAUGUUUCGUGGGUUGAUUUUGGAAACAUACUGGAAAAAUUACGUCUCAUUAGUUUACAAAAUAACAGUCAGGAUAAAAGAUCUAUGGAAGUAGUCUUUAAUAUUACCAAGCUUCAUCGAGGAGAGCAAUGAUUCCACCAGGCUUCUGCAGAUGGAAAAGAAAGGAGAAAGUGAGGUUAAAACAUCCAAUCUGAUAACACUGUCCUUUCUCAGUUAAGCAAACCUUUUCUAUAAGAUCAAGAACAUCUUUGUUGUCCACAAAUUCAAUGUAGCUCCAAUCUAUUGCCUCUUUUGUGUACUCUUCCUGUUCCAUCUUGAAAACGUGCUGAGAACAACAAAAGGAACUAAUAAACUCAGAGAUCACAGCUGGAAAACGUACAUCGUUUCCAGUACAAUCAAGAACCUACCUGAUUGAAAUGUUGCUGCAACUUCUCAUUAGUGAAAUUGAUACAGAACUGUUCAAAACUGCACCAGAAAGGUAUUAGCAGACAAUGGCGACUGCUAUCUGUGAGCCUAAAAUCACGUAAAAGGUUUCAUUACCUGUUAGUUUUGAAGCUCUCAAAUCCGUAAAUGUCCAAAACUCCAAUUAGACAUUUUGAAUUGGCAUCUUGUCCAAUCGAGUUAUUAAUCUUAUUUACCAACCUGCACAUAACUAGAGAUAUUCACUUAGCAUCAAAUAUGUAAAGAUCCACUAUUUUGACACUUAGAACCAGCCACCUACCAAUCGAACAAUCGAGAGUAGACUGUCUUAGCGAGACCAUCCCUGCUGGUAACAGCACUCUCUGGAUCGAGACUUCUCUUGAUAACUUCCUCGGGUGUGACCAUAACACGUUUACAUAAUGCAUCUUCAAGAGCUUUUAAAUCACACCUAUAAACGAGACUUCCAAUCAGCUCUAACAAUUGAUAACACAUGGCAACAUACAGAGGCAAAAUGUUUUACGAACAUGAGAAGUUCCGCUGCUGUCUUAAGAUGAAACUUCGCCUUAUCAUCCUUAGGAACAGAUGAAUCCACUUCCUUUCCCUUAGUAAACUCGAUGUUUCCAAUAUGAAGAAUUGCAGCAACCACCCUGAAAAUUGCUUCCUGUUGAUAUAGAUAAAGGGAGAAGCUCACCGUCAAUAUAAAACUGCAGAAAACAAAAUUUACAUUCAAUAGCUGCUUACACAAACUGACCUGUUCCUUUUCGCUAAUUCCGACAAUAUCCAUAGCUCUCCUUGUGGCAAGAUAAUCAUGAGCAUCGCUUAUACCGACAAGCUCGUAGCACUUAGACUGGUUCAGAUAAUGAAAGGUCUUUGGAUGGCCUAGCUUGUACUUUUCAAUUUCCUGCUCAGUUCUCUUAAGUUAUGCGGCGAGUUCUUUAUAUUUUAAAAGAGUUGCAGGUGAGGUUACCUCCUGGGGUGCUGCACAAAGAAGAUAGAAGCAGUGGUAAUUGCGCUCCGGAUCAGAGAUUUGACACACACGAGACCUCUCUAGAAGAUAGGUCCUUAUGGCAGCUCCAGAUAUUCUUCCUUGCUUAUCAAAUUGAAUUUCAACAAAUUUACCAAAGCGACUGAGACAAAGCAUAUUAAACAAUCAGCUGAAUCACCAACAAUGAGUAUAGAUAGAGUGGCCACUGUUAUGAGUAGAUUUUGGCUUACCUUGAGUUGUUAUUCCUCACAGUUUUUGCAUUACCAAAGGCUUCAAGGACAGGAUUUGACUGGACGCAGAUAUAACAAACAAGUUAGUGGAUUGAGCUCAUAUAUAAAAUCAUAAAGAUAGCAAAAUCAUUACUUCAAGAACUUGUUGCUCAACAGUCCUUCCUUCUGUAACUGCUCGACCUCCUAAAUACGCAAGGUAUCUCAUAAGCAUCUUAGUGGUUUCAGUUUUUCCAGCUCCGCUCUCACCACUUACAAGAAUCGAAUUGCUCUUCCCUUCAUUAAUCAUGGCCCUGAGAGUAUACAGGUAAAGGGCGCCUUAGGCUGACAACAUAUACGUGGAUCAUAAUACAUAUAUAGACAAGUAUUAAAAUCACCUGUAUGCAACAUCAGCGACAGCAAAAACAUGAGGAUUUAGUUCUCCAAAAGGUGCUCCUUUGUAUUGUUGCAUCAUAUGGGCAUCGUAGAUGUGAGGCAACCGUUGAAAAGGAUUAAUGGCUAUAAGGAUGUUUCCUGUGUAUGUCUGUCAUGAACAAAUAGAUUCUAAGUCAAGACAUUAAACAAUCAAAAGGUCUAAAGCAUAUUUGUAAGUAAGAAAAUAAGUACUAACAUAGAUAGGAAAUAGGUACUAACAUAGAUCUCAUUAAGUUCAUAUCUGAUCUUUAAGUUCUGAAGGACACCAGGUUCGUGCAGGUAAGACAGCUUUGUCAUGUCAUCAACACCACCUGCAGGAGCUUCCACAUCCUUUGGGUAUAUCUUUGACAACUUUGCAGUGAUCUAUAUAAUAUAAAACAGUUAUGGGAUAUUACUAUAGGUGACAAGUUGAAAUGUUAACAGUUUUUAUGAUUGACUUGCCGUCUUUCCAGUUGUGGCUUGGAUCACAACUUCUUGUCCAGUGAGUUUUUCAACCUCACCAUCAAUCCAAGCCACGUCUGAGUCUUCAACCCAAACAUGAGAACCUACAAUAAUAUUUACUGGAGUUCCCUGCAGUUUACCAAAAACAUCACAAUAAUUCAAAAUGCUAAAGAAACAACAACAAUGUCAAUAUGAAUAGACAAAACCUAACAAUACUAAUAAUUUUAAGCUCCCUAAAACUGGACAAUCAAACUGCCUACAGUGAGCUAUGUAAGGGAGAGAGAUCUACAGGAAAGUAAGACGUUCACGUACCAUUGUUCAAUAUUGGUCAGUCGUUUCUUCUUCACAAUGAUGACAAGUGAAGGAGAUCCCCUUUUUGGGACAUUUUCCCACAGUAUAGUGACGUGUUACGCAAGAAACCUAUAGAAUCUGUAGAUUUCGAGACAAACAGACACACCGGAGAGGGAUUCGGACAAAACGAUUACAGUUUCCGACAAAACAAAAUCAAAUCACCGAUAUAUUACCACAAUCUAAAGACGUUCAGAGGAAUAAGAUCACCACCACAGAGAACAAAAAAAAAUGAUGGGAUCCACCAUAAACUGAAAUAGAACAAUGAAACUGGGAGGAAGCGAGAUCGGAAAAAAAUAAGGAGAGAAGAAGAAAAGAAGCGAAGGAGCGACUGUAGGAAUGAGUAAACAAAAAAAAAAUAAGAGAGAGAGAGAGAGAGUGUGACAUUGUUGUUCAUCCUUCGACUUCGGUGGGUUUCUUCUUUGAUCCCCGUGGAAUUCGCGCCAAUUCGUGGCCCCUAAUCACUCACUGUCUCUCGCACUCCACGUACACUCUCUCCUUCAAGAGUAUCUAUUAACUCUCGCAACCCCCAAGUCUCUCAAGAUAUCAUUUUCGUCCCAGAAUCACUAAUUGUGAUUAUAUAAUCCAAAAUUAGAAGAACAAUUCAAACCAAUAUCCAAUUAACUCCAUAGUUUACUGGAUAUUACUUUUCUGUUUGGACUAAAAUAGACACGUUUGAUUAGUAACACAAGUUGAUAUCAAUAAGAAAAAAUUAGUGGUGAACAAACAAUAUUACUAAAUUUUUAUAAUCGAACCGUAUAUUGGAAUUGAUGGAAAAGCUUUGGGCUCUGAGCGAUAAGCGUCCAUUGUGGGGAAACAAUAACAUAGGAGACCAAGUUUAUAACCCGAUACUAUAAGCACUUUUUACCUAUAACAAAUACACCAAAACAUAUAAUGACUUCAUUUACAUUCCUCAAAUCUAAGACUUUCGAGGAGGCAUGGUAGCAUGACUAACCGUGUUUCAUAUAUUCCCUAGUGUGAUGAAGUACGCACGAGCCGGUUCAAAGAAGGCUUCAGGACUUCCGUCAGCUGAGAAAACGAAUACAUUUUAUCACACACUGCGAAGAUUCUCUUAUUAGUGUUUAGAGUUUCUUUUCAUGACUUACGUUUGCCAACAUUCCAAGAUGAUCGAUCCUUCCCACCACACCACAGGAUCAAGUUCCUUUGGGAUCUCAAAGACGGGCGAUUCUGGAAACCAACUCCUCCUACUACUUGCAUUGGGUUCAUUCCUCCAGCCUCUGUACCAGCACGUCAACACUGCUGGAAGGAAGGACAAUCCAGCGCAAUGCAUCGUGCAAUUUGAAGAAACUCAUCCAGGGAAGGAUCAUUCACAACUAGAGCUUCAAAUCCACGGGUUCCAUCAUCAUUGCUUUCAAGAUCUUCGAGUGAUAGCAUUGGCAAAUCCACCUGCAAAUAGUCAAGCACACCAUUAUUCGUAGCCAAAAGUAUAAUACACAAGAUACUACUAAUGUUACAAAUCAUAUGUGAAUCCAAUCCACAAGAAAUGCUAAGUUGGGCAGUUACAGAUUCAAAUACUCGCCUAGCUAGCUACGGACUCUGAUCACAGCUCCAAUUCAUUAUGAGCAAGACUCGAUAAGCAGCAGGUUUGAGUGUGUGACGUCAGCAAUUCCCUAGAGAAGAAGAAGAAGAAGAAGUGAAUGCUUACCCAGCAGUACUGUCUCCGAAUGAAUCUCUCCAGUUGACGACGGCUUCCCAAGCUCAGAAGCGUCGCCGCUCGGAUCUGAUGCUUCUUCUUCUCCGGAUCAGAACGGUUCGUAGCAGAAACUGGAGCUGGAGAGGUUACCGAAGAGGGGGAACUCCGCGACGGAAGAAGGGGUUGCUUUGAUCCGAUGGCGGAACUGCAUCGUAGGUGGCGAUUGGGAGUGAAGAGAAACAACGACGGCAACUUUGCCGCCGGCGAGGAGGAAAAAAGAAGUUUGCUGGAUUUACGACUACGCCACUGUUGACCUUUUGACUUUUAUUAAAUGAAAGAUGAAGCGAAAGGGAAAAUGUUACACGUCACCAAAGGCCGGCCCCACACGCGGGAAACUUUCAAGUUGUUUUUAGCAAAGUCCCUGAAGUCUAAAUUUUAUUACACAGAAGCCCCUUAAGUAUUGUUAGAAACGAUUGACCCCACCCAGGUAAUGCAAUGCUAAAGUACCUACCAAGAAAUUAAAUUGGGAUGUAUCAUCUAUUUCCAACUUACAAUCAAUUGUUAACAACUAAAUUGCUUCAAAAAAAAAUUUAUAUCUUACAGUUUCAUCCAAAUCUCUAAUGUAAAAAAUUUAUAUUUUACACUCAUUUUUAGAGAUUGAUGACUAUUUUCCAUUAAUCUCUACAUCUCUAUUUAUUCAUGUUAUUGAGAUAUCUACACAUCAACCAAAGUAACAGACUCCAAUACAGCAUUCGCUUAUGUAACAAGAUUUCAAUGUACUUACUAAAAAAUAUAAUCCGAAAAGAGAAAACAAAUUAAUACUAAUACAACUACGUACAACUCUCAAAGUUCUGGCUCUCUUUGUAUGGAAUGGUUCUUUUUUUUUCUUUUCUUUUUUAACACAGUAUGGAAUGGUUCAGCCAACUAUUAUUCAAUGUAAUUGUUUAUUUUUAUUACCGGGAAGAAUCAGAGGAAGUAUCGUGAAGAGAAAUUGUUUAUUAAGAUUAAUAUAGUAUUUUGAUUACUACUUAGUAUUACAAAAUAAAUUAAUAAUUUAUUUACCCUUGAAGUCUAACGAUUAAAAAUAGAACAUAAUUCAAUAUAGAUAUAUGAUUCUAUUAAUAAAUUAGCAGUUACAAAUUUGAAAUUUCUAAAAAUAUUAAAAGUUGUAUGUUAGUUAAUUAUCUUCUAAAUGACAUCUAUUUCUAAUUCUUUUUGGAUGAGAAUAUUUUGGCUCAGGUGGAUAGUCCCAAAAGCCUUGAAUUUAGUCUCUUUUAUAUAGUAGGAUUCUUUACUUUUCUCGAUUAUUUUCUCUUUAUUUAUAACUACAAUAUAAAGUUAUAAACUAUAUAUAUUAUAAAUUAAUAAUUUAUUUACCCUUGAAGUCUAACGAUUAAAAAUAGAACAUAAUUCAAUAUAGAUAUAUGAUUCUAUUAAUAAAUUAGCAGUUACAAAUUUGAAAUUUCUAAAAAUAUUAAAAGUUGUAUGUUAGUUAAUUAUCUUCUAAAUGACAUCUAUUUCUAAUUCUUUUUGGAUGAGAAUAUUUUGGCUCAGGUGGAUAGUCCCAAAAGCCUUGAAUUUAGUCUCUUUUAUAUAGUAGGAUUCUUUACUUUUCUCGAUUAUUUUCUCUUUAUUUAUAACUACAAUAUAAAGUUAUAAACUAUAUAUAUUAUAAAUUAAUAAUUUAUUUACCCUUGAAGUCUAACGAUUAAAAAUAGAACAUAAUUCAAUAUAGAUAUAUGAUUCUAUUAAUAAAUUAGCAGUUACAAAUUUGAAAUUUCUAAAAAUAUUAAAAGUUGUAUGUUAGUUAAUUAUCUUCUAAAUGACAUCUAUUUCUAAUUCUUUUUGGAUGAGAAUAUUUUGGCUCAGGUGGAUAGUCCCAAAAGCCUUGAAUUUAGUCUCUUUUAUAUAGUAGGAUUCUUUACUUUUCUCGAUUAUUUUCUCUUUAUUUAUAACUACAAUAUAAAGUUAUAAACUAUAUAUAUUAUAAAUUAAUAAUUUAUUUACCCUUGAAGUCUAACGAUUAAAAAUAGAACAUAAUUCAAUAUAGAUAUAUGAUUCUAUUAAUAAAUUAGCAGUUACAAAUUUGAAAUUUCUAAAAAUAUUAAAAGUUGUAUGUUAGUUAAUUAUCUUCUAAAUGACAUCUAUUUCUAAUUCUUUUUGGAUGAGAAUAUUUUGGCUCAGGUGGAUAGUCCCAAAAGCCUUGAAUUUAGUCUCUUUUAUAUAGUAGGAUUCUUUACUUUUCUCGAUUAUUUUCUCUUUAUUUAUAACUACAAUAUAAAGUUAUAAACUAUAUAUAUUAUAAAUUAAUAAUUUAUUUACCCUUGAAGUCUAACGAUUAAAAAUAGAACAUAAUUCAAUAUAGAUAUAUGAUUCUAUUAAUAAAUUAGCAGUUACAAAUUUAAAAUUUCUAGAAAUAUUAAAAGUUGUAUGUUAGUUAAUUAUCUUCUAAAUGACAUCUAUUUCUAAUUCUUUUUGGAUGAGAAUAUUUUGGCUGAGGUGGAUAGUCCCAAAAGCCUUGAAUUUAGUCCCUUUUAUAUAGUAGGAUAUAAGUUUGGAUAAAGGCUUCUCCUCGUAACGUUAGUUUACAAAACAGUAGUUGUAAGGUUCAGAUUUCACUUGUUGACAAGCUAAAAAAUAUUAAAUAAACAAAAAUCGUUACAUCGGAUUCCUCCGUCAGACAACUCAUCUUUUCAUAAUAUAUUCACCUGCGAUCUUCCUCUCCUGCAUGCAACCGGCGGAUACUUUUGAUCUAUAUAGGCACUGAUAGAAUAAAUAAAUAUUCUGUUUAAUAUUAUUUCAUUAUUAUUAGGCUUAUAUUGGGCCUUCACAGCUCAAACACAUACUGGGCCAAAAGAACGCCUUCAGUUUCGUGGCCUGCUGCUAAUCAACGAUUUUGGAACUCCAGUUUGAAUUUCACAGCAUGAAAGAGAACGCCUUUUUGGUUUUAUUUCUUUUAAAUAAAUUUAUUCGUUUUUUCCACAUGUUAUUUGCUAAUUUGAGUUUCUUUUCUUGUUUUCCACUGAUAUGGAUGAUGAUUUGGAUUCACCACUAAUACAUGUUGGUCUAAGAGAUUUUAUACAAACACUAAUACACCUGAAUUAUUCUCCAAAAAAUUGGAUGAUUUAGGAUUCCAAAAACCGUAGAGGCUUUAAGAUGUAAAUACAUCAUGUGUUAAGUUGUUGAUCUUAUCAUUGCCUUUAACGUAUAUACUUGUUGGAGAAUGAUUUCAUUCCUUGAUAUUUUAGCUCACAUUUGGAUCAUAGAUGUUACCAAGUACAAAAAUUGGACAUAAAUAAUGAUUGUAUUAAUCAGCUCGCCAACAAAAAUAGGCCACAGUUUUUAUAGGUAAGAUGUCACUAGUAUUAGAUAAGCACCACAAUUUAUAAACACCUAAAAGACGCCUAAUUAAGCAUUAACAAUUUCUUUUUAGAAGCCAAAGCCUUCUUCAAUCCAUCAAUCACUUUGGAUACUCAUUGUUCUCGUUUGUUUUUGCUAUAUGAUUUGUUUAGGAAUUCAUCGAACAUUAUCUAUUGGGCACCUCCAUUGUUUUGGUCAGCGCCAUAAGAGUUAUCCGCAAGUGGGAAAAUCAAUACAGUUCAUUAUCCAUUUGGUAUCAAUCCUCCAAUGUUUAUCUAGAGAUGUUUGACACUUGUAAAACGACGAAAUCAGUGAAGUAUUGCUAUGAAAGUAUGAUAGUUAGGGCUUUAUCACAUAUUGUUAAAGUGGGAAUCCCAGAUGAGUGCCCAAAAGAUUGUGUCUUUGACUGUUGUAAGAAUCUUCCAACUUCACAAACAGAGACCAAAAUAAUUAUUUUCGCAUCUUCAACCGAUUAAGGCUUUAACACACUUGCACAUACAUACCAUUGGUGCCUCUAUGAUCAUUUUCUCUGAUUUUUUGGAACCUACUGAGUUAAAGUUACAUAAAACAUUCUACUAGUUAUCAAUAUGCAUUGAUUGUUGGAACCUUUUAUAUAAACAUAUUUACUUGUUUGCAGGAUAUUUACUAUGGCCCCAAAAAAUCAGUUUUCGUGGGGUAUCAUUCAGUAGAUAUUGUGGCUAUAGAGAUAUUUAAGGGACAACUUGUAGCACCUUGCAAGAUGAGCAACGACACUAAGAUUGUCAAUCAAGGAUAUGUUCGAGUAUCUUUGGGAGUUACAUGCCAUUCUUUUGUGAUUAUGCUCAGGCUGUUCAUCCUACACUUAGGUCACAUCAUCUCCUUUCUGAUUUUUGUUGCGUCAUAUGGAUGAGGCUCAAAGAGGAAACCUCAAGCGGAAACUGAAUCAAGAUCAUGACUCAGAAACAACAAAAAAAGCGUCGUCAUGCGUAAAUAUCAAUAAAUGGAUAUGUUGCAUAUAUUUAACAAAAUUCUGAGAUUCAUCAUAAUCACAAAAGAUGGGUAUGUACAUAACUCCCAAAGAUACUCGAACAUAUCAUUGAUUAGCAACCUUAAUGAUGUUUUUCAUCACGAAUAUGUGACCGGAUUUAGUUUCUAGUUUGGUUCACAUUUACUAAAAAAGUUUGAGCAUUUGCUCUCGUUUUGUUUUGUCUUUGUUGACAUGUGAUUUAUUUAUUUUUAUCUUUAUAGUGCAAUUAGAUUUAUUCGCUUUUUAUCACAUGUUAUUUGCUAAAUUGAGUUUUUUUUCUUCUUUUUCCAUUAAUAUGGAUGAUGAUUUGGAUUCACCACCAAGACAUGUUGGUCUAAGAGAUUCUGAAACCAAAGACAUUGUUCGAAAUACAACAAAAUAUAUUAAAUUGGAUGAAUUGGGAUUCCAAAAAACGUAGAAGCAACAUAAAUACAUCAUGUGUUGAGUUUUUGGAUCUUAUCAUUGCCUUAAAACGUAUAUGUUUGUUGGAGGAUGAUUUCAUUCAUUGAUACUUAGCUCACAUUUGUAUCAUAGAUGUUAGACAAAUAUUUACAAAAAUAGGACAUAGGUAAUGAUUGUGUAAUGGAUACAAAAGCAUAAGUUAGAUUUUUUCUACUUAGUGACAAAAAAAUGGGGGAUAUUUCUCAAACAAUAUAAAACAUUUAUGUCACAUGUUUGGAAGUUUUUAAAAUAAGAUGAUUUCAUUGUUUAUAAACGCUGAAAAACAUCAAUUUGGCCUAUACUUUCCCUUUAAUACUAAGGAAAUUUGACUGUUUAAGUUUUUUGUAAGAUUGGAUUUACUUUCUUAGUUUAGCUUGACUUACUAAGAACUCAUAACAUUAGUUGACAUGUGUUUCAAUUUCUGAUCAUAAUACACCUAUACUUACUAGUUGUUUGUCAUGUGUGUUUCUAAGUCAAUCUUUUUGUUUUUGUUUUCAAAGAUAUGUAUAACAUGGAUGAUGAUAUGGAUAUGAUUCACCAUUAAGACCUCUUGGUAUACAAGAUCUUCCCAAAAAAACUUUCUUGCACAUGAAGCAAUAUAAUUUUUCCAAGAAGUUCGUGAAUCAAGAAAAAUCUAAUUUGUAGCCAUGGGAAAUAAUGAGUUAGUCGAUGUCGCAUCUUUUUAACAAUAUUGGGUAAUUCCUCCUCUCUUUUGUUUCAUAUAUGAACUUGGAAAUUCUUCAUUGCAAUCUAAUCUAGAUGAUUAUGAGAUCACAACUCUACAUAAAAUGAAGAAAAAGAAAGAAAAGAGAAAGAGAAAGAAAGGAGAAGAAGAAGAAGAAAUUGAGAAGGUGGUUUAUCAUGCAACAUGUUGAUUAAAGGUAUCAAAGUAGUUGUUUACCUCUAACCAAUUGUAAUGAUGAAAGGUUUUAAUUCUUGAGAUCCAAGGCCAGCUAUUAAUCGCUCUUUCUUAAUUAAGUUGCUCCUACACGUUUUGUUUUUUAAGAAGAUUGAAUUGUUGCAUCAAGCUCCUCCGUUCGUUGACCACUCUGCGAUGACUCAUCUCCUUCGUAUAUUCUCUACCACCGACUCCUAUUCCUCUUAGCUUAUCGUCAAAAGAUUUUGGUUCGAAGUUUUGACGAACUUUAGCGGCUGGUGCUUUUUGAUCGGAUUAUAUGUGUAAACCGGAAAGUUUGGAUUAUAGGUAUUUGUUCAUUAAUUGGAAUAGGAAACAUAGAAAACGAUGCUAAAAAAAUAAUAUAGGGAACAUUAACAUAUUUUAUUGAGAAAGGUCAAAGGAGAACUGGUCUACAUAAUUUUUCAUAGAAAACCUUAUAGGCCUAAUUGGUUACGUGACCAUCCGUCUAACCUUUCAUGUGUUCUUAUAAUUUUUCAUAGAAAACCUUAUAGGCCUAAUUGGUUACGUGACCAUCCGUCUAAUCUUUCAUGUGUUCUUAGUUUUCACAAACGAGAUUAUUUUCUCCCUUUCUGAUAUACCAAGUUAAUCAAUCUUUCUUUGACAAAAUAAACUAACCUCACUUUUACAAAUGUUUUGAAGAAUAGUAGUAUUACUUUUAGUGUAUCUUAUCAUGGCAUGAUGUCAAAUUCGUUUAGAUAAAUCCUCUCACUCCUAUUUAAUGCACACAUACUAUCACAAAAUUGGUUAUUAAUGCAUACCAAAGUCAACUUAUUCUAUAUAUGAUGCAAAUAUAAUACUAGUAAAUUAACUUAAUUGUAAGUACAAGCGUAAAAGGCGACCAAAAAGCACAAAAUACAUACUAUCAUCACUAAUUAAUAGUUAAAUAUAUCGGAUACACAUCUUCAAAACGUAUUAAAUUAUUAAAUAGUUCAUCAAUUCGCCCGCGAAGAGUGGAGGCUGCGGUUUUUGUGUGUCUGAUGCCACCUAGGAUUAGAUAACCGCCAUAGUUUAUGGACUCCUAAGCGACGCCUAAAGAUUCGAGAUCCCUUCUUAGAAUACUUUUUAGAAGGAAUCUCAGAAGCCGAACCCGUUUCAUCUUCAUUCCAGCAAUCACCUUGGAUACUCAAUAUUCCCUUAGUCUCAUUGACGACUCGUCUAACAACAGCUUUGCAAAGACAAGGCUCACCAAUCCGAAGAGACUUGACCAAGUCUUUAUAAGUUAUGUAAAUGACAACAGCUUUAGACUUGAGACUUGGGGGCUCCUUAUCAUCAAGAGAUUCUAUGGCUACUUGAACAAUCUCUAACUCAAACUUGGAGAGAUCUCUCUACAACAACAAGAGUCUCAUGUGUUAAUUAUAUUAUCACCAAUAAUACCUGACAAGCAAGAAAACUUACAGCUCUAAUACGUCUAUGGGAAGUACAAAUUGCAAGUUCCACGUACAAAGAAAUCCAAUCACUGCAUCGCAACUCAGAUUCAUUCAACUGUAAAGGCAAAUAAAACAUAUAUUAGUACUAGGCAAAAGAAAAACUGACGCAUGCAAGUGACCACAAGUGAGUGUCUUAAUAAAAUUAUGUUACCACAUAAAAACGUUUUGUGUCACUGAAAGCAAUAUCUGAGGAGGGCCAUGCAAUCUCUGAGGAGGGCCAAUCAAGCAAUCUGUUUUUGUAGGAAGUAGACACUCGCUGGCGAUGUGGACGUAAGAAAGGCGUCUCCUUCUUUGAACUCUCGGUCACUAUGCAAAAUGUUAUAUAGUCAGCAAGUGUGAGAUGUAAAUUAAUUGAUUAAUACAUCAAAUCUUUACCUUGAGGUCUAGAAUGACGGCACGUCAAAUCUAAAAUUCCAAGACGUUCUUCCUCGACUACAACCUGAAAGUGAUGAUGGUAUCGUGUUUUUGAGAGCGUUUUUAUUUUUUUACUUUUUGAGAGCGUUUUUAUUUUUAAUUGAUUAAUACAUCAAAUCUUUACCUGUAGCUCCCAUCAAACAUUCCAGCAUCUCCUGCUAACUCGUUCAAAUUAAGUCAUAGGUGCAGAGAAAAUCAUCUCCAUGGGUGACUCAUGAACCCAUUGAAUCAUGCCUCUUAUCUCUCAUACUAUCAUACUUGGAAGAAGCAGCAAGACUAUUACUCUAGUGCUCAAUGUUAGAUUUAGGACUAGAUAGAGAAACUAAAACCAAGAAUAAAGUCUUGUCUCUCUUCAUAAUCUCCUCUCUAGUUAUAAUGCACACGUACAUACUAUCAUAAAAUUGGUUAAUGCAUACACCAAAGUCAACUUACUCUAUAGAUGAUGCUAAUAAAAAAUAGUAAAUUAACCUGAUUGCAUUAGGGACAAGUACACGCUUAAAAAAAAGAGACCAAAAGCACAAAGUACAUAAUCAUCACUAAUAAUAAUAGUUAAAAACUAUUACAUCCGAUACACAUCUUCAAAUGUCUUAAAUAAAUACCAAAAAAAUACACAAUACAUAAGCAUCACAAAUUAAUAGUUAAAUAAUACCAUCCGAUACACAUCUUCAAAUGUCUUUUUUUUUUUUGAAACUCGUAAUAAAUUGAUUAGCAAUGUUUAGUUGGGGCCAUUAAAGGCACCCUCAACAAGCAAGAGACCAGAUGCAUUAAUAGCGUUCUUGGCCAAUAAAUCAGCAAUGGUGUUCCUCUCUCGAGGGAUCCAUACGAACGCAACAAAUUCAAAAGAUAGAGAUAACGUAAGAAUGUCUGCAACAACGCCAUGUAGCUCCGCAACCCUCGCUCCUGCGUUUAUAAUCGAGACCAGUUGAGCAGAAUCCGACUCAAACUUGACCUUCUUCAGCUCCAUUCUUUUGCAGGUGGCGACCGCUUCCCGCAAAGCUAGGGCUUCAGCCAUAAGAGCAGACCCAACAUGUGCUGCGCGAUCUUUGAAGGAUUGAUUUCCCUCCCGUAGCAAUUGAACCCAUCCCAACCCUGCAACCAAAAGGUUAGAGUUCCAAGCAGCAUCGGUCCUUACCACCGUCGCGUCCAUAGGGCAUGUGAGCUCAGGUUUUUUCCCUCGCUUCCGCGGUGGGUCAUCUCGCUUUUGAUUCUCGCUCCAUUCUCGCGCAGCUCGAAUUGCAGCUAAAAGUGUAUCUUCAGGAGAUACUGAGAAGCCUUCAAAGACUAGUCUGUUCCUCGACUUCCAUAGCAUCCAGAGUAUCCAUAAGGUCAGAGAGCCUGACGAGAUUCCAGUAGGUGGGAGGCAGUGCAGUGAAAUCAGAGAGCUCCAAGAAGCAAUCAAAUCUACCAUUCCACUACAUUCCACAUCAGCCACAAGAGGUGCUAACCUCCAGACUUUCCGAGCGAACGGACAGUGAAAGAAUAGAUGAGUGAUAGAUUCGAUGCAUCCGCAUCUUUUACAUUUUGGGUCGAUAUCAAUAUGCCUGUCAACCAGUCUUUCUCCGACCGGUAGCGCACCCUUCAGGAUCUUCCAAGCAAAGAGUUUGAGUUUAGGUGCAGUGUCGACGUUCCAUACGCAUUUCUUCCAGUUGAAGUCAGGUCCUGCGAACUCGUUAUCUUGGUGGUCUUCGUCCUCCACAGCAGCAUAAUACCCAGACUUUGUAGCAUACUCACCAGACUUUGUUCCUAGCCACAUCAGUUUAUCCGGAGCCCCGGUGGUACUAUGUUUAAUGCUGAGUAUCAGAUCUUCAUACUCAGGGAGGAUGAGUCUAAUCCUCUGAAGGUCCCACAGGCGUCCUCCUGGUAGCAUAAGGUCAGCAACCACCAUCUCAACAUGCUGUUCAUUCGGAGGCCCCAUUGGCCUCAGUUGCGUGCUCAUAGAAAGCCACGGAUCUCGCCAUAUAUUAAUGGAUUUCCCAUCUCCUACUGCCCAUCCUAUCUUCUUUAGUAAAAGAUCACGCCCCACCAAAACACUCCGCCAACCAUGAGACAUAACUGAGGGAGGGGAAGCUUCCAGGAAGUUGUUUUCCGGGCAGUAUUUGCCAAAUAAGGUCUUGCCGAGUAAGCUCUCCGGGUUUUCUAGCAAUCUCCAUCCUAUUUUGGCCAGCAGGGCAUCAUUAAAUUUCUGAAAAUCCCGGAUGCCCAGCCCACCUGAGGCUUUUGGCUUUGAUAUCCUUUCCCAAGAGACCCAAGCCAUCUUCUUUUUCUCCUCAUUAUCGUCCCACCAGAACCGAGUAACUACAGAUUGAAUUCUCUUGCAAAGCGAGAUAGGUAACUUGAAGCUAGACAUAGCAAAAGAGGGCGUUGGAGAUAGUACACUUUGCAGCAUAACAAGCUUACCCGCAGAGGAGAGGAACUUGGUAGACCAUCCUCUAGCUUUUUGUUGGAUCCGGUCUAUGAUAGAGGCGAAUAGGUCUCGCUUACGUCGUCCAAAUUGCUCGGGAAGCCCCAAAUACUUGCCCAUACCCCCAUCCUUUUGUAUUUUCAGUUCGUUCUUCACCAUCUCCUUCAGCUCAGCAGGGGCUUUAUUUGAAAACGUGAUGCUCGAUUUGUCCACAUUAAUCGACUGGCCUGAAGCUUCUUCAUAUUUUCGCAAGAUAUCAUUGAGCGUUUUGCAGUUUCCCUUAUUGGCAUGUAGGAAGAACAUUGUAUCAUCCGCGAACAAGAGAUGAGAGAUGCGAGGACAUCCCCUAGCCACCUGGAGGCCGUUAAGAUCUCCAUUUUCUUGCGCUUUGUUACAUAAUCCCGAGAGGACUUCACUACACAUUAUAAAUAUGUAGGGAGAAAGAGGGUCGCCUUGGCGGAUUCCUCUGCUCGGUACUACCUUCCCUCUAGGCAAGCCGUUAAUGAGGAAGGAGUAUGUAACUGUCGAGAUACAUUGCAUGAUUGCUCGAAUCCAAUCUCGGUGGAAUCCCAACCGAGAGAGAACUAACGCCACAAAGUCCCACUCGAGACGAUCGUAGGCCUUACUCAUAUCUGUUUUAACCGCCAUCGCACAUCUCUGUUCCGCUUUAGAUGUUUUUAGAAAAUGAAGUACCUCAUGAGUGAUAAGGAUAUUAUCACCAAUUGCUCGUCCUGGGACGAAGGCCGACUGGUUUUCGGAGAUAAGUCUAUCCGUGUGGGGUUGUAGCCUGCGGGUGAGAAUCUUUGAGUAGAUUUUGUAAUAGACAUUACACAGUGCGAUGGGCCUAUAAUAGACAUCUUCAAAUGUCUUAAGUUACUAAAUAGGCAAUCAACUUGUGGGGAAGAUUGGAGGCCAUGGUUUUUGUACAUUUGAUACCACCUAGGACUAGACAACCUCCACAGCUUAUGAACUCCUAAGCGACACCUAAGCAUUCGGGAUCUCUUUUUAGAAGGCACCGAAGCCAUUGCUGCUUCUUCAAUCCAACAAUCACCUUGGAUGCUCAAUAUUCCGGUAGCCUCGUUGAUGACUCGUCUUACAACAUCUUGGCAGUGAUAAGGCUCACCAGUCCUAGCCUUGGCCAAGUCCUUGUAUGCUAUGUAAAUGACUACAGCUUUAGACUUGAGACUUGGGGGCUCCUUAUCAUCGAGAGAUUCUAUGGCCACUUGGACAAUCUCCAAAAAGUUGGAGAGAUCCUUCUGCAUCAACAAGAUUUUGCAUUAUCACCAUGUAUGUUAUUGAUACGCAAAGUGGGAGAACACAAAACUUACAGCUUUAAACCACCUUUGGGAAGUACAGAUUGCAAGUUCCACAUACAAAAAAAUCCAAUCACAUUGCAACUCAGAUUCAUUUAACUGCCAAAAAAAUAUAUAUAUAUUAGUAAUUUAGUACUAUGCCAAAAGCAAAACAGAUGCAUGCAAGCGGACCACAACAAGAAUAUAUUACCAUGUAAAAACACUUUGUGUCAAUAAAACCAAUCUCAGAGGAGGGCCAUGGAAUUAUUGACGAGGGCCAAUCAUCCAAUCUGUCUUGGUAAGUAGAGAACACUGGCUCGGAAUGUGGACGUAAGAAAGGAGUUGACUCCUUCCUUGAACUCUCGGUCCCUAUGCAAUAUGUCAACUAUAGUUAGCAAAAGUAGUGAAAUUGAUUAAAGUAUCAACAAAGCAACCUUUACCUUGAGGUCUAGAGAUGGGGCAUGUCAAAUCUAAAAUGCCAAGACGUUCUUCCUCUACGAGAACUUGAAAGAUCUGCUGCAAACCGCUAGAUGGAAGGCACGCAACCAAGGUUAUGUAGUAAGGAGAUGCAGCACUACGAAUGUUGAAUUUCAAUAAGCUAUCUAGCUCAAAGUUUGUCCCCUACAACAGAUUAGAAACAAAUGAAACCCUUUAAAACUAUCCUCGAGCUACAUUAAAAGCAACAUACUAGUUUAGUUUGUUGUUUGUUUAUACCUCUAACCAGUUUUAGCGAUGAAGGCCGAGCUUGGCAUAAAGCUUCACCAAGGCACUGUUAGGGUAUGCACGCCCUCCACUACAUUCCACAUGUAUCAGGCCAUAGCCACCACGUCUUGGUGGAAACUCGUCGGGGGACUUGAAAAACUAAAACUAACAAUAGCCACAUCAGAAAACAAUCAAUCAGUGACAAAGGGCUUUAAGUUUCGUAAAGUCAUCUCCAGAAAAGAAAAAAUCACAAUCAUAGAUAACAAUUUGAAAAACAUCAACUACUAAUUUUUUGAUUAAGAAGGAAGUAAUACUUACAUCCAGCUCCUCCAUUCGUCUAGUAUAUUCUCCAGCGACGACUCGUCUUCCUCAAGUCGGAAGGUUGGUGGGUACAAUGCGGCUAGCUGCGGAAACUGAAAAGUAUUAAUUAAAUGUAUUUAUUUGUGGGAAUAGGAAAUAUAUAGAACAUUUAUUUUUUGAGCAAUGAUGAUUGGUCUACGCAACUUUACAUAUAUAAUCUGCCUUUUUUUGUAAAGUAAACUGUGAAACUGAGAUAUUUGUGUUUGGAAAAGACUAAAAUAUACACUUUGUAUUUGUAAAACUAUAGAAGAUGCUUCAAUUUGAUGGUAAACCAAAGUUUUUAUUUUAAUGCAGUGUCUGAAGUUCUAAACGAUGUCUUAGAUUCUGUACAAUGAACAACAAACCGAUAUUAAUGUUAGCUUUUGACGUGAACACCAACGCGACGAACAUGGCUAGCACAAAGGCUUUUAAUUCUUGAGAUCACGACCAGCUACUAAUCUCGUUUUCUUAAUUAACACGUUUUUUAUUUUAUCUAUGAUAAGCUGUUCUGAGCUUGAUUACAAUUCCGUCCUUAUUGAAUAAUAUUACCACUCUAUCUCUAUAUAUAGAUGAUUAGUGUCAGUGUUUUGUAUAUAUGCUCAUAUAGAUAUAUUAUAUACAGUGUAUCCAAUACUUUUAGGUUUAAUUGGUUGCGUAUACCAUCCUUCCAAUCAGAAAAGAAGGGAAUCGUAAUUUAGUGAGCUUAAUAGUAUCCAAAGUUAAACUCAUCGGACGUGAUUUAAUUCGUGGUCUUACAGGAUAACCACUGAUGCGAUAUCAUUCAUUCCAUACUACAAUCGUAGCAUUCUCCCUUCAGAUGAACGCUUAUGGGAAACUUUGUUCAUGUGGUCUUAGUUUUCACAUGCAUAUUCAAUUGGGAAAUUGCAUGCUAUAACACUAAAAAAAUCCAAAAUUCACUCCCUAACUAAAAUAACACUCUUUCACCUCUUUUCUUUUCCUAUCUCUUUCUACUUUCUUUCUACAAAAUUAAUUUUUUUUGGCUAUUUCACAAAUAAACUUUAUAAUUUCUACUUUCCAAACGAAAUUAUUUUCUCUCUUGUUGAGUAAAAAGCCACUUUCUCUUUGACGAUAAAAUAAUAUAAAACUAAUGUCUAUUUUCCGAAUAUGGUUGCAAGAAUAGUAUUACUUAGAGCAUGAUUAACCCAAGCUUUUAAUUUUGGAUUCUUAACUCAUGAUUUGACAUUUUUUUGCUUUUUUUCACUUUUCGGCUAAGAACCAGUUUUUAUAUAUCUUAUUUAAAAACAAUUUUUAAUUUUUCUUAGUUAAAAGUUAAGAAACAGUUCUUAUCCGCAGUUAAGAACCCUACCUUAAGAACAUGGGUUAAUCAUGGUUUUAGUGUAUCUUUUAGCAACGACAUGAUGCCAAAUUCAUUUAGACAAAACCCAAAGUUAAAUAUUGUUCAACGAAGCCUCCGGCGAUUUUUACUGGACAAUCUAAUAUUGUUAUAUGUUUUGUUGUUGUUUAUGUUAGUUGAUAGACAAAUGAAUCAUGCGACGCACGUUAAAACCGACAAAACAAGUUAGUUAUUUCUCGGGUUUUUUUUUCUUGAGUGCAUUGGUUACUGCUUGAUGAUUCAUACACCACGUGAUUGCUUUUUCAAGUUCUGACUUCCGGGGCUAUUAUAUUGUACCAACAUCUCUCAGCAAUUACAGACAGAAAAAAUUGUAUUAUUAUACGUAAUCGCUACUAUCCAAAAGAAGAUUCUUACAAAAAGAUAGCUUAUCAACCACCACGUAGUUGAUUCUUCGGCCGACCACAUGACUCAAUCUGUCAAACUGCUGAUCACCAGUCUUUACGGGUCCCGCUUCUAAGCAUUUGGCUUUGACGCGAUGUCAAAAGACAAUUAUACAACGGUACAAAAUUAUUUGUGGGACUCGUCUAUCAUUUUCGUCUUUAAUGAUAAUAUUUGUUUCUCGAAAUAUGUCGCAGUUGGGUUUCUUAUGAGAAUCUGACAGGUUUAAAGAGAAGUUAGGUUUGGUUUCAAUAAUUAUAAGUUCGAUUGUCUCUUCUUGCAUGUUUCUUUCAGAAUUAUUUCUCCUUCUUUAAUCGCAUUCUCAUUUAUUUGCAUUCAAACCGAAUUAAAAGCAUUUAAUUAAUAAUUGUACUCCCUAUAUUUGAUAGUAGUAUGUGAAUCAUGCGACGCACGUUAAAACCGACAAAACAAGUUAGUUAUUUCUCGGGUUUUUUUUUCUUGAGUGCAUUGGUUACUGCUUGAUGAUUCAUACACCACGUGAUUGCUUUUUCAAGUUCUGACUUCCGGGGCUAUUAUAUUGUACCAACAUCUCUCAGCAAUUACAGACAGAAAAAAUUGUAUUAUUAUACGUAAUCGCUACUAUCCAAAAGAAGAUUCUUACAAAAAGAUAGCUUAUCAACCACCACGUAGUUGAUUCUUCGGCCGACCACAUGACUCAAUCUGUCAAACUGCUGAUCACCAGUCUUUACGGGUCCCGCUUCUAAGCAUUUGGCUUUGACGCGAUGUCAAAAGACAAUUAUACAACGGUACAAAAUUAUUUGUGGGACUCGUCUAUCAUUUUCGUUUUUAAUGAUAAUAUUUGUUUCUCGAAAUAUGUCGCAGUUAGGUUUCUUAUGAGAAUCUGACAGGUUUCAAGAGAAGUUAGGUUUGGUUUCAAUAAUUAUAAGUUCGAUUGUCUCUUCUUGCAUGUUUCUUUCAGAAUUAUUUCUCCUUCUUUAAUCGCAUUCUCAUUUAUUUGCAUUCAAACCGAAUUAAAAGCAUUUAAUUAAUAAUUGUACUCCCUAUAUUUGAUAGUAGUAUGUUAUAUUCCACUGUUAUUUAACUUGAGAUGUGUUAGCGUUUUUUUCAUAUCUAAUUCAAUUAUAUUGAGUCAUUGACUUCUUAACUUUGGGUCUAACAAUAUUAAAUCAACUCCAUUGUGAUUUUACCCAAAAAGACCAUUAUUGUAAUCGGUCAAGGUAGUCGUAUUUAUAUUGUAUCUAAAUUACAAGUUGUCACAAAUUAUGGGUCCAUUCAAUACCCAUAAUAACGCCUCAAACGUCAUCGAUGAGAUAUCUAUCCACUCAACUAACCGUACCACAUGGGUAGGACCAGAGUGUUGAGUUGUCUUCUCCCCUCGUUAGUUUCUAUCAAGUUUUGUUUUCUUUCCAGCUCCAACUUUGUUUUAUUUCAUUAUUUUUAUAUGUUUUUGAUUUGUUUUGUACAACGGUACAAAAUUAUUUGUGGGACUCGUCUAUCAUUUUCGUCUUUAAUGAUAAUAUUUGUUUCUCGAAAUAUGUCGCAGUUAGGUUUCUUAUGAGAAUCUGACAGGUUUCAAGAGAAGUUAGGUUUGGUUUCAAUAAUUAUAAGUUCGAUUGUCUCUUCUUGCAUGUUUCUUUCAGAAUUAUUUCUCCUUCUUUAAUCGCAUUCUCAUUUAUUUGCAUUCAAACCGAAUUAAAAGCAUUUAAUUAAUAAUUGUACUCCCUAUAUUUGAUAGUAGUAUGUUAUAUUCCACUGUUAUUUAACUUGAGAUGUGUUAGCGUUUUUUUCAUAUCUAAUUCAAUUAUAUUGAGUCAUUGACUUCUUAACUUUGGGUCUAACAAUAUUAAAUCAACUCCAUUGUGAUUUUACCCAAAAAGACCAUUAUUGUAAUCGGUCAAGGUAGUCGUAUUUAUAUUGUAUCUAAAUUACAAGUUGUCACAAAUUAUGGGUCCAUUCAAUACCCAUAAUAACGCCUCAAACGUCAUCGAUGAGAUAUCUAUCCACUCAACUAACCGUACCACAUGGGUAGGACCAGAGUGUUGAGUUGUCUUCUCCCCUCGUUAGUUUCUAUCAAGUUUUGUUUUCUUUCCAGCUCCAACUUUGUUUUAUUUCAUUAUUUUUAUAUGUUUUUGAUUUGUUUUGUUUCAUUAUUAAUGCAAAAUUCAAAAGAGUGAUCGAAAGAUUCCGCUUCUUACGCAAGCUUUAACAAAAAUAAAUAAUCCGGUUUAGUGGGUUCAUUGCUAGACUCCACUAUAUGUAACUCCAACUAGAAAAUGCCACGCAUUUACGUGACAUAAGGUGUACAAUGACAAUGCCACAGUCGCCGGAAGUGAGCUUUAUUCCAUUAGUUAUUUAAAUUGGAGUUAGUGAUUUAUAAAUUAGUGUGUUUUGGUUUGAUACUGCAUGCUAAUAUAAUACCAUGUCAUUGGGCAUGCGAAGUAACACGCAAUAUGCAUGCAAUGCACCGCCAAAUUUCGAUUAGUUAUACUAGUUUUCUUCGUGCGUUGUUUGUCUUAUAGAACGUGGAAUUUGAUACGUUCAUAUUUAUUUCAUGAAUGUGAGAACAAAGAACAUAAUAAAGGAGAAAAUAAGAAUUAAUUAAAAACUGUAUAGUAUUUUCCACUCACGGGAAGAUUCAUAAGUGAUAAGUCAUGUCUAGAGUCCCCUUCGAAAAAAGGAAUAGAGAUGGCCGAUGGGUAUAAUCCAAGGCAUAUACUUAGGUUGGAAUAUUUUAUGGAGAUUGGAAUUUUCAUUACGGUUAUUUCUUUGAAAGAAUAUGCUUUAAUAAUAUGCUCGCACAAAUCAAAAAUCAUGUUUACCUUGUGUGUUUUGAAUUUUAAGAUUCCAAUAUAUAUAUAUUUUAGCCCGAGAAAGAAUAAGGUAAAGAGAUGAUAGGAACACUUGGACGUAUCUUUUUAAUCUAAACGUUGCAAAUGUUAGGACAAAAGUAGUUUUAGAUACGAGUCAUAUGACACUAGAGUUAUUUGGUUACCGUACAGGCGUGUACACCCUAGGUGCAUCAAUCAAAGACGUGAAAAAGUGAAAAGGUUGAUAGAUUUGUGUUUUUCUAAUAAAAAAGCUGAUAGAUAACGAAAAGUGGGCACAUACUAAUCGGUGGACUCUUACUAAAGCACGUUACACAAUCUAGAGAAAAUUUGCCAUGUCAAUAAAAAAACAAACAUAAGAAAUAAUAUCAAAAUGUCUUCGUUAGGUGUUGUUGUAAUCUAAACCCAUCUCCAAAAUUUCUCUAAAAUAAAUUAAACAAAAACUGGAUAAUUAUCAAAUAAAUUAUCAUAUGUACCAAGUUUUGGAUCAAAUGAGAAAAGCAAAAGCAUACAUAACUUAUUUAUUGAUAAAGCAAGGAAAAGAAGAGUACAACUCUGCUUUCUCUCAUCCUUUUACACACCUCAAAGGCAGAAAAUAAAACACUAAAAGGCGGAAAAAGAUAGUUAUCCUCUACACUACACUACCCUAAAGGACUUAAACAGCAAAAGCCAACAUUUCACAAAACGAAAGAAGAAAAAACUCAUUGCCAAACAUCACUCAGAAGAAGCCAGCCAGCUUGGAACUUGGCAGCAACCUCUUUUUUAUUUAUUUAGCUCCUUUUUUUUAUGCGUUCUUCCAGAAGAGCCUUUUACCAUGUGAGUAGGCAUAAUAUACAAAGCAAACCCACCCAUUUACAUGCCGACACACUCCCACACACAUGUUACUGUCAGACCUAGACCAAGACCAAGAAAAAGCGAUAAGCACUCUCAUUACUUAUUAAUACUACAUUAACUUAUUCUCCCCUCUUCACUUAUAUAUCCGAAUCUUUCUAGAUGAAUCUUUCCUCUGCUUCCCCUGCUCUUUGAAUCCAUGGAUGCCCUGCAAAAUUUAUUUAAAAAUUACAAAAUUAUUUACUUUUAACAAAACUUUUAUCGACUAAACAUCAAUAGACAGAUCUAAUGAAUGGUAAAAGAACAAGACUAAAACUUACUGAGAGCUUGUUCAGCUGAGAGUCUUCUAGAAGCAUCCUUACACAUCAACUUCCUCAAGAAGUCUUUAGCCAUCGACGACACACCUCUGAACACACUCGGCGGAAACCUCAAGUUUCCCCUAAGCACGGCUUCAAAAAUCUCCUCCGCCGUCUCCCCGUAAAACGGCGGAGCUCCGGCGAGCAUCGUGUAAAAAACAACACCCGCGCUCCAGAGAUCAACCUUCUCUCCGUACGAACAACCCAUCAGAACCUCCGGCGCCACGUAAUACGGCGUCCCCACCACACCUUCGGUGGUCUCUCCCUCACCCAACCAAGCCCCAGACCCGAAGUCACAGAUCUUCACCGCAUCGUUCCUAAGAUCAAGUAAAAUAUUCUCCGGUUUAAUGUCCCUGUGAACGACGCCGUACCGGUGGCAAUGCGAGAGCCCCUGGAGAAUCUGUUUCGCGAACGACGCCGUUUGGGACUCGGAGAAGGUCCCGGAGGAGACGAGGCGGUCGUAGACGGAGACGGAGGGGUCCACUAGCUCCAUGUAGAUGGAGAGGGUGGAGUCCGUGUCGACGAGGUCGUGGAUUUGGAUGAUGUUCGGGUGGUAAGACAAGAGAGCCAUGAGUUUGGGCUCGGUGUCGAUGCACGCGCGGUCGAGCGCGUCGGUGAGGGAGCUUUUAUCCAUGGUUUUGCAUGCGAAGAAAUCACCGGUGGCUGGCGCGUAGACGCGAGUGACGGUUCCGAAGCGUCCACGACCGAUCUCUUCGCAGAUCUGGUACUUGUUGUCGUUGUUGUUGUUGUUUUGGCUGCAAGUCAUAGUAUGUUUUGAGUUUUGUUGUUGUUGUGUUGUGUUGUGUUUAGUAAAAGAGGGAUCCAUUGAGUGAGAUGUCUCUGUCUUUAUAGGACAAAUUCUUAAAAGGUAUAUUCCAUUUGAUGCUUUUAUGUUUUUUUUUCCAGUCCCAUUGGAUAUUGGAUAUUGGAUAUUGGAUAUGCCAUUAACUUUAGUAGCCCAUAGGAUAUAUUGGAUUUGCUUUGGGUCGGAGAGUAAUUAUGAUUUUUAUUUUAUUUAUUUUUGGGGUCUAUAUUCAUUUAUUCAUUGGUUUGAUCAAUGGGGGUGUUAUUAGGAGGCUGAUUCACGAAGAGUUUAUGGAUUUAAAAAAUUUAUUGACUUUUGAAGAAUUGGAAAAUUUUCAAAGGAUUUUAACAAACAAAUGUAUCUAUAUUUAUAGAAUCCAUACAAUUUUCAUAGAUCGUCAUGGAUUCAUAAUUACAUUAAUUUUUGUUUAUGUAAAAUAAUUAUAUAAGAAUAAAUAAUGUAUUCGAGAUUGCAAUUAAUCUUGGUACUCCAAAUCCCUUAGACUAUAUUUGAGAAGUGAUUUGUAUAUGUGUCAUCACUACAUUAACUUUCACAAAAAAAUGAUGACAUGGCUUAAAAGAAAUAUGACAUGGCAUAAAUCUAAUUGUGACAUGUAAAAUUUACUAUAUUUAGAUUUAUGUUUUUGGUAAGAUUUCUUAAAUAUAAUAAUAAUAAUUUUCUAUAUACGGAUUUAUAUUUUUGGAAAUUUUUUAUAAUAUAGUAAUAACUAAUAAAUUAUUGAGUUCACAUUAGUAUAAUGCCAUUUUAAAACGGGUUACAUUUUUUUUUUGGUAGGUUUUAAAACGGGUUACAUAAACGUUCUUGUUUUAAACUACAAACUAUUAAUUGGUGGGAUAAAAAUUCUAUUAAGAAACUUGGUCAACCCUCAUGGCCUCAUCAACCAUAUAUAUAUUUUAAUAACUAAAAAUUACCUGGCUGAGUGAGAUGUUUUAUUGCAAGCUAAAACAAUUUUAAAAGAAAAAGUACGUAUCCAACUUUCAUGCAACAUUUGAAGAGUUAAUGUUUCACCAAUCCAUGCAUAAUCUCAUAUUUCAUAUUCUAAAGUUCGUUGAACGUUUACUGCAGCGGCACCACUUCAAAAAUGAAAUAUACAAACUUAUUAUCAUUACAGAUAGCUCUCGCCUCUCGUUGCUGCUGGAAAGUUUUCUUUAUGAAAAAUGUCAUAUUGGUUCGACCAGUAAAAGUGUCAGCCGGCUUAACUGAGUUCGAUCGUCAUCGAAAGUUCAAUUUCCACUCAGACUUUUUCUUCUCUUUGGUGUAGGGCCACUACAAAACAAUUGUAUAUAUGUAUAACAUAUGCUUUCACAAUUAUUGAAGAAAGAAGAAGAAAGUCCCAUAUGAAUGAAAUAAAGAUAUAACAAAGUCUCAAAAUUUGGUGUCACGCUUAUAACGAUUGUAUAAUUUUAGUUUAUUGUAGAGAAGAAAAAUGAAAAAUAAAAAAAAUAAAAUCUGGAAAAUUAAAUCCGAUAGAGACGGAGACGCCAUGAUCCAUGAGAGUAGAAGUGAAACGUGGGAGCUGGCUCAAUAUUUCUAUAAAUAGAGAGACAUGAAGGUAUGUAGUUACAGCUACUCCAGACUUGAAAAAGUAUUGACGACUAGUGGGUGAAAGAUAUCUGAGUUCCGUCUUCUCUACUUGUAAGUCUUUAUUACUAAUCAAGUGGUACGUUCCAUUUUUUCAACUAAUGGUAGCAAGAUUUGUAGACGAGAUGCUAUACCUGAUGCUUCAGUUAUAGCUGUCUCUGUAUAGAUUUGAUAUCCGUUCCAUCAUAGAUCAUUGUUGCUCCUUAAAUUCGUAAUAUAUAUCGUAUUAUGAGGAUUUGAGACCGUAACAAUUAAAGGAAAAACAGAAUAUAUUUUACAUGUGUAUUGUCAUUACAAAAUCAUGAUUUGUCCUUUUCUGCAUCAUAUGUCUUCUUCGUAAAUACGUGCAUGGUGCAAGAUAAUUUUUUUAACAGGCUAAUGUUCAUAAAUUAUGUAAUAUACACAUAAAUUUGAUUUUCUUUUUAUAUUCUGUAUAUAUGUUUUUGGAGAAGAUUUAGACCCAUGCUGCCAUGCAUAUGAAUCUAUCUAGAUUAAGAUCCUUAAAUCAUAGCUAGUCAUUUGUCCAAAAACAUAAAACAGUUUGUACUCCAAACAAAAAUUUAGAAAAGAUAAAAAGUGAACACCAUAAUCUGUUAUAAGUUCUGAAUUAAAUAAACCAAAUAAAACAUGCUCGAGUUAGAAUUUACGUUAUCUUUAUUAUUCUCCGCUUGCCAAGGAAACAAAGCACAUAUAUCAUACGGUUGAAAAUAAGAAUAAAGUUACGUACAUCUCAUAACAAAUAUAUUAUAGUCACUAUAUUAUUAUUUUUUUUUAAAGAAAAUAAAUUGACAACUAUAGUCACUAUAGUCACUAUAUUAACAACUAUAAGUUUUUUGUUUAAACUAAGAAUUUCAAUUAAAAUAAACGUUUACAAAGGUUUGAGAACCUUAUAGACAGAAAAAGCUUGCAUGACCUUAGAAUUUAGAUCAAUUGAAAGUGAACACUAUAAAACUUUGGUUAAUCGAUACGGUCGAGGAUAAUAAGAAGACGACAACUAUCUCGUGAAUUGCUUUUUGCCUUGGAAACGUAUGUACGUGUGCUUCCCAUAUGGUACCCAACUUCGUCGUUUUCUUUUAAGUUUCAAUGCCAACAGUUCCUAAUUCCUAAAGGCUUUCCUGGCAGCCAGUGGCGGAGCUACCACACGAUCAUGUGGGUCAAAUGACCCAUGUGAAUUUUUGAAAAAAAAAAAAUUGCAUGUAUUUCCUAUAGAAACAUAUGAUUAAUUUAAUUUGUUUACUGAUCCUAGUAAAACUCUUGUAUCAUCAACUUGACCCCUGUGAAAAACAUUUUUCCCUCAGCCACUGCUGGCAGCCAAAUGAUAACUUUGGCCUAACAGAUUCUGUUUUUGUAUAGUAUCAUUCUUCUUAACAUGCAAACCUGAAACUUUCCUUAGCUUCACGAGUUUAUUAAAAAAUGUUUUAAUUAUUGUGAUGUGUGUUAGGCCGCAUCAAGCUUAUUUAACUAUUUACACAGGUACUCCUCCGGUUCUAUAUAUUUUAUAUCAAAAAUAUUUUUUCUCAGUAAAUAUUCAUUUUGGUAAGAUUUUAUGAUACCUAAUAACUUUUCUAUAUCUAUUAAAAUAAUAUGUUUUUAUAUAUAAAUAAUAAUUACGAAUAUUAAAAUUUUACAUCAAUAUAUGAAUCAUAUUUUUAUUAUUAAAAUAAGUGUAGUUUAAAAUAUAUUUUAUCAACGUAUAUAAGUUAUUUUUAUUUAAUGUAUAUAUUAUUAGAAAUAAUUUAUAUAUUUACAAAUAGACAUAUUUAAAAAUGGUAAUUAAAUAAAGAAUAAUAUAAUAAAGUAACUUUAUAAAUUUCAAUUAUUUUUAUCAAAAGUUAAAUAAUGCAAAAUUAAAAGGUCAAAGUAAACUUGAAUAAAUCAAACUAAAAACAAUUACAUUAUGGUUUUAUUUUUUAAACUAAUAAAAGUAAAAUAUAAAAAUAGAAAAUUUUAUUUAUAUAUAACAUUUUUAAAUAUUUUAUAUUUACGCAUGGCGCAAGAAAACUCCUAAUUAAGCUUUAUGUUUGCUUAAUUUAGUUUUCUUUUUGCGUUUGUAAUAGAUUGACUAUAUUUUAGUUAUAUUAUAUUUAGUAUAAUUUAAACGUUUCCUAAAAAUAAAUUAUGUAGCAUAUAAUAUACACAUAAUUUGUUCAAAAUUACAAAUCAUUUGUUCAGAAUGAUUUGAUCUAUAAUCUUUUUUUUUUUUGAAACUAAGAUUUGAUCUAUAAUCUAUAAUUUAUUAGAAAAAAAUAGCGUGUUAAGGAAACACAUGCCGUGUAAGUUAUAUGAUAAUAGCAUGUUGUAAUUAUCUUUUGGACGGUCAACUGAUAGCAUGUUAUUGAGUUCACAUUAGUAUAAUGCCAUUUUAAAACGGGUUACAUUUUUUUUUUGGUAGGUUUUAAAACGGGUUACAUAAACGUUCUUGUUUUAAACUACAAACUAUUAAUUGGUGGGAUAAAAAUUCUAUUAAGAAACUUGGUCAACCCUCAUGGCCUCAUCAACCAUAUAUAUAUUUUAAUAACUAAAAAUUACCUGGCUGAGUGAGAUGUUUUAUUGCAAGCUAAAACAAUUUUAAAAGAAAAAGUACGUAUCCAACUUUCAUGCAACAUUUGAAGAGUUAAUGUUUCACCAAUCCAUGCAUAAUCUCAUAUUUCAUAUUCUAAAGUUCGUUGAACGUUUACUGCAGCGGCACCACUUCAAAAAUGAAAUAUACAAACUUAUUAUCAUUACAGAUAGCUCUCGCCUCUCGUUGCUGCUGGAAAGUUUUCUUUAUGAAAAAUGUCAUAUUGGUUCGACCAGUAAAAGUGUCAGCCGGCUUAACUGAGUUCGAUCGUCAUCGAAAGUUCAAUUUCCACUCAGACUUUUUCUUCUCUUUGGUGUAGGGCCACUACAAAACAAUUGUAUAUAUGUAUAACAUAUGCUUUCACAAUUAUUAAAGAAAGAAGAAGAAAGUCCCAUAUGAAUGAAAUAAAGAUAUAACAAAGUCUCAAAAUUUGGUGUCACGCUUAUAACGAUUGUAUAAUUUUAGUUUAUUUUAGAGAAGAAAAAUGAAAAAUAAAAAAAAUAAAAUCUGGAAAAUUAAAUCCGAUAGAGACGGAGACGCCAUGAUCCAUGAGAGUAGAAGUGAAACGUGGGAGCUGGCUCAAUAUUUCUAUAAAUAGAGAGACAUGAAGGUAUGUAGUUACAGCUACUCCAGACUUGAAAAAGUAUUGACGACUAGUGGGUGAAAGAUAUCUGAGUUCCGUCUUCUCUACUUGUAAGUCUUUAUUACUAAUCAAGUGGUACGUUCCAUUUUUUCAACUAAUGGUAGCAAGAUUUGUUGACGAGAUGCUUUACCUGAUGCUUCAAUUAUAGCUGUCUCUGACUCGCUGUAUAUAUUUGAUAUCCGUUCCAUCGAUCAUUGUUGCUCCUUAAAUUCGUAAUAUAUAUCGUAUUAUGAGGAUUUGAGACCGUAACAAUAUAAAGGAAACAUAUAUAGAAAACAGAAUAAAUUUUACAUGUGUAUUGUCAUUACAAAAUCAUGAUUUGUCUUUUUCUGCAUCAUAUAUGUCUUCUUCGUAAAUACGUGCAUGGUGCAAAAUAAUUUCUUAAACAGGCUAAUGUUCAUAAAUAUGUAAUAUACACAUAAAUUUGAUUUUCUUUUUAUAUUCUGUAUAUAUAUGUUUUUGGAGAAGAUUUAGACCCAUGCUGCCUUGCAUAUGAAUCUAUCUAGAUUAAGAUCCUUAAAUCAUAGCUAGUCAUUUGUCCAAAAACAUAAAACAGUUUGUACUCCAAACAAAAAUUUAGAAAAGAUAAGAAGUGAACACUAUAAUCUGUUAUAAGUUCUAAAUUAACUAAACCUUGACAUCCUCGAGUUAGAAUUUACGUUAUCUCCGUUUGCCAAGGAAACAAAGCACAUAUAUCAUACGGUUGAAAAAUAAGAAUAAAGUUACGUACAUAUCAUUACAAAUAUAUUAUAGCCACUAUAUUAACAACUAUAAGUUUUGACAAAUAUAAGACACGACACUAGAAUUUAGAUCAAUUGAAAGUGAACACUAUAAAACUUUGGUUCAUCGAUACGGUCGAGGAUAAUAAGAAGACGACAACUAUCUCGUGAAUUUCUUUUUGCCUUGGAAACGUAUGUACGUGUGCUUCCCAUAUGGAACACAACUUCGUCGUUUUCUUUUAAGUCCCAGUGCCAAACGUUCCUAAACCUUAAAGGCUUUCCUGGCAGCCAAAUGAUAACUUUGGCCUAACAGAUUCUGUUUUUGUAUAGUAUCCUUCCUCUUAACAUGCAAACCUGAAACUUUCCUUAGGUUCACGAGUUUAUUUACAAAUGUUUUAAUUAUUGUGAUGUGUUAUUUUGGUGUUAGGCCGCAUCAAGCUUAUUUAACUAAGCUCAAGUUGGAAUCAGAAACAAGAGCAUCCUUCUUCAUUUACACAGGUACUCCACCGGUUCUCAUGUAAAAUAUUAUUCAAAUCUUAGCCUGCAUGAUCAUCAUUCUCAUGCUCAACACAAUAAUUAUUCUAAGAACUUUUAUUACUACUGGUUUUCUUUUUUCAUUACAUUCCUUCUUAAGAUUAUGAUAUUAAGAAGGAAGGGGACAUUUUAAUAUUCUUCUCAUCCUAAUCUCUAAUAUUUAAAAGCAGCAAUUAGUGAGAUUCGUACGGACGUUUUACAUUUUAAUAGGAGAGUCAUUGGUCUGUGAGUCUGUCCCCCAAAGACCAGUUCAAACGUUCAAUUACUGGAAAGUGUAAUGUCAAGUUUCUUCCUUCUGAUCAUGACAGUCAAAACUGUUGAAACAUAUUCUUAAGAAAAAAAUCUUAAACAAUUAAUAAGUCUUUGCCUUAUAUAACAUGUUAGGGCAUUUGUUUAUCCUUUCAUGCGUUUCCUAAUCUACCUUAUAUAACACGUUAGGGCUUUUAAGAUGGUGAUAAGAAGUGUGGAUCUACGAUCAGACACCGUGACAAGACCCACUGAUGCUAUGCGCGAAGCAAUGGCUAGUGCUGAGGUGGACGAUGACAUACUUGGCUAUGAUCCAACAGCUCGACAUCUCGAAGAGGAGAUGGCUAAGAUGAUGGGUAAAGAGGCAGCUCUCUUCGUGCCAUCUGGUACAAUGGGGAAUCUAAUAUGCGUUAUGGUUCACUGCGAAGUGAGAGGCAGCGAGGUGAUUCUUGGAGACAACAGCCACAUCCAUGUUUACGAGAAUGGAGGGAUAUCAACAAUCGGUGGCGUGCAUCCCAAGACAAUCAAGAAUGAAGAAGACGGGACGAUGGACUUGGGGGCUAUAGAAGCAGCUAUUAGAGACCCUAAAGGAAGCACGUUUUAUCCAUCUACAAGGUUGAUUUGCUUGGAGAACACACACGCCAAGUAAGUGUCGCUCACAACGAGUAAGAAGUUAUGUUUUUAUCAACUAGUCUCUUAUGAGGCAUUGAUGCAGCUCUGGUGGGAGAUGUUUGAGUGCUGAAUACACAGAUAGAGUUGGACAGAUUGCGAAGAGACAUGGACUAAAGCUUCAUAUCGAUGGAGCUCGCCUCUUUAAUGCUUCCAUUGUAAUAUCAAUCAUCUACUUUAUCUCUUUUUUUACAACAAUCCACAGUAUAGUACGUUUGAACUAGGAUUGUGACAUAUAAACACAAUUAUUAUAUGAGAGAAAUAUCUUUAGAUAGCACUAAAUUAAAAAAAAUUUCAAAAAUUAGCACACAAAUAAAUAAAUCACUAAAAUAGCAUUAAUUUUUUAAAAUAUAGUUUUUAUUUAUUUUUAUUUAGGCUUGGGUUAAUGAUUAUAGUUUAAGGCCUAGUAUUUAGUAGGUGGAGUGGAGUUAUGGUUAGAGUUUAGGAUGUAUGGUAGUUUAGUGAUUUUAUUGAUUAAUAAACGUUAUUUUGAGAACUUUUCUUUUCUAGUGCUUAUUCUCUGAUAAAAAACUUAAAAAUUGCUAUUUAUGAGGUUUGCCAUUUCUUUUAGACUAAAAUGUUAUGAAAUAUUCUUUCUGUAGGCACUUGGAGUUCCUGUCCAUAGGCUUGUAGAGGCUGCUGACUCUGUUUCGGUACCGUCUUCUCUCAUUCUAACCUCUGAGAAAGGUUUACAUAAGAGAUAACUGAGAGAUUAGCUGACACAUGUACAUACUAUGUUUCAGGUGUGUCUCUCUAAAAGUCUUGGAGCUCCGGUAGGAACUGUAAUCGUUGGCUCACAUACUUUCAUAGAAAAGGCGAAAACGUUAAGGAAAACAUUAGGUGGAGGAAUGAGACAAAUAGGCGUUUUGUGUGCAGCCGCUUUGGUCGCAAGGUCGCACUCCAAGAGAACCUCCCAAAGCUACAAUUUGACCACAAGAAGGCAAAGUUGUUAGCUGGUACGUACGUACCACUCAUUGACCGUAUUCACUAUUAGAAUUCACCACAACAAGAAAUAUAUAACAGAUAAUAACGUAAAUAUUUGCAGAAGGGUUGAAUCAAAUGAAAGGGAUUAGAAUAAACGUUGCAGCCGUGGAGACUAACAUGGUGCGGUGCGCAUUGUCAACACUCUUGUUGUGUUAUCAAUAAUUAUAUUAAUUAUUUGUCUCAAAAUUCAGAUAUUCAUGGAUAUGGAGGAUGGAUCAAGACUUACUGCUGAGAAACUGCGCAAGAGUCUAACGGAGUGUGGCAUUCUCGUCCUCCCAGGAAACUCAUCUCGGUAUGUCUCACAUGGACAUAAUUUGAUUUGUUUAAACGUUUAAUAUGCAAAUAAAGAAGUUUUUGGAAAGUUAUAUGUUUUAGAUAUAUAAAUAUUGACUUGGAUUGUGGUUUCAGGAUCAGAAUGGUUGUACACCACCAGAUAACAAUAAGUGACGUACAUUACACAUUGUCUUGCUUACAAGUAAGAAUAUUCAUCAUAUUUCUCUGUACUUCUAACGGAUAUUUAUAGGCAUUGAUUUUUUUUUUUGGGGCAGCAAGCAAUGCAAAUGAUUCAGGAACCAAGCCUAAACCAAACCGGCAAAACCGAAAAUGCUCUCUCUUUUUAAAUGUUGUUUGUCUAAGUUAUUUCUAAUUGUAAACAAUAAGGAUCGCUCGAUCUGUCAAUGUAAUUGUCAUCCUAUGAUCUCCUCCAUUUUAUUAUGAAACAUCCUCACAGUUGCAAGAAAAUUGAUUUUUUUUUUCUGGUUUAGAGAUGCUACGACAGCUGAGAUUAGAAAAAUGGUAUUAUCUGAAGUAAUUUUUUGAUAAUCUCUUUCAAUUCAAUGUACUUUGGACUUUCAAAAUAGAUGUCAAUACUAGCGUGUGAUGUGAAACCAAUCCACACAUGAAUCUUGUUGUAGUUCCCACUAGUGACUGAAGUCUAAAACUAAAGGUUUCAAGAGCCUUUAAAGUCUUCUUUUCUUUCUUUCUCCUCUUUGUGUUGUUGUUUCAAGAGACGGAAGAACAAACAGAGUUUUUUGGUUAUAUGUUUCUCUGUUUCCUGUGUAAGGGUGUCCAAAAAAGAACCUGCAGGGAGCCUCAUCAAACUCUGUAUGUACACACUAAAACCAAUCUCCUUCCAACUAAAUCAGCCCCGCUUCUGGAUCUCUUCCUUCACAAGUUCGGUCACCAAAUCUAUGUUAGACUCACUUAAAACCUCUUGAAGUGAGCUCAGUUCCUCCAUGUUAGCCUUCUUGAGCAGAACUUUGAGAUUAGACUUCGUUCCAGCAGGUAAUAGACGUUGUCUGGGAGCUUUCUGGAGAUUUCUCACAUCCGAUGAUUGUAUGCUUGUGUUGGCUUCUCUGAGAAGAAGAGCAUUUGCAGGGAACUGAACCUGUGGCCGCGAGUAAGGCCUGGAGUCCCAAUACUCUGUGCAAACUCUAUUCACGUCUAAUGCUUCAAUAGCCUGUUGAUCACAUUACAAAUGAAGCUUUAUAUUUUUCUAGGAACCAUAGAAGAUGAGAAACUGCCAAAGUUGGUUUUAGUAUUAUUACCUGUAGGAUUGCAGGUGACGUGUAUCCAAACAUUUCAAAACCGUCAGGACUCCCAGAUGGCUGCAGAGGAGGAAGAUCUAGCUUACCAGCUUUGUGCUGCUUACUUAUCUCUUGAUUUACUCUAUCUCUUACCAUCUCCCAGCAUCUUGUAGGCGACAAGUGAGCAAACACCUCACUGGGAACACCCUCCAAGUAAACCUGACAAGUAGAUCAUAACCACACAGUUUGUUAAUGACCAAGAUAAUCUAAGGCAAUGCAACUUUUUUUUCAGAAAAGAAAGAUAUUAAUUUACCAUGAACAAUGGACUGUUGCGUCCAGUAUCAAGAAUCUCUGAAACGUAGAAGCUCAUCCUCGUCGGAUCCAAAACGUUUAUGUACUUGACCCGACUACGAAACCCUGCACCAAAGAUGAAUAGACAUUAAGCAAUUGCAAAAUGUCAUCAAUGCAUAUAUGUUUACAUAAACAACAUGUUACCUUUAGGGAAAAUUGCUCGGCGGUUGCACCAUGAUUUUCCAGAAAGCACACACCCAUAGUUUAGAGGCUCUACAUUGCAAUUGAUUCUCCUCACAACUUUUGCUAUACGUGGACCCUUUUGGCGGAUGAUCCUAUCCGGACUAUUGUUUUGCGAACAAGACGGUGUACCAGAGGUACUUCUUAUCCCAUCAACCACUUCCUGUAUAGCCAAACCUCCAGAGAUUUUGGAUUUAGAGCUAGUAGGGUUUACACCAUCUUGGUUGCUGGUAUUAUGAGCAAGUCCAUCAGCUACGGCAUUAACUUCAGCAUGCGAUACAGAACUUGUAACAUCCCCUUGCACUGCUCUUUGGUCAUUAGUAGGCAAUGGCAUAGUGAUUUGUCUAUCAGGCAAAGAAUUUGCUUGCUUUUCUAUCAUGGGAGCAGCAGUUUUACUAGGAGCUUCUAACGCUAAAACGUGGGUUGGUCUCUCCUGUAUUUUCAAAUGCUUUCCAGACGAAACUGCAUCUCUUUUCUCAGAACCUUGUUUCCUAGGUAUGUCAUGCUCAUCAUCACUUAGGAGUAUCACAUCAUCAGGUACACUCUGUGAACUCUUUUUUCCACUUGUGGACUUAGCGGCAGUCAUAGAGAUGCUUUCUUCUUCUUUGACUGGCUUCAUACAGUGGCUUGGUGUUAAUUGCUCCUCCUUGACUUUCAGAAGUAACCUCUUUUCUAACCCUCUACUUAGAUCUUCUCUCGAUGUUACUUUCAACUGUAAAUCUUUCCCUAAAAGUGCACCUGCUUGUGGUUCUUCCUCACUAGUCUCCAUCUUGCUUCCUGAGAGGUGUUCACUUAAAGCCAAUCCCAAAUCUUGACGCGCCCAUCUAUACACAGAACUAAGUUUUCCUUCCACAGCCUCAAGAAGAACAUUCAGUUCAUCCAUAUCAUAGCGAAACAGAUAAUAUUUAGCGACCCACGGACAGGAACACAACUGCUUCACAUGAGUCAAACAUGAAUACUUCUCCGGGGAACAACGGCAACCAGCAGCGGACAGGUGCAAAUCAAAGAAGCAUAUACAACACUCUCUCUCGUUGGUAGCAUCAAAAUUACUAUGCAUCUUCAACGCAAGUGAAGAGCUGCACAGAACCUCUCUUCUUGUUCGUUCCAUGUCAAUGCGUGCCUUGAGUGUUGCGGCCAAGAUCCCAUCCUUUCCACUAAACUCUUUCCACCACAAGUUAUCUAUUGUAUUCUUCUUUAGCAAGUUAAGCUCCCAGUCGGCUUUCACUACUUCUCUUGCUGCCCCAAGCAAGAGUUUAUCAUGCGAGAUUGACGUUUUUCUACCCUGUUGGCAGUAUAACUCUAUAGCAAUCUGCCCAUGAGGCAGCCAGUCAACCGGUGCGACAUUCACAGCUUCGGCACAGUUGAAACCACAGUUGAAUCCAGCAUGAUAUGCCCGAGGGAAAGUCAAGACAAACUCUCCAGCAUGCUGGACGCAACGGUGCACAGGUACUCCUGCGGUUUUCAGUUUUGAUGGGGAGAGUUGUGUAACCUACAGGAAUGAGCAUCAGAGGAUUAACUUUAUGCACAUCACACCGAAACAAUGAUGUCCGGCAAAUGAAUUUAAAUCAGGUACAAGUCAGUGGAUGACAAAACAUCAGGUCCAUUUGAUUCAGUUCAUCAAAGAUCUAAGGCUUACUAGCUUGUGAAGCAAAUCAGGCUGUUCUUCGAAAAGGUCAGGCAAAUGCUUUCUCAUCGCCUCCUCUAGCUUAACAGCAUCCUUCCCCGCAACACCGUACCACAGUUUUGGUGCACCCCAGUGCAUGUAAUUCAUCGAAUACAAGUGGUGAUCUUCAACAUGCUAUAUUGGGGGAAACAAUAACAAAACGAAAUGUCAGUAGUGGAAAAUAACAAAACAAAGAUAAGGUGUAACUUAAUGAAAAACACAUCCACCGAUGUCAUAAAAUUGUAAUAUGAAAAUACUUUUAAUUAUGCAACUAGCAGAGAUCAAUCUUACCCAGCAGAAAGAAGAAAAGCACAUCCCAAUAUACAACCACGGUACAAGAACACCAGAGAUAUCACUUCCCUCAUGCUUAAGAAGUGAUCCUGGAAGCCUUGAGAAAUUAUUUAAGUUCCAGCCUGAUUUAGCAUAUUUUUCUUCUGAAGAAGAAGCAGCCUCGUGACUAGAUGAUAUCUUGGGAAAACCACUACCAAAUACCCCAGUUUCAAGGUCAGCACCAUACAGCACCUAUAUUAAAGAAUCAACACGGUAGUCAGGAGAUACAGAGGCCACAACAGACAAUUCAAAACCACAAAUAAAAAGGAAUAAAAACUUCACCUCUAUCUCUUCGGUAGCUUUAUCUACAAUCCGCCAAUAUUCACCUUCAACAUCCUCAACCGCUGGCUCCCAUGUACAUUCACUGUCCGUAGAUGUUUCACUCUUUUUAAAGUACUGAGCCUUGAACUCGUCAGCAUACUUUUUGAAGUCUUUUAGAGUGAACCCUGGACCAGGUUCGAACCCAAACGUCUCAAGCUCACUCAUUUCUGGGCUUGCGGAGCCAGGAUCCAUUCCCAUUUUCAUGCACUUCCUCUUCUUCCUUCUCAUUUGAUUAGAAAGCUUUGAAACCUUCUUCAUAGAGCUUCGGUUCUGAAGCUUAUCCACUCUUUGGACGCGUGUGGUGAAUUUAGAACCUUCCCAUACUUGCUUUUCUUUCAGCGGGCAAGGGGGUUUCCAGGAAGGAGGAGGAACAAUGCGGCAGAUUCCAUACUUCUCAGCCUUUGGUCUUAUUUUAGCUAUAUAGCUCAAAGUAUCUUCAAACUCCUACAAACAUGUUUCCAGCUCAAUGUCAGACAAAUAUGAAUAUGCAGUUGAAAGUUAGAAGCAAUAGAAUGUGAAACAAGACCUCUUCGGUAGGGUGGAAUAUAGGGGCAUCUUCAAGGUCAGGCCUUCGAGCUUCAUCUGGUUGCCAUCUCGCAGUUACCUGUGAAUAUAACGUUAGAGAGGUAAGAAUCUUUUAAGUUUAGUUCUGAAGUGAGUAUUAGUUGAGAUUAUUAACCUUUUGGCAGUCAUUACAUUCUGCACAUCCUCUGGUCACACCCUUAGGUAGAGAAGGCUUCACUCCACAAGUCUGCAACCACAUGAUUGCAUUAGAACAACAAGGCAAAGAAAGACCAAGCAUAAGGAAAGAUUAAAAAAAAGGAACUAACUUGAUCAAGAUUUUGAGACAAGGCAUUGCUAUCAUCAUCAUAGUUAAUCCAAGGUCUACGCCGUAGAGACCGAGCAGCUUUGGCUUCAUCAGAUUCAAUCUCCAUCUCACCUUGAUUUGAUACAGAAGAAACACUUUCCAUAGCAGCACCAGGGUCAGGGACAACUCUUUUUAAGGUGAAAGUAGCAUAUGAUUCAAACCCAGGAGGAACAGAUGGCAACUCAUCACUUUCUUCCUUCACACAGAUUCUCAUCAGCUCUGUCCCCAUUACUUAACUGUUUCCAACAAACAAUUACAAUUAGGAAAGUCUCAUCAUUUCUCAAGAAUAUCACAAAACCCAAUAUAGAAAUUAGAAAGAAAAAAAAAACUAAAUAUCUCAAUCAAUCAAAAUCUAAGAAGACCCAUCAACAAAAAAAUGCUUACAAAGUAUCUGACUUUAAACUAGGGUUUCUUAAAUUAGAGGUCAAAACAGCUGGAGCUCAAUCAACAAGAGAUUUGAUAGAUCUGAGGAACCCAAGUCAAUUUGCAAUUUUAGUGAUUUUUUUUUUUACAAAACAAAAUCCAGAUUCAUCAGAUCUAACACUAAACUUGACCAGAGAUCCAGAUUAUUACGAAACUGAUGAAGAAACAUCGCAUGUCCUUUUCAAUAUUUGCAUUAAAAAUACAAAGAUACAGCCAUAAAAGUCCAAAUAUGAAACCAAACCUUUUCUAUAUUCCCAGAGAAAAAAGCCACAAAAUCAAAGGAUGAAGGAAGAAGAAAAGGGUAUAUUGGGAAUUAGAUCUACAGGUCCAUGUUUGGUGUAUUGUGAUGAUCUAUUCAAAUCCUCAAGAAACAAUAUGAACAAAGCAAAGAGAUAUUUUUUCACUAAAUAUUAAUCACCUUUUUUUUUGUUUUCAAUUUAAGAUCAUAUCAGAGAGGAAACAAAGAGUCAUGUGGCUUGCUUGCUGGGCUUUUGAUAUGUAAAUUUUCCUAACUUUUUGAUGUGUGAUGUGUGAUGAUGUCUUAUAAGUAAAAGAGUAACGCUUCAGAAGCAAGCAGAUGCAUUUUCCUAUGCAAUUUGUUUAUAUAACCUAUGGUCUAUAACCAUUGAAAGGGGUAAAACGAUAUAAAUAUUUUAAAAAGCAUUAAAGCCAAGUUCAUUAAUACAAUUUGGUUUUGUUAAUCACGGGUGGUGGACAUUACCGGAUAUCCACACAUUGUUUUAGUCGAUUUUUCUAGAAGAUUUUUUAGAUAAGAAAAAUAUUAUAGUGCUUGGCUUAUGAUUAUCCAAAAAUGAAGUUUUACUUUUCAAAAUUAAUAGUCUGUUUUUGCAAAUUUUGAUAUUUUGUUGAUAUUUCUCUCUAUUUUAAAAUGUUAGUUCCAAUUAUUUACAACUUCACGUUCAGAAAAAUAAUUUUAUUUACAACUUUAGUUUAUUAAAAUUUGAUUUGCCUCGGUAAAUACAAUUCGAAUGAUGUCACAUUGGGUUCAACGAGCCCAUCAGUUUCCGAAACAUGUGGCCUCGGUCCAGUAAAACAAAAGAAGCAGGCAAAUCCAAUGGACUCGACGGCCUCAAAUGACAAAACUACCCUUACUGCCUCCGUCUUUCUAAAUCAACCCCACCACCGGCGAGUUUCUAAAAACCGGCAGAUCUCCACUGUAACUAACACUUUUCCGCCACAGUUUCGCCUCCGCGAGUUUGAAAUUUUGUUGAUAUUUUCUCUGGUUAAAAAUAUUUGUUUAUACUUCAUCUGUUAAAUUUUUUCAUACAUUUUAAUAGAACACAUUAAAUUUUCAUAAUUUUUUAUAAUUUUUUUUUCAUAAUUUAAAACUAAUAAAAAUCUAAUAAGUGCAAUUAAAUUUUUAAAAAUUUGCAUUUAAUUAAUAAAACAUCCACUGAAAAUGUAAAAAAUAAGAUUUUUUGAAACAAAAUUUUUCUUUUCGGUACCAAAAACAAAAUGUUUGUUCAUAUUAUUUACAACUUUAGUCUCUUAUUAAUUUCACAGUAAAUACAAUUCCUGCAGCCACUUAACAAAGAGGACCUAUUACAACUCGAAUGAUGAUGUCACAUUGUCUUCAACAGGCCUAAUAUGGGCUCGAUUCAGUAAAAAAAAAGAGAGGAAGUAAUCAAAUACAACGGGCCCAAAACCCUCGCAAUGACAAAACUACCCUUCCCGCCUCCGUCUUCCUAAAUCAACCCCACCACCGGCGAGUUUCUAAAAACCGGCAGAUCUCCUCCAUGACUCACACUCUUCCGCCGCGGUUUCGCCUCCGCGAGCAUCGUCAUCACAUCCCUAAUCGACGGCCUAUCCUUCGGAAGCUUCGCGGUACACAAAAGCGCGAUCCUCAGCGCCAAAAGCAUCUCCUCAAUCACAUGCCUACACUCUCCAGCAACACUCGGAUCAAGCACCUCCUCCAACCCCUCCCCCUUCUUCACCUUCCUCCUAAUCCACUCCACCACAUCAAUCGACUCCUCGAACGACGGAUCUAUCGGCAUCUUCCCCGUCACCAGCUCGAGCAUCACCACACCAAGACUAUAUAUAUCACUCUUCUCAUCGAUCUUCAGCGCGUAACCGUACUCGGGAGCUAUGUACCCGUACGAUCCCGCCACCAUGGAGACCGUCUCGUUCUUGUGGAGCAUCAUCUUCGCCAAUCCGAAGUCCGCGAUCCUCGCUUCGAGGCUCGAGUCCAGCAAUAUGUUGUUCGAUUUAAUAUCUCUGUGGAUGAUCGGAGGGUAACAGUCGUUGUGCAGGUAGUUGAGUCCCUGCACAACUCCAACGGCCACGUUGUAGCGCGAUAACCAAUCUCUUAACAAGAAUUUGUUAUCGUCUUUUGAAUGUAACGCCGUGCCUAAGUUGCCGUUAGGCAUGAACUCGUAUACCAUCAUCACUUCUCUCUCGUUGUGAAUGUACCCGAGGAUUUUUACAAUGUUGCGGUGUCUGAGGUUGCCUAGGAGGUUUACUUCUUUGAGAAUGUCGUCGUCAUCUUCGUCUUGAAUACUAUGAUGAUUGUCUUCGAUAUCUGGUGAUGGUGACCUCCAAAGUUUUUUAACCGCUACUGUUAGUAACGGCCGUCGCAUGACUUCUGCUUUGUAGACUAUCCCCAUGGCUCCCAUUCCGAUUAUGUUUGCUUCUUUGAUGUGUGUUAAGAUGUCCCCCGCUGUGAAGGAUAGUCUCUGGAAGGCCACGAGUCGCCACGGCCAUUCCUCUUGAGGCUGUUUGCAGAAGAGGUACUCUCUGGCGAAGUUGCUGUAGAGAUCCCAUCUUCUGUAUACCCAUCUCCCUGCCAAGAAGAUUAUUCCUAGAGACAAGAUUACUGCUGUUCCGACUAUGAACCCGAAGAUUGCAUGAUGCAAGUGGAUUCUAUUUCUCCCGGGGUUUGCUGACAGAGCUAGGCUCUUUGAGCAGGGAGGUAGAACUCCACCGCAUAAGUUAUCGUUUCCCACGAGGUCGUUUGGGUUUAUGGCUGCGAAGAGACCGUUCGAAGGAACGGGGCCUGUGAGUUUGUUGUAUGACACGUUCAGCAUCUCUAGCGUUGGUGAGGCUCCCAAGCUCGGCGGUAUGUUCCCGGUUAGAGAGUUGUUUGAGAGGUCGAGUACAGCCAACAUGUGCAUCCCGGCUAGUGCAUCGGGGAUCUCUCCUAUCAAGUCGUUGCUCUUGAGGUUUAGGCUCACGAGUUUCUCAAAGGAAGCUAUCCUCUCCGGGAUUUGACCUGAGAAACGGUUGAAGGAGAGGUCGAGGACGGACAGAGAAGGACGGUCUUGUAUCUGGUUAGGGAUGUUUCCAGCGAAGCUGUUAUGCGAGGCGAUGAAAGUUUGGAGGUUAGGACUUGAGAAAAUGGAGUAAGGUAGGGAGGAGAGAUGGUUAAAGGAUAUGUCUAUGAACGAGAGUGAUUUGGAUGAUGUGAUGUCAUCUGGGACUUGACCGGUGAGGUUGUUUUUAGCUAGCUCUAGAUGCUGGAGCAUUGGUAAGUCUCCCGAGCCAGCUGGGAUUGGUCCAGAGAUGAGAUUUUUCUGGAUCCGGACACGGACCAGAGUCGGACACGAGAAGAUGUCCUCUGGAAUCUGUCCUGAGAACGAGUUGUUGAAGAGGAUGAGCUUCGUGAGGUUUCUGUAAUAGCACAAUCCGGAUGGGAUUGCGCCUGUUAGCUUGUUUGAUGAGACGUCUAGCCAUUUCAACGGCGAGCUCUUGCCGAGAUCGGCCGGUAGAGAACCCACCAGAGAGUUUUGCCACAGCUCGAGAACCUCGAGGUGUGGCAACUCAGCGAUCUUCGAGGGAAUGGUUCCCGUGAGUUGAUUCCUCAUCAGAUUCAGAAGCUGGAGACUCUUCAGCUCAGCUAUUUCUCUAGGUAUCUCUCCUGUGAUCUGGUUAUCAGAGAGAUCAAGAAACACCAGAGAAGUUAUAUUACCGACUUCUCGAGGGAUCUUCCCCGUGAGACGGUUCUGGUAGAGGUAAACCGUUGUAAGCUGUUUCAGCUGUCCCAAGGAAGAUGGAAUAGGGCCAGUGAGGUUCCCGACAGCCAAAUCUAGGUACUGGAGGCUCCUCAGCUUCCCAAUCUCUUCUGGAAUCUCGCCAGUGAAGCCGUUGUAACCGAGAAUGAUUGUCUCCAAGGAAGAGAGCUCACCGAUCACUUUCGGUAGCUUUCCGCUCAAGUUAUUACCAGAAAGACCGAGGAACUUCAGCUUCUUGAGACUCUUGAAAGAAGAAGGCACGGUGCCUUCAAAGUAACCUCCACGAAAGUCCAAAACCUCAAGCGUAGUCGCGUUGCCGAGAUCUUCAGGGAGAAACCCGGAGAAAUUGUUGCUCGAGGCGUUGACGUGUGUAAGACCAGUGGCCGUUCCUAGACCGUAAGGGAAGGUUCCAAAGAAGCUGUUCACGCUCACGUCGAAGACUUUCAAGGAAGUGAGGUUAGAAAGAGAUUUAGGAAGAGAGCACUCGAAUGCAUUGUUGCUGAGAUCAAGGACUGUUAGAGAAGAGAAGCUCUGAAUCUGAUCUGAGAUGUUUCCACUGAGAUUCAUGCUGGGAAGAAGAAGCUUAGCUACAAAGCCAUUUUGAUCACAGUGAACUCCGGUCCAAUGACAAUGAACAGACUCUGUAGCAUUCUCAGGGCGCUUCCAGUCUUGGAGAUUGUUAGAAGGAUCAAACAGGUCUGACUUGAUGGCCAACAAGAUCUCUUGUUGUUGAAAUGUUUCAGACAAAACAAGAGAGGAAGUAAUGUAACAGAAGAGAAAGAAAAGUUGAGGUAUCGUCAUUGUUUUUCUCUUCUUCACUUUUUUGGCUAAGCUUAUGGCAUUUGGAAGCCAAUGGUGCAACUGAGAUUGAAAGGUCCACAAGCGAAGAGUUGAUAACAGGAGAGAGUGGAAACCAAAAGCUGGAAAACAAUGAUUAAGUCAGAAUCUUAAUUUAUUUUAAUCUCUCUCAAUUAUUUUAUCAUGAUUGUGUUUCUUUUUUUCCAUCGGUGGAAUUUUAUACAUAUAAUAGUUAGGUUUUGUGUAUUUUUAACAUAUAAGAUGAUACGAUUUAUCUCAUAUAUGUGUUGCUGAUCUGUAUAGACAUCAAACAAUAAACUGCUGAUAAAAGGAGAUUAAAAUAAUGAUCGUGGGAUCUUGGGUUUGCAAACAGCUAAUCAUAAGACACUGAGUGACUUGUAAAGCUUUGUCCUCAUUAGGGAUUAGUGGGACAGUGAAACAUGGCCAGAGAAUGUGUCUCGCUUAGUGCUCUACUUUAGCUUUUUUCAUUUCUAUUAAUAGAUCAGUCAAAAUAAAAACUAUCACCUUCUAGAAAUUAACUCCACCUCACGUCUGAAUUUUGACACUAAUGAUGUUUUUUUACAUGUGUUUAAUUUUCACAAACACAUAAAUGUUACUUUCAUGGAACAAUGCUGAUAGAUCAUUUUUAAGUCAACGUAACGUACAUUUUGAUCAUCUUAAAUGUGUGAGUAAAUGGACCAUCAGACAUGGUCCGGUUGAAUUUUAUGAUCAUAAAGGCAGGGUCCUGUACAUGGUCCGGUCGAUUUUAUGAUCAUAGAGUACACAAGUGGUCGAUCAUGCUUACUAACGGCCUUUCGAUACUUCGAAUAUACAUCCACGUUAGAUAACACUCCUACUUUCUUUGUUGCUUCAAUCCAUUUGUUGUUGAUGGCUUUCUAAACAUGUUUUGCUAUGUAUUGAUGUAUUUACCAUACCUUAAAUGACUGCAAUACAAUGAUUUUAUCAAGAUGUGGGACUUUUCAAGGAGAUUAAAGGCUGGUGUGUGAUUGUUUCAAGAAUCCGUUUAAUCUUUCAUUAGCCGGGAGAAUGUUUUCUUAAUUUCCGUAUGCCGUCAAAAAAAACUCACAUGGUACGAUAUGAGGGUCUUGAGAGAAUCUUCCCACGUUGUUAGAACAUAAUUAAAGACAAAUAAGAAAGUUCAUUGCCAAGUUGCAAAUAGGAACGUCCCAUAACACUUCCGUGCAUGUUAACACAGUUAUGCACUUUAAUUAUUGCAAACAUGUACAUUAUGUUUUACUAAACACAAACUUUAUGAUAUAUUGUGUACUUGAAUUUAAUUUUCGGUUUCUUUUCUAAAUUAUAUUCAUUUGAUCUUAAGGCAUUUGAGGUCUAUCAUAUAUACAUAUAUGGGGUUUUGCGUAUGCCCGGUCAAGGAGCUUGAUCAACUAUACAUGCAUUUAGAGCUAAAUGCAGACAAGUGAACGAUCCUUAUCGACCGAGUAAAAGUAUAAACUUUUUUUUUUUGUAAUUGUGCAAGUUAGAUGGACAGUAGCUAUCGAAUUAAUUAGUUGCAAUUUUUGUCCUGUGAAACAUCCUCUAUUAUUCUAGAAAGAAAAGUAAUUGCACAAACCUAACUUUAUAAUAUGCCACUUAGGAUUUCACAUGCACCCAUAUGGGCCUUUUUAUCAUAAUUACAUUUUUUAAAAAAAAUAUGAAAAUACUGAAAGGAAUAACAACAAUCCUAAACAUGAUAUCAUGAUAGGUUACAUGGCAUUAUUAAUAUGUACUAUCAUGAUGAGAUCAUAAUUUCGGUAAUUUAGAGAGAGAGGUAUGAUGAAGCUGGAGUCCAUGUGCUAAGAGCUUUCCAAUUUUCUUCACUUUAGUUUACUUUUUGUAUGUGGUUUGGUUUUAUUUUGAUUUUCAGAAAAUAACAAAAAAAAAAUUGUUUUACGAAACAGAAAUGACUGAAUAUAUUUACUGAAAUAAUAAUGUUUAAUAUGUGAAAUCAUAUUGAAACAGUUAUCCUUUUAAGCAAAAAAAUAAUCCAUUUUUAUACACAAGUUUUUUAUAACAUUUGUAAGAAAAUGGAUUAUUUUAUAUGGAUUAUUUACUGAAAUAAUAAAUAUUUUAUAUGUGAAAUCAUAUUGAAACAGUUAUCCUUUUAAGCAAAAAAAUAAUCCAUUUUCUUACAAAUGUUAUAAAAAAAACUUGUGAGAAUCGAACCAAACCGAAGAGGACCAACAUUCCAGUAUCUAAUUUAAACCGCCUAAACAAAUUGUAAGCCGGUUCCACAAUAAGAAAGACAUAGAAAAAAAGCCCAAGUAAAGUGGGUAACAAACACGAAAAGCCCAAUUUCACAAUAAUAAAGCAUUAAAUCAUACACGUAAUUACAGUGUAGUCCCUCUAUUAUUUUUCCGUUUCGAAAUCUUCACAAAUAAAGUUCUCUUAAUUAAAAAAAAGGAAAGAUAGCCGUUGGAGAAGAAGAAGAAGAAGACGAAGACACUAACGGCUAUUUUUCCAUCUGAGCUUCUUAUAGAAGCUUCAUCUCUCUUCUCCCAAACUCUCACAAUCCUUGAGCAGAGAAUCUCAGAUCUAAGAUGAACGAUCUAAUGACGAAGUCGUUCACGAGCUACGUCGACCUAAAGAAAGCAGCGAUGAAGGAUCUAGAAUCAGGCCCCGACCCGGCUGAUCUCGAGAUGACGAACAAAACCGACGAGAACCUCUCCUCCUUCCUCGAAGAAGCCGAGAAAGUCAAAUCAGAGAUGUCCUUGAUCGAGGCCGCGCUCUCCCGGAUCUCGCGGUACAACGACGAGAGCAAAUCCGCGCACAGAUCCGAAUCCGUGAAGUCUCUCCGCAACAAGAUCUCCAACGAGAUCGUCUCCGGUUUACGCAAAGCCAAAUCGAUUAAAUCGAACCUCGAGGAGAUGGAUAGAGCGAACCGGGAGAUUAAACGGUUAUCCGGAACAACUCCGGUUUACAGAAGCAGAGUGACUGUAACCAACGGUUUAAGAAAAAAAUUAAAAGAAGUGAUGAUGGAGUUUCAAGGACUAAGGCAGAGGAUGAUGAGUGAGUAUAAAGAGACCGUUGAGAGACGGUACUUCACUGUCACCGGAGAGAGACCUGACGAGGAGAUGAUUGAGAAGAUCGUUACUGAUGGAGGGGAAGAGUUUCUAACUCGAGCCAUUCAGGAGCAUGGGAGAGGGAAGGUGUUGGAGACGGUUGUUGAGAUUCAGGACAGGUACGACGCGGCGAAAGAGAUUGAGAAGAGUUUGUUGGAGCUUCACCAGGUGUUUUUGGAUAUGGCUGUGAUGGUUGAGGCGCAGGAGGAGCAGAUGGAUGAGAUUGAGCAUCAUGUGAUGAGCGCGGGGCAUUAUGUUAAGGAUGGGGCUAAGGAGCUUAAGACGGCGAAGAAUCAUCAGAGGAGCAGUAGGAAAUGGAUGUGUGUUGGUAUUAUUGUGUUGCUUUUGAUCAUUCUUGUUGUUGUCAUCCCUAUCCUUACUAGUUUCACCUCUUCUUGAGAGAGACAUUGACUUAGUUGUUUGUUUUGUGCCUAAAAAGGAUGUCUUAAUCCUUGCUUUGUUGUGUUUGUGAUUCAAACUAUUAUGCAAUGAUGAAUGUUAACUUAUAUCAAUGUUCUAAAAAUCGUUAGGCGGUUUACAGAGAUUUAUUGUUUAGACGGACAGCUAGGACCAGUUUUAUUAUUUGAAAAACUCUUUUCGUCUACACCCGAUUUUCCAACUAGGUGGGUGACUAAGGCCGUCUAUACUGAUUUUUAGAACACUGCCUUAUAUGAUUGUGAAAAUGAAUUAUGCACAAAACAUUCCUCAGCAAAUGGUAAAAGUUACUGUGCAACCAAGUAUUGCUAAAAGUUUCCAAUGAUGAAUGUUUUUACCUUAUAUGACUGUGAAAAUGACAUAUAAUCUGGUUCUAUGCACAAAACAUUACUCAGUAUUGGUAUCAUUGUGUUGCUCUUGAGCAUUCUUAUUGUUGUCAUUCCCACUAUUACCAGUUUCACAUCUUCUUGAGACAUGACUUAGUGUUUGUUUUGUGGCUAAAAAGGAUGUCUUAAUCCUUGCUUUGUGUAUCCAAACUAUUAUGCAAUGAUGAAUGUUUUUUACUUUAUAUGAUUGUGAAAAUGAAUUAUAAUCUGGUUCUAUGCACAAAACAUUAGUAAAUUGGUAAAAGUUAUUGUGAAACCAAGUAUUGCUGCAAGUGGUUGUUUCUCUUCUUGUUCUUGAGUUUCCUGAAGGCAGAGGACUCGAUCUGCCUCACUCUCUCACGGCUCACACCCAUCGUUUCACCAAUCUCUUGCAACGUCUUCAUCCUCCCAUCUUCCAUCCCAAAUCUCCAACGUAUCACCUGCUUCUCCCUCGUGCUCAACGAGUCCAACACCUUGUCCAAGUCCUCCCUCAUGAACUGCUUUAUCAGAAUGUCCUCUGAUGUUUCUGCUUCAGGGUCUGAUAUCACUUCCUGCAUUCACAUUUACUGUCUUAAGCAAAACAAGAAGAAGACUAUAUAUACUAUGUAUGGUGUGUGUUAUGUUCAGGAGGGGGGACAAACCGAAGGUUUGAGGUUUAGAUUGAUUCCGAUCUUCUGGUCUAACGACCUUGGAGGCUUAGGGGCGAGUAGAACAGCCAUGAGGCGUUUCAUCGACAGUCCUGUGGCUUCUGCAACUUCUUCGUUCUUUGGUUGCUGACCUGUUUCACUGUACAGUUGCUUUCUUGCCUCUUUCACUCUGUAUGUUGCUUCCACCAUGUGAAACUGCCCAAAUCAUUGUAUGAUCAGGCAAGAACCAGACUUUUGUUUAAACAUUUGGGGGAUGAGACUACUUACAGGCAGUCUUAUCAUUCUGGACUGAUCAGAGAGAGACUUCCUCACUGCUUGCUUGAUCCACCAAUGCGCAUAAGUUGAAAAUUUAAAACCCUUUGUAGCAUCGAACUUCUCUGCUCCCCUCACAAGCCCUCUGCAUCCUUCCUGUGAUGCAUUUUCUAUAUUUAUCACUUCUCUCAAUACUGAUGUAGUUAACUACAAAAGAUAAGGAUCUAAGAACUCGAACCUGGACAAGAUCUUGGAGGUUCAUCCCAGCUCCUUGAUAGUUCUUGGCAAUCGAAAUGACUAGACGAAUGUUGCUUUUAAUCAUUCUGUCCUUGCACUGUGUGCCGUGAUUUAUACGUUUUCUUAAAGUCUUUUGAUCAACUCCAGCAGCAGAAGCCCAUUGUCCAAAGGUUGGCUGAUGGCCGCAACGCUCAGUCAGCUCUACUUGAAGCCUUUCCAGCUUCAGAAGGUCCUAAAUCACAAACCCCACAAAGUUUAUGAUCAAGAAACCACAAUAAAAAAGAUACCAAACAAGAAUGUCAAGGUAGUUUAUUUUUCAUAUAAAUUCAAAUGUAUAAUUUGGAUUACACCAUCUACCAUUAGUUUCAUCACUCUCUAAGAUUUUUAAAAGAUUUUCCAAACAUUGUUUUUCCCUAGAAUCUAGAACCUUAAGAAGAUUAGGAAGUGGCUAGUUUAUAGUUUGGAAGAUCAGAGACAAACCUGUAUUCCUUCAGAGAGUUCUGUUUCUUCUCUGGCGGUGAGAAGCUUUGAACUGCUAGUUGUCAUCCUUAGAUAACGCAAAGGAUCAUUAUGGUCAAUCUCCUGUGAAGCAACACGUUUCUUUCUAGUGCUGGAACUAGUCUUCACAGAAGACUGCAUACAUGAUGCAGUUUUCUCUAGCCCUUUUGCCCUCCUAGCUUUCCUUUCGGUUUGGCGUGUAGAUCUCACAGCUGAACUCACUGAAACCUCCUCCACAUCAACUUCUUCCUUUUCUGAUUCUAAAUCAUGAGAAGACUCUUUGUUAUUACAUUCAGGUGCAGCAGGUGGUGAUAUGAUUCUAUCACUCACAACUCCACUGUCUGAAACCGCUAGAUGUCCCAAUAUGCCAGCACGUUCCUUCUCCGUAAACUGAUCCCACUUGGACCGUUUCUCCCCAGCCAUUGAUGAAACUAAUAGUUUCGUGUUGUAACUGUUUCUAAACAACGUGGCAUCUUUCGCAACUUUGACAGCGGCUUUAGCAAGAGCCACUGCUUCAGCUGCUGCUGCUGCAACUACUGCUUCAUCGCUUGUGAGAAGUGUUUCAGCUUCUAAAUACUUCGCCUAGAAAUACAAUGAAGUUGUCAAUAAUCUUGCUGAACCAUUUGGCAAACAUAAUUAAAUAUAAUGACCUCAGUGGAAGGACCAAUGGUUCCUGUAUAAGUCCAUUGCCUGUCUGAUACUCUUGGAUUUGAAUCAGUAUCAAAAGAAGGUAGGAAAUCAUAUUGAAACAGUUAUCCUUUUAAGCAAAAAAAUAAUCCAUUUUCUUACAAAUGUUAUAAAAAAAACUUGUGAGAAUCGAACCAAACCGAAGAGGACCAACAUUCCAGUAUCUAAUUUAAACCGCCUAAACAAAUUGUAAGCCGGUUCCACAAUAAGAAAGACAUAGAAAAAAAGCCCAAGUAAAGUGGGUAACAAACACGAAAAGCCCAAUUUCACAAUAAUAAAGCAUUAAAUCAUACACGUAAUUACAGUGUAGUCCCUCUAUUAUUUUUCCGUUUCGAAAUCUUCACAAAUAAAGUUCUCUUAAUUAAAAAAAAGGAAAGAUAGCCGUUGGAGAAGAAGAAGAAGAAGACGAAGACACUAACGGCUAUUUUUCCAUCUGAGCUUCUUAUAGAAGCUUCAUCUCUCUUCUCCCAAACUCUCACAAUCCUUGAGCAGAGAAUCUCAGAUCUAAGAUGAACGAUCUAAUGACGAAGUCGUUCACGAGCUACGUCGACCUAAAGAAAGCAGCGAUGAAGGAUCUAGAAUCAGGCCCCGACCCGGCUGAUCUCGAGAUGACGAACAAAACCGACGAGAACCUCUCCUCCUUCCUCGAAGAAGCCGAGAAAGUCAAAUCAGAGAUGUCCUUGAUCGAGGCCGCGCUCUCCCGGAUCUCGCGGUACAACGACGAGAGCAAAUCCGCGCACAGAUCCGAAUCCGUGAAGUCUCUCCGCAACAAGAUCUCCAACGAGAUCGUCUCCGGUUUACGCAAAGCCAAAUCGAUUAAAUCGAACCUCGAGGAGAUGGAUAGAGCGAACCGGGAGAUUAAACGGUUAUCCGGAACAACUCCGGUUUACAGAAGCAGAGUGACUGUAACCAACGGUUUAAGAAAAAAAUUAAAAGAAGUGAUGAUGGAGUUUCAAGGACUAAGGCAGAGGAUGAUGAGUGAGUAUAAAGAGACCGUUGAGAGACGGUACUUCACUGUCACCGGAGAGAGACCUGACGAGGAGAUGAUUGAGAAGAUCGUUACUGAUGGAGGGGAAGAGUUUCUAACUCGAGCCAUUCAGGAGCAUGGGAGAGGGAAGGUGUUGGAGACGGUUGUUGAGAUUCAGGACAGGUACGACGCGGCGAAAGAGAUUGAGAAGAGUUUGUUGGAGCUUCACCAGGUGUUUUUGGAUAUGGCUGUGAUGGUUGAGGCGCAGGAGGAGCAGAUGGAUGAGAUUGAGCAUCAUGUGAUGAGCGCGGGGCAUUAUGUUAAGGAUGGGGCUAAGGAGCUUAAGACGGCGAAGAAUCAUCAGAGGAGCAGUAGGAAAUGGAUGUGUGUUGGUAUUAUUGUGUUGCUUUUGAUCAUUCUUGUUGUUGUCAUCCCUAUCCUUACUAGUUUCACCUCUUCUUGAGAGAGACAUUGACUUAGUUGUUUGUUUUGUGCCUAAAAAGGAUGUCUUAAUCCUUGCUUUGUUGUGUUUGUGAUUCAAACUAUUAUGCAAUGAUGAAUGUUAACUUAUAUCAAUGUUCUAAAAAUCGUUAGGCGGUUUACAGAGAUUUAUUGUUUAGACGGACAGCUAGGACCAGUUUUAUUAUUUGAAAAACUCUUUUCGUCUACACCCGAUUUUCCAACUAGGUGGGUGACUAAGGCCGUCUAUACUGAUUUUUAGAACACUGCCUUAUAUGAUUGUGAAAAUGAAUUAUGCACAAAACAUUCCUCAGCAAAUGGUAAAAGUUACUGUGCAACCAAGUAUUGCUAAAAGUUUCCAAUGAUGAAUGUUUUUACCUUAUAUGACUGUGAAAAUGACAUAUAAUCUGGUUCUAUGCACAAAACAUUACUCAGUAUUGGUAUCAUUGUGUUGCUCUUGAGCAUUCUUAUUGUUGUCAUUCCCACUAUUACCAGUUUCACAUCUUCUUGAGACAUGACUUAGUGUUUGUUUUGUGGCUAAAAAGGAUGUCUUAAUCCUUGCUUUGUGUAUCCAAACUAUUAUGCAAUGAUGAAUGUUUUUUACUUUAUAUGAUUGUGAAAAUGAAUUAUAAUCUGGUUCUAUGCACAAAACAUUAGUAAAUUGGUAAAAGUUAUUGUGAAACCAAGUAUUGCUGCAAGUGGUUGUUUCUCUUCUUGUUCUUGAGUUUCCUGAAGGCAGAGGACUCGAUCUGCCUCACUCUCUCACGGCUCACACCCAUCGUUUCACCAAUCUCUUGCAACGUCUUCAUCCUCCCAUCUUCCAUCCCAAAUCUCCAACGUAUCACCUGCUUCUCCCUCGUGCUCAACGAGUCCAACACCUUGUCCAAGUCCUCCCUCAUGAACUGCUUUAUCAGAAUGUCCUCUGAUGUUUCUGCUUCAGGGUCUGAUAUCACUUCCUGCAUUCACAUUUACUGUCUUAAGCAAAACAAGAAGAAGACUAUAUAUACUAUGUAUGGUGUGUGUUAUGUUCAGGAGGGGGGACAAACCGAAGGUUUGAGGUUUAGAUUGAUUCCGAUCUUCUGGUCUAACGACCUUGGAGGCUUAGGGGCGAGUAGAACAGCCAUGAGGCGUUUCAUCGACAGUCCUGUGGCUUCUGCAACUUCUUCGUUCUUUGGUUGCUGACCUGUUUCACUGUACAGUUGCUUUCUUGCCUCUUUCACUCUGUAUGUUGCUUCCACCAUGUGAAACUGCCCAAAUCAUUGUAUGAUCAGGCAAGAACCAGACUUUUGUUUAAACAUUUGGGGGAUGAGACUACUUACAGGCAGUCUUAUCAUUCUGGACUGAUCAGAGAGAGACUUCCUCACUGCUUGCUUGAUCCACCAAUGCGCAUAAGUUGAAAAUUUAAAACCCUUUGUAGCAUCGAACUUCUCUGCUCCCCUCACAAGCCCUCUGCAUCCUUCCUGUGAUGCAUUUUCUAUAUUUAUCACUUCUCUCAAUACUGAUGUAGUUAACUACAAAAGAUAAGGAUCUAAGAACUCGAACCUGGACAAGAUCUUGGAGGUUCAUCCCAGCUCCUUGAUAGUUCUUGGCAAUCGAAAUGACUAGACGAAUGUUGCUUUUAAUCAUUCUGUCCUUGCACUGUGUGCCGUGAUUUAUACGUUUUCUUAAAGUCUUUUGAUCAACUCCAGCAGCAGAAGCCCAUUGUCCAAAGGUUGGCUGAUGGCCGCAACGCUCAGUCAGCUCUACUUGAAGCCUUUCCAGCUUCAGAAGGUCCUAAAUCACAAACCCCACAAAGUUUAUGAUCAAGAAACCACAAUAAAAAAGAUACCAAACAAGAAUGUCAAGGUAGUUUAUUUUUCAUAUAAAUUCAAAUGUAUAAUUUGGAUUACACCAUCUACCAUUAGUUUCAUCACUCUCUAAGAUUUUUAAAAGAUUUUCCAAACAUUGUUUUUCCCUAGAAUCUAGAACCUUAAGAAGAUUAGGAAGUGGCUAGUUUAUAGUUUGGAAGAUCAGAGACAAACCUGUAUUCCUUCAGAGAGUUCUGUUUCUUCUCUGGCGGUGAGAAGCUUUGAACUGCUAGUUGUCAUCCUUAGAUAACGCAAAGGAUCAUUAUGGUCAAUCUCCUGUGAAGCAACACGUUUCUUUCUAGUGCUGGAACUAGUCUUCACAGAAGACUGCAUACAUGAUGCAGUUUUCUCUAGCCCUUUUGCCCUCCUAGCUUUCCUUUCGGUUUGGCGUGUAGAUCUCACAGCUGAACUCACUGAAACCUCCUCCACAUCAACUUCUUCCUUUUCUGAUUCUAAAUCAUGAGAAGACUCUUUGUUAUUACAUUCAGGUGCAGCAGGUGGUGAUAUGAUUCUAUCACUCACAACUCCACUGUCUGAAACCGCUAGAUGUCCCAAUAUGCCAGCACGUUCCUUCUCCGUAAACUGAUCCCACUUGGACCGUUUCUCCCCAGCCAUUGAUGAAACUAAUAGUUUCGUGUUGUAACUGUUUCUAAACAACGUGGCAUCUUUCGCAACUUUGACAGCGGCUUUAGCAAGAGCCACUGCUUCAGCUGCUGCUGCUGCAACUACUGCUUCAUCGCUUGUGAGAAGUGUUUCAGCUUCUAAAUACUUCGCCUAGAAAUACAAUGAAGUUGUCAAUAAUCUUGCUGAACCAUUUGGCAAACAUAAUUAAAUAUAAUGACCUCAGUGGAAGGACCAAUGGUUCCUGUAUAAGUCCAUUGCCUGUCUGAUACUCUUGGAUUUGAAUCAGUACCAAAAGAAGGUAGUCUAAUCUUGGCCACAUCAAGAACGGAAGUUAAUAACGGCGGUGAAGUGGAUACUGCACAUUGUGGUUGGAAGAAGACUGUACCCUUAUUGUGUUUUGCUGCACAUUUAAGACAUAACAAGUAUCUUUAAAACGUCGUCGUUUUUGUGAUCUAUAAUCCCUACCAACUAGAAAUUAGAUGUGGCUACUGUUCAGACAGAGCUUGGUACAAUCAGAACCAUAGAGACUAAACCUUACACACCUUCCAAAUCAAGCCUACCUUAAUAUUUUGGAGAGGUUUAAUAUUAACAUGAGAAUGUAAAUGAGAGAGAAUAGGAAGAGAAUUACUUACAGACAGAGUGAGAGGUUCUGAAUUGGAUAGAGAAAGAAUCAGGAGGGCACUUGAACUGAGGAAGAAGACAAGAAGACAUGCUCUUUUCCGGCUAAACUCGAAAGCUAUGUCUGACCAUUGAAGGCCGUUUAAGAGAUUGCAGAGAGAGAGAGAGGGGAAGGUGCGAGAAAACUGGUGAUGGGGAUGAAGACGAGGAAUGGAUAAUGAGCUUGUCAAAGGGUUGACUCUUCUGCUUCACCUUUGUUCAUUAAACUUUCGGAGUUGUUUGGGCCUUAACUUAGCCCGUUUGGUUAUUAAACCUUCAGUUUAGGCCCAAUCUCAUAGGGAUCAUUACAUAGUAUUUUGAUUUCUAGUCAAAUUUUAACAUUAUUGUAUUAAAUUGGUAAAUUUAAUAGACUACAAAAAUAUUGAAGAUAUAAGGAAUAAGCUAGAUUUUGACACGCUCUAUAAAAGCGCGGGAUAAUUUUUUUGGUUUUAAAGUAACAACAUUUUUUAAUUAGAAUUUUAACAUUUGAUUUUAGAUGUCUUUAAUUUUUUUUGUGAAUAGAAUUUAUUAAAUCAUAUGUUAAAAUAAAAAUUAUUUAAAAAUUUACAUUUAAAAAUAUACAUUUAAUCAAUAUAUAUAUGUUUGUCGGAGCGGAUUGGAUAUUCGGUUCUUAAAAUUUUAGUAUUUGUGAUUUGAUUUAUUUUUAAUGGAUAUUGAUUUUUUAGUAUUUGCUUUGCUGUAAAACUUUACUGAUAUCUGGUUUUUUUGGAUUGAAUCAAAUUUAACAGAUAAAAUGUCCAGCUCCUAUGUAUCUCCAUGGUGAUAGUAGACUUGUUCCUAUGUAUCUCCAUGGUAAUACAUUUUCAGUUAUUUAUAUGAGUCUUUUCCUAACAUAUUGGAUCAUGAAUUAUUGUCAUUUUCUUCUUGCUUAAUCAGAAGAAAACUAUAUCCACUAAAAUGCAAAUCAUUUUUCAAUACGUUAUAACAACGAGUCACAUGGGCAUUCGCAAACGUGGACUACACUUCAUGAGACUAGGGUCCCAAAAACAACGUCUACAGUUAGAAUAAUUUAAUGAGAGCAGUGGCAAAGAAGGGAGAGCAAGAGAACGUAUAGUUUAGGUAUCAAAUGGUGGGACGACAGCGAGAUGAAUAUAAGAAGAGCACCGAAGCACAUGUUGAUGAAUUUUCAUCAAUAUUAGUGAACAACAAGGGGAAGAAUGUAGAGAGAUGACCAUGAUUCUUUAUAUCUUUUUAAUCAAACAAACAUUUGGCUGUGGUGUUGUUAUUCUGAUUUUCCAAAAUAAAGUGUUUUUUUCUUUUCUCUUUUGCUGACUUGCAUAUAUGAAUGGAUAAACUAACCAGGGUCAAUCUUUUUAUAUAUGUAUGUCUUUGCCCUAUGUGUUUUUUUUUUCUUAGUUGUUGGUGAUUGUAUCUAUUUGUUACAUCUUGGUGAAUCUAUAUAUUUUGGUGAUUGUAUCUCUUCUUAGUCUUUGGUAAAAAAAAAGUAACGCCAACUAUCAGUCUAAGAAGGAUAUAGUCGUUUAGCAAAAAAAAAGGAUAUUGUCUAGUUGAACUCUGGAAAGCAACCGUAAAUCAUGAAUCAUCACUAGAAUCUUCAUAUGGUGAUGAAGGCAUUCUUGUUACUAAUAAUGAGCUCGAAUGCUUCGGGACCCAUAUAUAUAUAGGUCAACGAAAAGGAUUUGAUAAUUUAACAAAACUGUAUAUGGUAAUUAAACCAAAUAAGAAACCUCAUAACGAUGCGUAGUUGCGUACGUAAUGUUAAAUUGUGUAUUUCAGCUUUAGCAAAUACAAUACAGAAGUAAGAAAGAAAGGGAUAGAUGCAUGCGCAUGCACAUGCACAUGCACAUGUACCUUGUUAUUCUUGUGCCCCCUCUUAUUAUUAUCGUGUGACAAACGUCGUUCGGUGCCAAAAUUGACAAAUCUCUCUACUAAACAACGUACAAAUCUGACAAGUGUCACUUUCUCCACAAAUGUGUGAAUAUAUAGCAAUUCUCACAUGCGAGACAAUUCAAAUCCAAUGGGAUGGAAAAUUCCAAAGUUAAGCAAAAAACAAGCAAACCAAUCAAGUCUUGCGUGCUAGAAUUUGUAAGAAGAAGAAGACGUGAAAAUAUAUAUAAAAGAAAAUGAAUAAAAUUGCCUGAUUAGGUAAACAAUAUUGUAACAAGAAGAAAAAAAAGUAGAGAAAACAAAAUCUUGUUUUGAAACUACAACAAGGGAGGAGCUAGGAAGGAGGCAAAAUUCAAAUUAUAUAUACAUAUACAUACGAAAGGCCAUCUCAUCCACAUUUCUCUCACCCACUUUCUCUCUCUCUCUCUCCGCGCUUUUGUAUUUUUUAAAAUAUUGAGAAUCUCAAAAAUAAAAAAAAUAAUUGAGAGAAAAAUAGAGAAAGGAGAUCGUGAAAGACAGGGAGGCUCAGCUGAAGAAGGAGAUAACUUUUGGGUUUGGAGACUCCUGAGAACAUUGGCUUCUUCAUUCUACACCUGAAGGUUGUAAGAUCUCUCUCUCUCUCUCUCUCUAUCUAUCUGAUUCGGAUUGGUUAUCUGAUUUGCAAAAGUUCAAUGCUUUUUGGAAACAAUAAUAUUCGAAUUACCCUUUUAGAAUAAAAAUUGGUUCUUUUUUUGUUUGGAGGUUUCGACGGAUCUGAUUCAAUCGGUUUUACUUUCGUCUAGCUUCUGUUUUCCUUGUUUGGAUUGCAGAUCUGAAUUUUCUUUCUUACCUGCCUGCUCAAAUUGGUUUCUCCCAAUCUCUUUUGCAAAUGCUUGUGAAUGAAAUAGCGAUUUUGAGCUUGAGCUACGAUUUGAAUGGUUUGCAUCGUUUAAUCUCUAGCAACUUGUCGUGAAUCUCCAAUAAGCUCAGUGGCUGAAACAUGAUUAAACUAAUAAUUUGAGCUAUAUACAUCUUUUUUUGGUUACACAUAAAAAUCGUGUCUUUGUGUGUGUGUUUAAGGUUUCAAGUGUUCCUUUAGUUGAUUAAUGAAUUUGUAAGCAUAUUCAUCAUGCUAAUUGGUUAAAGAUGUAGCCUUUGUAUUACAUCACUCACUGAUUUAGCUUCUUUUUAUGUGUGUGUGUGUGUGUUUGAGAUUUUAAGUGUUCCUUUAGUUGAUUAAUUAAUUGGUAAGCAUACCCAUCAUGCUAAUUGUUUAAAGAUGUAACAUUUGCAUUACAUAACUCACUGGUUUAGCUUUUUUUAUGUGUGUAUUCAAAAUUUCUAUUGUUCCUUUAGUUGAUUACUUAAUUGAUGUGCCUACUCAUCAUGCUAAUUGCUUAAAGUUGUAGCCUUUGUAUUACAUCACUCACUGGUUUAGCUUUUUCUUUGUAUGUGUGUUCAAGAUAUCUACUGUUCCUUCAGUAGAUUAAUUAAUUAUUGAGCAUGUUCAUCAUGCUAACUGCUCUAAGAUGUAGCCUUUUGUAUUACAUCACUCACUGAUUUAGCUUCUUUUUUUCUGUGGUGUCAGUGUGUCUUUAGCUACUCGUCAUGGUGGCCACCUCUGCUACAUCCUCAUUCUUCCCUCUCCCAUCUUCCUCUCUCGACCCCAAUGGCAAAACCAACAAAGCCACCUCCACCAACUUCUCCGGACUCAACCCCACACCAAACUCUUCCGGCAGGUUAAAGGUCAAACCAAACGCUCAGGCUCCAUCCAAGAUCAACGGCAAGAAAGUCUCCUUGCCAGGCUCAGUACACAUCGUAAAGACUGAUAAUAACCACGAUCUCUCGCAACAAAACGCACCGAGAACUUUCAUCAACCAGCUACCUGACUGGAGCAUGCUUCUCGCCGCCAUCACAACGGUCUUCUUAGCAGCUGAGAAGCAGUGGAUGAUGCUUGAUACUAAACCGAGACGCUCCGACAUGAUUAUGGAUCCGUUUGGGUUAGGGAGAAUCGUUCAGGAUGGGCUUGUGUACCGUCAGAAUUUCGAUAUCAGGUCUUAUGAAAUAGGUGCUGAUCGCUCUGCAUCUAUAGAAACUGUCAUGAACCACUUACAGGUAUAUUGCAAUCACACUCGUUUGAUACUAGAGCUUGACCCGCACUGAUGUUGGUUUUUAUAUUUUUAUAAAUUGUUUAGUGACAUAUAGAUAUAGGUUAUUUAGAUAUUUCUAGGUUCCUACGAACCUACCCGGACUCAAACCCUGUCCGUAAAAUUGAGUUUAAUUUUAAACCAAAAAAAUCCGAUACCCGAAAAAACCGAUCUGUAUCUAACUCUUGUCCUCAUGACAGGAAACGGCACUCAACCAUGUGAAGUCUGCAGGACUGCUGGGAGAUGGGUUUGGUUCUACGCCUGAGAUGGUUAAGAAGAACUUGAUAUGGGUCGUUACUCGUAUGCAGGUUGUCGUUGAUAAAUAUCCUACUUGGUAAGCUCUCUUGCCACUUAACCUUAAACAAUAUGCAUGAAUCAUUUGCUUAUUCAAAUGUCUGUUUCACCAGGGGAGAUGUUGUUGAAGUAGAUACAUGGGUCAGUAAGUCUGGGAAGAACGGUAUGCGUCGUGAUUGGCUAGUUCGGGAUUGCAAUACCGGAGAAAUCUUAACACGUGCAUCAAGGUUAGCUUCUUUUUGUUUUUUUUGUUUACUCCAGCUAUUAUCUGAUUAUUGAGUUAUAACCAUCUCUGUGUUGCAAAACAGUGUGUGGGUGAUGAUGAAUAAAGUGACAAGGAAAUUAUCAAAGCUUCCUGAAGAGGUUCGAGGGGAGAUAGAGCCUUACUUUGUGAACUCUGACCCAAUCCUUGCCGAGGACAGCAGAAAGUUAACAAAGCUAGAUGACAAGACUGCUGACUAUGUUCGCUCUGGUCUCACCGUAAGUAUAAAUAUUCAACUCUUUAUCUUUUAGCGUGUAAAACUCUUGAGAGAUUCUUAUGAGUUUAGAUUCUUAUGAGUUUAGUGAUGAACUUUUGCAGCCGAGAUGGAGUGACUUGGAUGUUAACCAGCAUGUUAACAACGUGAAGUACAUUGGUUGGAUACUCGAGAGUGCUCCAGUGGAGAUGAUGGAGAAGCAUAAGCUGAAAAGCAUGACUCUGGAGUAUAGGAGGGAAUGCGGGAGAGACAGUGUGCUUCAGUCUCUCACCGCGGUUUCGGGAUGCGAUGUUGGUAGCCUCGGGACAGCUGGUGAAGUGGAAUGUCAGCAUUUGCUUCGACUCCAGGAUGGAGCUGAAGUGGUGAAGGGACGAACAGUGUGGAGUUCGAAAACACCAUCAACGACUUGGGACACUACAUCGUAAAAAGAACAGCAAAGGGUGCUUUGGUUCCCUCUGUAAACUAUAUACCUGCUUGCAACCACCACCUUUGUAUAUUUUUAUUCUUAUUUUUGGUUUUAUUUUUCUUUGAUGGAUAUACAUUAUAUUUAUUUAAUCUUUCUAUUUAUUUGUUUUUUUUUUCUUAUGGGAAAAAUGGGUAUGGUCGUUUAUCAUUACAGUUAUGUUAAUUAUGUAUUCCUCCCAUGUGCCAUGAUGGCCAGACAAGGCAAUAGCUUACUUUCUUAUCAUCUUAUAUUUAUUGUACUCUCUUGAGUUUUGUAGUUGUUUCCAGCUGAACAAACACGUGCAUCAUGUUCUUGUGACUUGUGAGGAAUGUCAUGGCAUGUACCUGUCAAAUUAUUGAAUGGCUACUAAAUAGACAACGAACAACUAAAACGGUUAGUGGUUUGAAAGGCAUAACACAAUUAUUAUUACAAACGACAAAGAAAGCUUAUAAAGCAAUAAUAAUCUGGAAAGCUUAUAAAGCAAUAAUAAUCUGGAAAGCCAUAAAGGUAGACGAGAAAGGACGAGAAGAGUUUGAAGGUUUAAGUGUCCAUGUAUUUAUGUAUGUGCAUUAUCGUAUACCACCGGUCCUGAUUAGUUUAGCUUAACCGGUGUUGGUUAAGUAGAAUCACGUGUUUUGGUCACGUGUGGUGAGCACUGUAAAACGGCAACGUAUGAGCCGUUACAGCUACACCUUAUCUUGAGCUAAGCUCUAGUGACUGAUGAGAGCUUAGUGCAGAGAGUUAUCAAGAGAGAAAGGAUCGGUGGUUGCGAUUGUAAUCCAAGCUCUAGAUCAGAGCUGAGUAGUGGAUUGCUGAUCAUAGAUCAGCCCCAGGAGAUAUAGCGGCCUUCUCACGUUGAGAGGGUGCGGUGAACCUGGGUAAACACUUCGUGCGAGUUCUUGUUUCCUUUCGAGUAGUUCGUUAAUCAACAAACCGAGUUAGAUCUAAGCCGUUAGGAGAAGCGGAUCGCACAAAUUGGUAUCAGAGCUUGAGUUGGAGUUUCGAGGAGGUUGCGAUUCGAAGAUCUAAGGUUUCUUGAAGCGAAGCGAUGACAAAGACAAAGAUCGAGAUCGAAAGAUUCGAUGGAGAUGGAGACUUCUCUCUCUGGAAGAGAAGGAUGUACGCAUACCUAAGCGUAUCAGGUCUGAAGGAUGUUCUUGCCGAGAAGGCCUCAACCUCUGAGGUCAAGGUAGACGGAUCAGAAGAAGAUGAUCCAGAUGUCAAGAAGAAGAACAUCGCAACAGAGGAAUCUAGGCUGGAGCGAUGCGAGAAAGCUAUGAACAUGAUUUUUCUCAACGUCGGAGACCACGUCUUGAGAAAGAUCGAGCGAUGCACAACAGCAGCGGAAACAUGGACGACACUAGAGGCUCUAUACCUUCCCAAGUCUCUGCCGAACAGAGUCCACGCGCAGCUCAAGCUUUAUGGAUUCAAGAUGCAGGACCAACGAUCAAUUGAUGAGAAUGUAGAUGACUUUCUCAAGAUCGUUGGUGAGUUGAGUCAUCUCAGUAUUGAAGUCCCAGAGGAAGUGCAAGCAGUCCUCCUACUGAACGCAUUGCCUGCGAAAUACGAUCAGCUGAAGGAAACUUUGAAAUAUAGUAGAGAGGUCAUAAAUGUGGAAGACGUAACAAGUUCAGCUAAGUCGAAGGAGAAGGAGCUGAAAGAUUCAUCAACGUCACGACCAAGCUCAGAAGGUCACUAUGGCAGAGGGAGAUCAGAAUCACGAAGCUGGUCUAGUAACAAAGGCAAGGCAAAUGCAAGAUCAAGAUCGAAGUCUUCAGAAAAGAAGAAAGUUUGCUGGAUUUGUGGGAAAGAGGGACACUUCAAGAAACAAUGCUACAAGUGGUUGGAACGGAAUAAAGGGAGGACUCAGAACUCGCCAGAGUCCUCAAUGGUAAGAGACGACGCUCAGGAUCUUGUAGGACUAAUUGCUUCAGAAGUCAACGUGUCUCAAAGACAAGAUGAAACAGAAGAAUGGGUCUUAGAUACUGGAUGUUCUUUCCACAUGACCUCAAGGAAAGAUGUCAUGAUUGAGUUUAAGGAAGCAACAGGAGGGAAGGUCAGAAUGGCUAAUAAUAGCUAUACAGAAGUCACUGGGAUCGGCUCCGUCAGGUUCAAAAACCCAGAUGGUACAACCUUUGUACUUCAUGAAGUCAGAUACAUGCCAGGAAUCGCAAGAAAUCUGAUUUCGUUAGGGACUCUUGAGAAGAAAGGAUGCGAGUUCAGAGGAUCAGACGGUUUUGUGAAGAUAGUAAAGGGUUGUGCGGUUAUCAUGAAGGGAGAGAGAAGAGGUAAUGAUACGCUGUAUAUUCUUCAAGGAGGAGCUUUGAAGUCAGAGGCUAAUGCAGUGAAGGAAUCCUCUGAAGAUUCGACCAGACUCGCAACGACCAAGCUUUGGCAUAGCAGGCUUGGUCACGUUGGUCAAAAGGGACUAGAAGUUCUAGCCAAAGAAGGAUGUAUCGAUAGAGCCAGUAUUACUGAUCUUGAUUUCUGCGAAGACUGUGUCAUAGGCAAGGCACAUAGGGUAAGUUUCGGUACAGCAAAGCACGUUACAAAGGAGAAGCUAGAUUACGUGCAUUCUGAUCUAUGGGGCUCUCCAAAUGUUCCCAAGAGUUUAGGAAACUGCCAGUACUUUAUAACAUUUACUGAUGACUGGUCCAGAAAAGUAUGGAUCUACUUCAUAAAAACCAAAGACGAAGCCUUUGAGAAAUUCGUUGAGUGGAAAAAGAUGGUUGAAGUACAGUCAGAAAGAAAGGUUAAGAAGCUCAGAACUGAUAAUGGGUUGGAGUACUGCAAUCGCAGAUUCGACCAGUUCUGUAAGGAGGAAGGAGUUGUACGUCACAGAACCUGCACGUAUACUCCUCAACAAAACGGGGUUGCAGAAAGGCUCAACAGGAGCAUAAUGAACAAGGUUAGGAGUAUGCUCAGUGAGAGUGGUUUGGAUCAGAAGUUUUGGGCUGAAGCUGCUUCUACAUCGGUCUACGUCAUCAACAGGCUACCUUCUUCUACUAUAGAGUUCAAGAUUCCAGAACAGAUGUGGACGUCAGCGUUACCAGAUCUUUCCAGGCUAAGGCGUUUCGGGUGUGUCGUAUACGUACACUCGGAUGAGGGAAAGCUGAAUCCAAGAUCAAAGAGGGGUAUUUUCACUGGAUAUCCAGAUGGCGUAAAGGGUUUUCGCGUGUGGCUACUUGAUGAGGAGAAAUGCGUUAUCAGCAGAAAUCUGAUCUUUCGAGAAGAAUUGAUGUACAAAGACAUCAACAAGAAUGAAAUCUCAGGUAACUCUGUUCCUUUCAAUACGCUUAUGACUAAUGAAACUUUAAGUUUUGAGAAUGCAGGAAAACAGGUAAUAGGCUCCGAUGAUCAGGAAGGAUCUUCACAAUCACGUGAAGACAGUAGUGCUGAGACUCAGUCACCUACAACAGAGGCUGUGACUCCGGUUAACCAGCAAGAUUUGAGUGAUUAUCAGUUAGCGAGAGACAGAGGAAGACGUCAAGUCAGACAGCCUUCAAAGUACAAAGACUAUCAACAGUAUGAGGGUGAUGAUGAGAUAGCUGGUUUUGCAUACCUGAUGAUUGAAGACGCAGGACGACCAGAACCUGGGAGUUACCAAGAAGCUCUUGAAGAUCCUGACAGUGAGCUGUGGAUACAAGCCGCAGAUGAAGAAAUGGAGUCGUUACUGAAGAAUAAGACGUGGAUACUUGUAGACAGAGUAAUGGGUCAGAAACCUAUUGGAUGUAAGUGGGUGUUUAAAAGAAAGGCCGGGAUUGCAGGGGUUGAAGAUCCAAGGUUUAAAGGUAGACUGGUCGCGAAGGGCUACGCACAGAAGGAGGGUGUAGACUUUCAAGAGAUUUUUUCACCAGUCGCCAAGCAUGUAUCCAUCAGGUUUAUACUAUCCAUGGUGGUUCAUUUUGAUAUGGAGCUACAACAAAUGGAUGUUAAGACGGCGUUUUUGCAUGGAUAUUUGGAUGAAGAUAUUUACAUGGAUCAGCCUGAGGGCUAUAUAGACAAGAAUCACCCGGAGAGAGUGUGUCUACUGAAGAGGUCACUAUAUGGUCUACGUCAGUCACCUCGACAAUGGAACACAAGGUUUGAUGAGUUUAUCAUGAGUCACGGUUUCAUCAGAAGUGAAUACGACAUCUGCGUUUACUUCAAAGAGUACGAAGUAAAUGAGCACAUUUAUCUGCUCUUGUACGUGGAUGACAUCCUCAUAGCAUCUAGAAGUAAGACUGAGGUUGAGAAGUUGAAACAGACUCUAGGCUCAGAGUUUGAGAUGAAGGACCUCGGUGAUGCCAAAAAGAUACUUGGGAUGGAAAUAACACGAGACAGAGAGAGAGGAACCUUAACAGUAUCUCAAGAAGAUUAUGCUAUGAAGUUUCUAGGAAACUUCAACAUGGAGAAAUGCAAGAGUGUAUCAACUCCUCUCGGAGCACAUUUCAGAUUGAGCUCAGCAACAGAGAAAGAGCUGAAAGAGCAGAGUGACUAUAUGAAGACUGUUCCAUAUCAGAGUGCUGUGGGUUCUCUGAUGUAUUCCAUGGUUGGCACGAGACCUGAUCUAGCCUAUGCGAUUGGAAUGGUCUGCAGGUUCAUGAGUAACCCUAUUAAGAUUCACUGGCAAGCUGUCAAGUGGGUUUUACGGUAUGUUCGAGGAUCAACGAAGAUGAAGCUGUCAUACAGGAAAGAAAGCCAGUUCAUUGUUAAAGGAUAUUGUGAUGCAGACUAUGGAGCAGAUCUUGAUAAAAGGAGAUCUAUAACAGGGAUGGUGUUUACUGUGGGAGGAAACGUGGUGAGCUGGAGGUCAAGUCUACAGAAGUCAAUUGCGUUAUCAACUACAGAGGCAGAGUGGAUUGCUUUGGGAGAAGCUUCAAAGGAAGCUAUGUGGCUCAGAGGGUUCAUCAACGAAUUAGGAUUUGAGCAGGAUCGAGUUGAGAUAUUUUGUGAUUCUCAAAGCGCCAUUGCACUAUCAAGGAAUCCGGUACAUCACGAGAAGACGAAGCAUGUAGAUGUGAAAUACAAUUUCGUCAGGGAGCUGGUUAGUGAGAAGAUCAUAGACGUGGUAAAGAUAGCGACUCAGUAUAAUCCGGCAGACAUCUUUACAAAGGUACUACCGGUUGGGAAGAUGAGAGAAGCCCUGCGGUUUCUCAGAGUUACAGAAAACUGAAGCUAAACAUUCGCUAAGUUAUUGAAGCCUGGUGGGAUUAUCAGGAAGAUAAGAAGCUGAGUGAAGUUUCUCAGGAGGAGUUAACAAGAAGAGUUAACAUGAGAAGAUAAGAGGUUUGGAGCUGGAGUUUACAGUUUCAGGAGAGGAUAGUACUAAGAGCUAUCAAGAGAAGAAGUCAUAUGCACCAAUACGUGGACAAGGAGGAGAUUUGAAGGUUUAAGUGUCCAUGUAUUUAUGUAUGUGCAUUAUCGUAUACCACCGGUCCUGAUUAGUUUAGCUUAACCGGUGUUGGUUAAGUAGAAUCACGUGUUUUGGUCACGUGUGGUGAGCACUGUAAAACGGCAACGUAUGAGCCGUUACAGCUACACCUUAUCUUGAGCUAAGCUCUAGUGACUGAUGAGAGUUUUAGUGCAGAGAGUUAUCGAGAGAGAAAGGAUCGGUGGUUGCGAUUGUAAUCCAAGCUCUAGAUCAGAGCUGAGUAGUGGAUUGCUGAUCAUAGAUCAGCCCCAGGAGAUAUAGCGGCCUUCUCACGUUGAGAGGGUGCGGUGAACCUGGGUAAACAAUUCGUGCGAGUUCUUGUUUCCUUUCGAGUAGUUCGUUAAUCAACAAACCGAGUUAGAUCUAAGCCGUUAGGAGAAGCGGAUCGUACAGAGUGUUAUAGAAGGAAAGAGACGAGGAAGAAAUGAAUUUAACACGGUAUCACGGUUCACGGAUGUUAAGUGAUGCAUUUGAAGUAGAAUGCCAUAAAACGCACAUCAUAAUUGCAUUGCAUGCAUUAAAAAUUAGAUUUACUCUGGUAGUAAGUGGUUUUCAUCGACUUUCAAUAGAGUUUUUUUUUUUUGUUUUUGUCGGCACUUUCAGUAGAGUUAUAAGCUUAACAUAUAUUACAACCUACUUAAUAUUAUAUCUGGGGAUGUCUUGUCUUCUUGAAUUAUUUUUGGGUCUAUUUUCCUCUUGAUUGUUGCAUCCAACUCAAUAAAAUAUUACAAUUCAACUCCAUCUUGACUUUUUAAGAUUUGAAGUCAUGAGGAUAUAUAAUUACAAAAGUCAGUAGCUAACUUGUACUUAAUUUAUUAGAUUAUUAGUAAUUUAAAAUCGUAUAAAGAACUAAAUCAGUGCAUUGUAACUGAUUAAAAAAAAUUCAGUAGAUAAUUAGUAUUACACCUCCAGAAACACAUAUUCUAUGUUUAUAAUUUUGUAACUAUUAUUAUAACUCCAAGAAACAGAAUGCUUAUAUUACACAUACAAAAACUGUAGUCAUCAGAACCGAAGGAGAAUUGACUAAAAGAAUGAUGCCAAGAACCCCAUAAAAACUAAACAUAACAAAUUAUAUUUUGCUAUGGAAGAAGAAUUUUUACGACCCUUAACCAAACUAUCAUCAUCAUCAUCACUCUCAAUAUCUUUAGGAUGGUCAAAAUUGGCGGGAACUAUGGUAUCAGGAGCAACUUCAUCAUCACCGGAUUGAGAUGGUUGGCCUGGUCCAGGAGCCGUCUCAUCAUCUUCAUCUGGUGAUGAUAAAGCAGGUAGGCCUUGACCAUGUGUUACAUUUAUCAUGAAAUGCUGUCCAAAUUUGCAUUGUUCACCAUCAUAGUUUCCUGAGAAGAAAUAAUUGGAACCUUCUUUGACAAGAGGAACUUUUACCGAGACCGGAACUGGAGAUGUUGCUGAAGGUUUUGCAGCUGACCACUCUUUUGUACUAUUGUCUUCAUUAUUGUUGUAAUCGCAUGAUUUGUAUGUUUUGAAGUCAUAUGUUUGCACCACCGAAUGGUUGCUAUCUGUGUUGAAUACUACAUUUGAACAACAAAGACGUUUAUGAUUUGAGACUUCAUAAACCAAAAACAAAAUUAUCAAUUCAAAUUUUUAAACUACACAUUUUGCUAAAAUAUUGUAUUUUUAUAUAUCUAAACGUCAGAAACUACAUUUUCUUAACAUUAUUUCUUAAAAAUAUGCUUGGUUUUUAUUAUAUUACUAUGGUUACUUCAAAAAAUAGAGCUAAAUUUUGGUGUAAACUUACUGAGGAAAUCACCCAAAGAAAAGGAUUUGGAAUCAGCCCAUUUCUGAUAGUUUACAGAGGGUCUCUCCUGGAUAUCGAACCAUCCUUUGGACUCACCCACGGUGUAGUUCUUGUACGCAUCAGCUGACAAACUCAGAACCAUAAGGCUCAUGAUGAGUAACACAUUAAAACAAGAUGCUGAUGAAGAUCUCAUGCUGCAUGACAUUACUCUUCUUCCUCUCCCGAUUCUCUAGAUUACAGAGCUUUGCUUUGAUUGAUCUAUAUUUGCUAUAAAAAAGAGAUAUGAGUCUAUACAUAAAGUAAUAAGCUGGUCAUUGGCAUGUGGACAAGUCUUGAUGUUUGGGGUAUACGAAGGAACAAGAAACGAUGCGAACUGGUCGGUCCAAUAAAAAACCAACGCCUCCUUCUCCUUCACACCACGUGAUCUCUCACCUUAUGUUUGCUGUCUUGGCUUCCCUACAUCUGCCAACUGUCGUUUCUACAGCCUUACUAAAUGGAAUCCUUAGAUAACGUGUUUUGUAGUGUGCUUUUACUUUACUACCGUAGAUUCGAAGUUCUUUUUCAUUCCAGUGAUUUUGAUUGAUUACAUCAAAAAAUUUCAGAUUUUAUGUUUCGGAAAAACAAUUUAUUCCAAAAUUACUUAAAUUAAAAAGGAAAUUUUGCGAAAAAUUAAAUCACAUGUUCAAUAUAUUAUGACCACUGUCAUUGAUAUGCAAAAAAAUGAAAAACUUAUAUCAGUAAGUUUCCUUCGGUGACUAACAAAUGCAAGUUCAAUUAAAUAUUUUUCAUUAUUGAGUUUUAGUUGGGCCUUCAUAAACUCAAACAAAAAUAAUGGGCCAGGAGACAUCUAUUGAAAAGGAACUCUAUUAUUUUAAAGUUUAGGAAAUUUAGGUUUCAGAUUAAUCUGGUAAACCGAACGGAACAAAAUCAAACUAAAAUAGAUUUGGUUACUGGAGUUCAAAUAUGAUUCCUUGACUUGUCGAACCCAUAAACAACAGUGUCAAUGGCUAUGUAAAUGUAUUUUAGCAUAUAAUAGAGGCAAGAUAAUGUUGUUUCUUCAAGUCCCAAAGGCCAUUAUGUUGUAUUUUUAACACUGAAUAAGCUUUUUUAUUAUAAAUCCAAAAGAGACUGUUUCAGUUCAUCUACUCAUGGGGCAUUGUAGAAUUAUUGAGACAAGGAAAACAAACACGUUUCGAGAGUGAGAACAUAAAGAAAGGUUCGAAAGAGAGUCUGAAAAUGGAUUUAACUGCUACCACCAUCUCAUGAUCUUUGCAAGACAAUCUUGGCAGAGAAAAUAGCAAGCUUCUCUCUGUUUUAGGAUUCAGGACCUUCCUUGAGACUUGCGUUCCCACCAUUCCAUGAACUUAACUUGAGCAGCCAUCGUGUCCAACUUAUACAGUUGCAUCGUGUGGUUAGCGACUUCUUGCCCAAAGGUCCAACCAAAAAGACCUCCUCCUAAGAAUGACAGUGCAGUACCUGCCGCACCAAGCAGCAGUUACAAAGGUGCAUACUUAUCAAGAGAUAUACGCAUACAGUUCAGUAUUUGCCAAACAUGUAACAAGAGCGUUUUAUUUACAUGGGACAUAAAGUAUUUAACUUACUCCAGAAGGUGUUCAUUUUGUCUAAUGAUUAAAAGGGUUAUUCACAAAGAGAAAAAAAACGUAUUUACCAUGUGGACUCCUGGAAUAUUUCCAGGAAAAAGCAGCAGUAGAUACAGCUCCAAGUGCAGCUCCAGUAGCACCAAAAGCCGCAGCUUCCCUAGCAGUUUUCAGCUGCAAUAGGAUGAAAACACAACGUAAGUCCAAGCUUUCCAAGGAGCAAAAACGUCUAUAUCUUGAGUAAGAGUGCAUAUGAGCUAAGAAAUGAGCAAGAAGUGGAGCAUGGAAUGGAACAUGGGUUGAAUCAUAAAGAAUCCAAAACACUCUCCUAACCCUUACGAAAUUCCUGAAUACUGAUCACAUUCUGCUCUAGUAACUAUCUAUCCUGCUUCUUCCUAUAGCCUUCUUCUUCCCUCUCCUACUCUUUCAUCAAGUUUCUUCCAACAUUCAAUAUCUUUUAACUCCAUUAAACAAUAAUCUAUUCCUUCCCUAAUACAUUCACAUCAAAAAUCUUUGCUAAGAACAGUGUAAACUCACUGAGGAUUCACUCUAUCUAUUCAAUAACAGAGCUCUCUACUUCAAAAAAAUCACAUAGAUCAAAGAGCCACGAACAAUCAGUCAGAGAUUCACAAAGGCUCAAUCAGUAAAUCAAAUACAACGCCGAGGAGAUAACAAACAAAAUCAAUCGAAUAAUCCAUGGAUACAGAGAGAGAGAGAGGGGGCAAUACGGUGGGUCCAUUGACGGGAUCCGAGGCUAUGAACUCGUCGACGUCGGAGGAAGACCAAGAAGGAAGAGGCGUAUCGCGUUUGGUGAACCUCGUGUAAUUCUCCAGGAACGAUAACCUCUCCUCCCAGAACCCCUUGAAUCCAUCCAGCAACGAUCGCGAAUCUCCCAUUCUUCUUCGCACACUUUCUCUCAGAUCGAUAUCGAUUUUUUUUUUUCCUGAUUGAUUCAAUCGGAGACGAACGUCGCUCCUCUACGCCGCUCAAAAUAAUCAGUCCAGUAGUCUAACCAGUAAAGUAUCGCCACGUGGUUAAUAGAAUACAUUUGGUAUUUAAGAAUUUUCAUUUAUUUUAUGAAAAAUUAGAAUUUCAAAUGUUUCUUCUCUAAUUUCACAUUACCGGUUCGGUUCAUAUAUUUUAAUUUUUUUUGGAUAUUUUGAGUCUAUUAUUUGUUCGGAUUUUUGUUUUAUUUGGACCGAGUUGAGAUAUUUUCUAAUAGAGGACUAAAUAUAUGAAUUUGUAUUAAAUGUUCAAAAAUAUAUAAUACUGACGAAUUUUCGAAUUUUUCCAUCUGGAUUUAUAUUUAUACAAACACACAUACACAAAAUGUUUAGGUUUAAAGAAAAAUAUCUUUAGGGGAAGAUUUUAUAUAAUUCCUAGCUAAUAUGUUCAUAUUAAUUUGGACUAGUGAUUUGAAGGUGUUAACUCUACUGCUAAAGCCUUCUUUCCAAAGAAAAUAGGUGCUAGGUUCGAGUCUCAUCAGUUAUGGAGAGUGGAUUAAGCAAGUGGCUCUUGUCCAUGGUCCAAAAAUAUCAUGGGAUUAUGUCUAUAACUUCUCAAAUUCAACUAAAAAAAGAAAGUAACCGGCUCUUGUCCAUGGCCAAAAAGAUUAUAGGUUUGGACCAGAACUUCUUGAAUUCAACAGAAAAAUAAAAGUUUGGCUACUGUAUAUUAAUUAUCAAAUCAGAUUUGUAUUUUCAAUCUUUGUUAACUCAAGUCUCGAUAUUAUAUGCCCAGUCCUACUAGCUAGUCGCUCGCAUCAUAAUCCAAUCCACAUCAAAAGUAGACGGUCUUCAGCGAAGUCGAGAAGAGAGUGUAUAUGAUCUUGUAUGUAUAACGUAUACAGAACAAACCAUACUUUCAAUAUUUUUUAUCUACUUUUGAACAUAGUUUUCAAUUGUGUGUGUCUUUUUUUUUUAAAUUAGUCACUUAAUUUAUAGUUUUUGUUUACAAACAUACAUAUGAUUUGACAUUGUGUUCCUGUGUACUUAGGGUUUUCUCACAAACAUGCAAUCGAAGAAAAAAAAUGAUAAUUAGAGUAACUGAUUCGGUAUACAAGACUAAUCGUAAAAAUUAAGGAAACAAAAACCCUAAUAAAAAUGGAGGUUGAAAAGAAAAACAUAAUAAUGAUGAGAAAAAAAAUGCAGUGAGAAAGAAGGAAGAAAAGAAAACAUUAAAGUGUGUGGACAAGACCCGUCAGAGGCACAAACAGCCAAAGACAUCCAAAGACCCCAACUAACAUGAUUUGACGUUUCAGAUUCUGUUUUUCUUUUGGAUCAUUCAUUUUAAAAAAAAAACUAUUUUCUUGUCCAUUUUAAAUUAGUAUAUCUUAUUAUACGCAAGUUUUUAUGUAUUUUAGUUUUCUUUCAUAAAUGAGUGUGCAUGGACGAGUCGACGGAAGGUGUACGUAAGUGUCUCUAACACUGUUGGUCUGUUGCACACACUGGACAACAUGGCCCUACAUCUCUAACCUUCGUUGAGAGAGAGAGAGAUGGCUUUCAUUAAACAUAGCCACAAGCACAGUUCGGGUCAAUUUUGGACUAUAGAAAAUGAAAGUUAUAAUUAAUAUGUAUACUUGAAAUUUGAAUAGCAAGUUGAUGUCGACGUGGAAACUAUAGUGAUUGCAAUUUGGUCGAUGCUAUGAGUCAAUUUUUUUUCCAAAGUGGCGCAUUCUUUUAGCAAAAGUUGACAAACAAUACAACUACACAAAACAUUAAAUUUUAAAUCGAUAAAAGAGUACAAGGUUUUUGUUAAUGGUUAUUAAGAAUUUUCACUAGCGAUUAAAAGAAUUCAAACACAUUAUUCCUUUUCUAAAUUAGAUACGUUAACAUGAAUUAUUCUGUUGACUUACACAUGAUGCAGACACGAGCAUUGAUUUCUUUUCUUUUUUUUUUUCACGAGCACGAGCAUUGAUUUCUCAUCAAUGAUUUUUUUUUUUCAUUUUAAACUGUUAAAAUAACCAAUUUAGCUAUUCAUUGGGAGCCUUUGCUUUUCGUAAAGAAUGUUUCUUUGGAAUGAGUGAUUUUCAGAAUUAUCUCAGCACCAUAAAAGUCACCAUAUCAUAUCCCAAGAUGGAAUUUAUCUUUUCUUACCCACUCUAUGUAUAUACUACUGUACAUGGGCUUGUAUAAUAAGUAUAUAAAUAUUUCAGUAUACACAAACAAACAUGUAAAGUCCAAACUCCUUUUUUCAAAUUCUAUACAUUAAUUAACAUUGAUAUAGAUUACUAUAAACUACUCAAUUUUCAAAAUUCGUGACCUCACAAAGAGCUACACCUUUUCAGAACAAGGAAAUAUGAAACUUAUAUUACAAUCUUCGUAACGGAGAUUUCAGGUUCAGAUGUGAAAACCAUAUAUGGGUUCACUUAUUAGGAGAAUAUAAGCUAGAACUGAAGUUAUAGAUGGAGCCCACGCAAGAAAAAAGAAAGGGACAUACAUACACGUAUAUAUAUGUGUGAAAGGUUAUGGUGAUCUUCUUCUUCCUUACCUUCUCUUCCAUCAUCAGCAUACACAUACAUAUAUAUAAUAGCCAUUAUCAACGUAUAUGUAAAGGCUUUAGUAGUAUCCAUUAGACUUUUGUCCUGCAACUGUCUGGUCUAAUUGCUUGCCCUUCUUGUUGCCAUCCAGCUUUAAUCCAAAGUGAAUGUGAGGAAAAUGUGCCCACUACACACACACCCAAUCAAGCAAAACUAAAAUUUUAAAAUAUACUGUAAUAAACAUUCCACCAAUUGCGAAAAGUAGAAUCCACUAUCUUGUUGGUAUAUACACUUAUUGUUAUUACUAUUUUUUUAACCAUCAUAUCUCACAUCAGAGAAAUAGAUCAAACCCUAGGAUUUUCUAUUUUUAUAAGUUUACUACUUAUUAGAAAAACUAAAAAUUGUAGUUUCUUUAAAAUUAAGUAUGUACAGAUAUUUUUAAAACGUUGUAAAGUAUAACAAUUUAGUAAGCUUUUCAUUAGAAAUAAAGAAUUGUUUUAUAUCUUCAUUACGGUUAAUUCUUUACUAUCAAGAAUUUUAUUUGGAGCUACCUCUCGAAGGCUAUUAUAAUUGUGAAAGAAUGAUAAAGAAGGAAGCUUACAUUUUUAGCAGCUGUGCUAAACGCCUCGCGGUGGCUGAUCUCUGGAUUGCCAGCCUUGAUCCUUUGGAUUUCCUCUCUAUUUAACAUUAGGGGAGUUAUUAAAAUGGUAGUGAAAGGAGUUGAGAAGUUUCAUUAAAAGAUAAACUUACUUGAUGAAUCUGUUGUAGGCUGAAGGAACGCGUUGUCUUUUCUCCGGCGCUGCCAUGAAAAUAAAAUUAUGGACUCAUUGCAUAUGUACACAAACUUCAAAUGCUUGUGUAUCAAAAAUGAGAGUAAAGAGCAACUAACGACGAAUAGGAGGCAUUCUAGGAGCCUCUCGAUCGACAUUUUCUGACAAUGUGGUCGAGAAAUGGUUGGAGCUCCUAGAGGAUGAUCCAUAUUCUUUCCUUGUUAUCGAAGUUGUUAUCUGUUGCUUAUGCUGCUUCAUGAUUGCAAAGACUAUAUCAGCCAGAAUUCGACAUAGUAACAAGAAAAUGUUGAAGUCCUAUAAUGAUUAUUAUUAUAUGAUACCUGAAGAUCUUGAUGAAUGGGAGUAGGUGGGCUUUGAUGAAGUGAAACUCCAAUGUUGAGAGAGAGCAAAUUGGUACAAUGGCCACAUCUCACAGUCACAAGCGUGAACAUACUUGCGUAUGGUACACUUACCUGAUCAUGGAUAAAAUAGGUGGUAAGAUAUCUUAAAUCAUAUAUAUAGACGGACAAGUUAUUUGUCUUGUUUACCACUAUCCUGUUAUUCGAUUAGCUGGUUAGACCAAUCUCUAAUGUAAUAGAACUUAACUAUAUUGUGCAUGCAAUAAUUAACAGGAGAGGUUGAGAAAUAUAGUACGCAUGUUAACUAUUCCAUUCUGUAGAACUGUGCGUUUUUGUUACUUAUAGAACAGUGUAUUGAUUUGACAAAUACAAAUCCAACUAAUAUUUUCCUGAAUAAAACAAAUAAAUAGGUUCUUUUGUUGACUUAUAAAAUCAGGAUUAACGGAGCGUUCAUAGGGUGAAGUUCUUAGCGGAAUAUAAGAAACAAUCUCUUAACUUUUAACUAAAAAAGCUAAGAACCCCACUCUAAAAAUCCUCUAUUAAUCAUGCUCUAAAUGAAUUGGUCGGAGAAAAUUCAUAAAGAUCAACCUAAGGUGAAAUGCUAGUGUUUAUUUCAUUAUACAGUUUCACUAAUUAAUCAUUCAGAUUUAAAAUAUUCGCACGGUAUAAUGUACUUCAAUAAUAAAACGGAGUACAUAGUACCCUUUAAAGUUUAAAUUUAAACAUUUUUUGUGUUCAUAUUGAAGGAAAAACAGCUAGUAAAAUAUUUCUUUUUUCAUACGUCAAAGAUAUUCCUCUAGUUUGUACAUGUAAUAUAAUAUAUUUAAAUAUUUAUAGAAGUAUAUAUUAUCAAGUUUAAUAUUUUUCCCCUGACCCAAAACAUUCAAAAUUGUUAUGCUUCUACUUUCAUAUUUAUUAAAAAUUGGAAAAAGUGGGUAAAAGAGUAGUUCAUGAAUCUAUAUCUAAAUAUGUAUACGAGAGGGGUAUUUUGUGUAUGGUGGGUUCUCUUGACAUAUAUAUAUAUAUAUAUAUAUACUAUAAACUACUCAGUUUUCAAAAUUCGUGACCUCACAAAGAGCUACACCUUUUCAGAACAAGGAAAGAUGAAAUUUAUAUUACAAUCUUCGUAACGGAGAUUCCAGGUUCAGAUGUGAAAACCAUAUAUGGGUUCACUUAUUAGGAGAAUAUAAGCUAGAACUGAAGUUAUAGAUGGAGCCCACGCAAGAAAAAAGAAAGGGACAUACAUACACGUAUAUAUAUGUGUGAAAGGUUAUGGUGAUCUUCUUCUUCCUUACCUUCUCUUCCAUCAUCAGCAUACACAUACAUAUAUAUAAUAGCCAUUAUCAACGUAUAUGUAAAGGCUUUAGUAGUAUCCAUUAGACUUUUGUCCUGCAACUGUCUGGUCUAAUUGCUUGCCCUUCUUGUUGCCAUCCAGCUUUAAUCCAAAGUGAAUGUGAGGAAAAUGUGCCCACUACACACACACCCAAUCAAGCAAAACUAAAAUUUUAAAAUAUACUGUAAUAAACAUUCCACCAAUUGCGAAAAGUAGAAUCCACUAUCUUGUUGGUAUAUACACUUAUUGUUAUUACUAUUUUUUUAACCAUCAUAUCUCACAUCAGAGAAAUAGAUCAAACCCUAGGAUUUUCUAUUUUUAUAAGUUUACUACUUAUUAGAAAAACUAAAAAUUGUAGUUUCUUUAAAAUUAAGUAUGUACAGAUAUUUUUAAAACGUUGUAAAGUAUAACAAUUUAGUAAGCUUUUCAUUAGAAAUAAAGAAUUGUUUUAUAUCUUCAUUACGGUUAAUUCUUUACUAUCAAGAAUUUUAUUUGGAGCUACCUCUCGAAGGCUAUUAUAAUUGUGAAAGAAUGAUAAAGAAGGAAGCUUACAUUUUUAGCAGCUGUGCUAAACGCCUCGCGGUGGCUGAUCUCUGGAUUGCCAGCCUUGAUCCUUUGGAUUUCCUCUCUAUUUAACAUUAGGGGAGUUAUUAAAAUGGUAGUGAAAGGAGUUGAGAAGUUUCAUUAAAAGAUAAACUUACUUGAUGAAUCUGUUGUAGGCUGAAGGAACGCGUUGUCUUUUCUCCGGCGCUGCCAUGAAAAUAAAAUUAUGGACUCAUUGCAUAUGUACACAAACUUCAAAUGCUUGUGUAUCAAAAAUGAGAGUAAAGAGCAACUAACGACGAAUAGGAGGCAUUCUAGGAGCCUCUCGAUCGACAUUUUCUGACAAUGUGGUCGAGAAAUGGUUGGAGCUCCUAGAGGAUGAUCCAUAUUCUUUCCUUGUUAUCGAAGUUGUUAUCUGUUGCUUAUGCUGCUUCAUGAUUGCAAAGACUAUAUCAGCCAGAAUUCGACAUAGUAACAAGAAAAUGUUGAAGUCCUAUAAUGAUUAUUAUUAUAUGAUACCUGAAGAUCUUGAUGAAUGGGAGUAGGUGGGCUUUGAUGAAGUGAAACUCCAAUGUUGAGAGAGAGCAAAUUGGUACAAUGGCCACAUCUCACAGUCACAAGCGUGAACAUACUUGCGUAUGGUACACUUACCUGAUCAUGGAUAAAAUAGGUGGUAAGAUAUCUUAAAUCAUAUAUAUACACGGACAAGUUAUUUGUCUUGUUUACCACUAUCCUGUUAUUCGAUUAGCUGGUUAGACCAAUCUCUAAUGUAAUAGAACUUAACUAUAUUGUGCAUGCAAUAAUUAACAGGAGAGGUUGAGAAAUAUAGUACGCAUGUUAACUAUUCCAUUCUGUAGAACUGUGCGUUUUUGUUACUUAUAGAACAGUGUAUUGAUUUGACAAAUACAAAUCCAACUAAUAUUUUCCUGAAUAAAACAAAUAAAUAGGUUCUUUUGUUGACUUAUAAAAUCAGGAUUAACGGAGCGUUCAUAGGGUGAAGUUCUUAGCGGAAUAUAAGAAACAAUCUCUUAACUUUUAACUAAAAAAGCUAAGAACCCCACUCUAAAAAUCCUCUAUUAAUCAUGCUCUAAAUGAAUUGGUCGGAGAAAAUUCAUAAAGAUCAACCUAAGGUGAAAUGCUAGUGUUUAUUUCAUUAUACAGUUUCACUAAUUAAUCAUUCAGAUUUAAAAUAUUCGCACGGUAUAAUGUACUUCAAUAAUAAAACGGAGUACAUAGUACCCUUUAAAGUUUAAAUUUAAACAUUUUUUGUGUUCAUAUUGAAGGAAAAACAGCUAGUAAAAUAUUUCUUUUUUCAUACGUCAAAGAUAUUCCUCUAGUUUGUACAUGUAAUAUAAUAUAUUUAAAUAUUUAUAGAAGUAUAUAUUAUCAAGUUUAAUAUUUUUCCCCUGACCCAAAACAUUCAAAAUUGUUAUGCUUCUACUUUCAUAUUUAUUAAAAAUUGGAAAAAGUGGGUAAAAGAGUAGUUCAUGAAUCUAUAUCUAAAUAUGUAUACGAGAGGGGUAUUUUGUGUAUGGUGGGUUCUCUUGACAUAUAUAUAUAUAUAUAUAUAUAUGUCUGACACACAAUCCUCAAGGCAACAUGAUAAAAGAUAGUAAAGAGAUGAAGAAUGGUUGAUGAAGCUUGUAAGGAGAAGACAGCCAUGUUAGAAAACGACGUGACCUUAACCACAACCCAUAAAGUCCUUAACAUAAUAUGUGAUGGUACCAUCUUAUAUUAUAAUCUUCUUUUAUCUUUGUGUAUGUAUCCAAUCCAAAGUGGUCAAGAUCGGCCAUGAUUUAACACUUUGCAGCUUUUUUAUAGAUCAAGACAUUGUUGCUCGAACUGGGUCGAACAAAUCUUUGUACUUUCCACUACAAUACGAACCCUAUUUUGUGCAAGGCGACCUUCGUUAUUUUUUUUAAAAAAUGUGACCGUUUUUGUCGCUAAUCACACUCAUGCUACAUCUUCAGUAUAACAUUUAUAAAUAAUCAACUUAGAAGAGUUUCUCGUGAUUACUAUAUUUAUUUUAACCUUAUCUACACACUGCAUGCAAGACUUGUAUAGAAGUUAAUAACAUUUUGGGAUAACACUACUACACUAGUAUUAACCAUAAAGUAUAAACAACGUAACUGACCUCAUGUCCUAGUCAGUUUUUCCUGAUAGCUUCUAUAUCAUAGAUUAUUGAUUUGUAUGGUACAUGUAUAUAUAUAAAUAUAUGUGUACACAGUACACAAAUGUAUGUAUAUAUAGUCAUCCGUUAAAUAGUAAACAAUAUCAAGCCGGUCUACAAAGCUGAAAAUAAUUAAAUUUAAAUAAAAAUAAAAUUAUAUAGAUAUAAUAAUAAAAUUAGUCUCACUUCACUGUUGAAAAAUGAAAUUUUGGGGAAGCAAAAAAAUGUUUUUCUAGAAUUAUCAGCUGGUGAUGUGAUGUAAAUAUUUUUACAUGGACCACGCUUUGUAGAUCAAAGAUCUAUGACUGAUAUGAUAUAUAUGCAUACCUGUGUCACAUGCUACAGUUUAUAUAUUAAACGAUAAUAUGAAAGUCAGACUAUAAAGCUUGAAAACUUAGUGAAAGUUUUUGAGCCUGUAUCGCAUGGACGCAGGCAGCAACGCCUAAUACCUUUUACAGGAAAUAUUAAUGGCGAUUGGAACUUAGGGAAUUGAUAUUGGUAGUUCUUAAGAAAAUGAAGGAAUGAAUUACUGAAACAACAAAGAAAAAUUGUCUUCUAAAACGACAAAAACCUUCAAAAUUGUGAAAUUAAGGAAGGUGCUAUUCUUGUAGACAAUAAACCUACACAUAGAGCCCUAGAUCUGAUCAGGAGCUGUUCCUUUGAGUUUACUUUGUUUGAGCACUAUAAUAUAUGGUUCAGUUACCAAACUUCUUUUGCUUCUUUGGGUAUAAUAUCUCACCACCCGUUAGUGAGAGUCAUCUCCACAAAAGACAAAGGUAAAAUAAAAAUCUAGGGUUUCUUUUAUUUUCUCAAAUCAAGAAACUUCACCUAUAUAUCUUCAUCAAUAUUCAGAAGCAAAAUCAUCAUACACUCAUCACCAAUUAAGUAAUUGAUAGGAAGAUAACAUCUUAACUAUUUGAAUUAUGUUAGAAAAGUGAGAUCUAGCUCUGAGUUAAUACCAAUCUCUCUUUUCUUUUGAGAAAUAUUCCAUUUCUAAUGUAAGCAAAUAGGGGAAGCGAGAAAAUUACCGCUAAAAUCGUGGUGCAGAAGUUGCAGUGGACAUAACAAACACGGUCAGAUGAUAAAUCUAUAGACAUUAUGAUCUCUGGCUUCUCUUCACUGAUAUCUCUCUUCUUGUUCGGGUUACAUGAAAGUUUUAGCUAUGCCAAUGAGAUCAAAGAAGGAACUAUUUGAUCUUGAAAGAAUAUAUUAAAGAAAAGGCAAGCUAAGAAGAGAAGAAGAAGGAUAGAAAGAGAGAGAGAGAGAGAGAGAAAGAUGUGUGGAGGAAGGAUACAAAAAAUCUGAAAAGACUAAUGGGGUUUGUUUGGGGAGGGAGAGGGACAAGUGGGGACUAUACUACAAUGUUCUUUAUUUACUAUACUUUUUAUAUUGGAACUGUGCCGCGUAUUCGCAACACGGAUCGAACAAUACAAUAUUAAUUAAAACUUUUGUUUUUAUUAUUAUAUAUAUGCAUAUAACACUUAUUUGAUCAAUGGUUGUAGUUUAUGAAAGAUAUGCAAGGCAAAGAAAUGUACAUUCUAGAAUUAAUUGUUAGGCUUUUCUUUGAUUGAUUGAAGUAAACAUUCGCCAAAUGAAAGUGUCUGCAAGUAUAUGACAUCAUGCGAGUUAUAGUUUAUGAAAGCUAUGCAAGUCAACGAAAUACAUGCAUAUUUGGAUCGAUAAGACUUUUUGACGAUUUAUGUGUCAUUUCACCAAAUGAAGGUGGCCUAAAUGUAUAUGACAUCAUAAAAAAAUGACUAUAUGAUAGUCACUAGAUCCAUUUUGCACACUCUCCUCCAAUAUUGAUUUAAUAAAAUUGGAUACGAGAAAGUAAUUGGUGGAAGCAAAAGUUUGAGGCAGUUUCAUUUAUAUGGAUUGGAAGAGAUGGGAAUAAAGUUGCAGAUUGCUUAGCAAAACAUAGAUUAUCUAAUAAUAUGCUGUUUGUAUCUCAUUUCUAUGUUCCUAACUUUAUAACCCAUUUGUUACAUUCUGAUCAGAUUAGAUCAUUAUCAUAAUAAAAGAUGUAUUGGAGUUAAAAAAAAAAAAUUCACAAACAUUCAUUUUUGGAAAUAUGUGUGAAUACAUAUAAUAUGACAUUUACUGUAUUUUACAAGAUAAUUAACCUUUUCUAGAUUUUAUCAAAAAUAUGUUUGUCAAAAAAGUAUCAAUAUCCUGUAACCAAAUAUUGAUAAAUGUUUUUAUAUUAUAUCAAUUUCAUUAUAAAUGGAAGAUGUUAAAGAAAUUCAAGUUCUUAUAACAAAUCUGAGAGACUGGAAACAAAUUAUCAAGGAGGAUUUCUCAACAUUUGCACCCAAUUUUUUUUUUUUAAUUUAGGAUACUACGUAAAACCACGAGGUCGAUAGGCAUAUUAUGCAUUGAUUAAGAUUAUACACAAUGAGUUCGAUGCCCUUGUCCAUCACUAUAUUUAUUAAUUAUUUGUUUUACCAAAAAGAAAAAAGAUUAUACACAAUGAAGCCCCAAAAGGCCCAAUCUAUCUAUAUGGGUUUUCAAAGAGAUUUUCAUGGGCCGAAAGUGAACAGCUCAGUUAAUAGCAUCUGUGCUGAAAAUGAGUGAAACAUAGCAUUUACACGAACUGGGACCAUUUUGUUAAAAUUUUGGCCCAGUUCCUACGCAGAAGAAACGACUUUGAACAUUUCCACACCAUGCGACGACUUGUAAACACGAAAGGAGGAAGAACAAUCCAGAACCAGGGGUAAAAUCGUAAUUACACCAAACGACUUUGAGUCAACUCUCACUCCUAUGUUCUCUCAUCUUCUUUGUUAUAAACUCAACCUACAAUGUCAAUAAGCAAGUGCUAUAGAGAUAGAUUCUGAUAAAAAAUGAGAUUAACCCAAAACAAGCUCAAGCCUUUCCACCUCUUCCUCUUCUCUCUUCUCACUCUAACUCCCUUGGCUUUCUCUGAGAUCUUCUUUGAAGAGCAUUUCGAAGGUGAAGUGUUACCACAACACUCCUUCUUAAAAAAGUUUCCACCUUUAGGCUUUCUAUUUAUAGAUUUCUGCAACUAACUUAGUAAGAUUCGUUCAGGUGGAUGGAAGAGCAGGUGGGUCUUAUCUGAUUGGAAGAGAAACGAAGGCAAAGCUGGUACCUUUAAGCACACCGCCGGCAAAUGGCCCGGCGAUCCCGACAAUAAAGGUACUUCCUUUCUUCUACCCUUUUAAGAUAUUUAACCAAUUGGGUCUGAAGAAUCAGUUAGAGAUAUGUUUGGUGUUCUCUAAUGAUAAACCCUGAUUAGGGUUUAUCUGAAAUGGGUUAGAAAAGGGAGAGAGAUAGAGAGAAUGGGGGCUGAGAGUAUAAGAUUUGUUGAUAAAUAUUUUGAUACCAUAAACUUAGGGAUAACGCCCUUUAAGUAGCAAUACAACUUAUUCAAAACGACAACGUACUAUAAACUCAUUUUAAUAUAAAACCCUCUUUCUCACCAAGAGGUUUACCCACACUUCAUCUUCUGUUUCCCUUAGCCACUUAACUUCACCUUCUUGGACCUGUUCUUCUUCUCCACGAAUGCUAAUGGGACAGCCAACUUAUCAAUACCCCCUCGAAGAAGACUCAGCUUGUCCUCAAGCUGGAAUUCCGGAAACUGCUCCAACAACAUCUUAACCGGCUCCCAUGUACAUUCAAAAUCAGGUAGUCCUUUCCACUUAACUAGCACCUCAGCCUUCUUAUCCACUCCUGAUUUCCUGAUCUCUAACAAUUCUUCGGGCUCAGUAUUCCACUCCAGCGAUGAGGAAAGGACCAAAGGUAACUCCUGAACCUUAGUGUGAGGCGCCACAGCCUGCUUCAACUGAGAGACGUGAAAGACAGGGUGAACCUGGCUGUGCGCUGGAAGCGCCAGUUUAUAAGCUACCUUCCCAACUCUUUUCUCCACCAGAUACGGACCAAAGAACCGAGGAGCCAACUUCUCUACUCUUCUCAUGGCCACUGUUGUUUGUCGGUAUGGUCUCAACUUCAAAUAAACCCAAUCUCCUACUGCAAACUCAACCUCACGACGCUUCUUAUUCGCAGAUACCUGCAUCCUAGCCUGAGCCGUAGCAAGAUUGUCUCGAAGUUCUUGAAGCAGAGUAUCACGAUUCUGUAACAUCCCUUCUACCUCUGCGUUAGCUGUAGGCACAUCUCCAAACCUCAACAACUUCGGUGGGUCUCUCCCGUAAAGAGCACGGAAUGGCGUGGUGUUAGAAGAUGAAUGGUGAGAGGUGUUGUACCAAUAUUCAGCCCACGGUAGCCACUGACUCCACGCUGAAGGUUUUCUUCCUGCGAAACACCUCAGAUAAGCUUCUAGACACCGGUUGACUACCUCCGUCUGACCAUCCGAUUGCGGGUGAUAAGCAGUACUCUUAUGCAGAGCUGUACCUUGACUUUCAAACAGCGCUGCCCAAAAGUUACUCAAAAAUACUCUGUCUCUAUCUGAUACCAUCGUCUCCGGGAAGCCGUGUAGCUUAAUCACUUCUCUGAUAAAAACCUCAGCUACAGACUUCGCAGUGAAAGGGUGCUUCAAGGGAAUAAAAUGUGCAUACUUGGUCAAUCUGUCAACCACGACCAAGAUCACGUCAAACCCUUUUGAUACUGGCAACCCUUCUACAAAAUCUAAGCUGAUAUCAGCCCAUACUUGCUCGGGAAUGGGUAGUGGGGACAGCAAGCCUGCUGGUGAAAGUGUUGAAUAUUUGUUUCUCUGACAGACCUCACACGAUUUGAUGAACUCUGUGAUGUCGCUUCUCAUUCUCUUCCAGUACACUUCUCUCGCCAUUCUUUUAAACGUCUUCAACACCCCUUCAUGCCCACCUACUGCACUGUCAUGGAACUGACUCAUCAAUGCUGGAAUAAAGGGUGAGUUAGCUGGAAUCACCAAUCUCCUAUCCUUGAACAAAAAUCCAUUCUCUACGCUGUAACCCUCAUACUCCUUCUCUCCUCUUUUCACUCCGGUAAUGAUUUCCUGCAUCAACUCAUCUUUCUCUGCUUGAAUUGCUAACUCAUCCAUGUCGAUAGACAACGGAGCUGUCAACUGGAACUCCUUAAGUUCAGCCGCGUCGUCAGUCGCUUCCACUCUACGAGAUAAGGCAUCCGCCACUCUAUUCUCCUUACCUGGUCUAUACUCAAUAGUGUAGUUAAGACCAAGCAGCUUAGAAGCCCACUUUUGCUGUUCUACUGAUACUGCCUUCUGAUCCAACAGGUGCCUCAAACUCUUUUGAUCCGUUCUUAUUGUGAACUGAUGACCCGUAAGAUAAUGCCUCCACUUGGUCACAGCGAAGACGAUAGCCAAAAGCUCCCUUUCAUAUACCGACUUUACUCUGCCCUUGCUCGAAAAUCCCUUACUAAUGUAAGCCACCGGUCUGUUCUCUUGAGAUAACACUGCCCCGAUCCCACUACCUGAAGCGUCAGUCUCAACUACGAAAGGCUUGGAGAAGUCUGGCAGCCUUAAUACUGGUAAGUCACUCAUAGCUUCCUUCAGUCUGUUAAACGCUUGCAUAGCUCUCGGAGUCCAGCAGAACCCAUCCUUCUUUAAAAGCUCAGUCAUAGGUCGAGCUAUCCUUCCAUAACUUAAAACGAACUUCCUGUAGUAGCCAGUAAGCCCCAAGAACCCCCUCAAGGCUGUUACGUUCCUCGGCGGUGGCCAUUUUUUCAUUGCUUCGACCUUUUCUGGAUCUGCUGAAACCCCCUCUUUGGUGAUCACGUGACCCAAAUAUGCGAUCCUUCCCUGCCCGAAAGCACAUUUCUUCUCGUUCGCGUAAAAACGGUGAUCCUUCAACACUUGUAACACUAUCUUCAAGUGCUCCUGGUGCUCCUUCUCAUCUCCACUAUACACCAGUAUGUCGUCGAAAAAGACUAACACAAACUUUCUCAAGUAAGGCUUGAAGAUGUCAUUCAUCACAGAUUGAAACGUCGCGGGGGCAUUAGUGAGCCCAAAAGGCAUCACUAGAAACUCGUAAUGUCCCUCGUGCGUUUUAAAAGCCGUCUUUCCUACGUCACCAGCCUUAACCCUUAUCUGAUGGUAACCGGAUUUGAGAUCGAGUUUAGAGAAAAUUGCUGCUCCCUCCAACUCAUCGAGCAACUCUUCAAUCACUGGAAUGGGGUAACGAUCCGGUAUGGUACUCUUAUUCACUGCCCUGUAGUCAACGCAGAAACGUAGACCACCAUCCUUCUUCUUGACCAACAAUACCGGGCUCGAGAAGGGACUGAUACUAGGCUUUAUAAUCCCGGCUUGUAACAUCUCCUGUACCAGCUUCUCGAUCUCGUUCUUCUGAAUAUGAGAAUAUCGGUAAGGUCUUAUGUUGAUAGGAGAUGUUCCUUCGUGCAAUGUAAUGGCAUGCUCCCUUGACCUCUUGGGCGGCAGCCCUGUAGGCAUGUUGAACACCUCCUUGAAUUGUCGAAUCAGCCUUUGAAUGUUAUGACUCGGCUUUACCAACCGCUCCUGCUCGCCGACAUUCUCAAACAGCUCCUGCAAUUCCAACAAGUAAACAUCUCCUUCGCUUCCACACAACUUCUCCAUGGACUUGAGUGACACCUGAGCCCGCACGAGUGAAGGGUCACUGGCCAGCGUUACCCACUCAUUGUCAACUUGGAACCGUAAGAUAUGCAGACCCCAGUUUAUUCUUGUUUCUCCCAGCGAUGCCAACCACGUAUAGCCCAGCACCAUGUCUGUAUCUCCCAACUCAAACAGCAAAAAUUCACCUUGUAUCUCAAUUCCCUGAGCGACCAACUUAAGAUCUACACACUUCCCUUUUCCAGUGAUAACUCGACCAUCUCCAAUGGCCACGCCAAACUCCGGGGUAGGCACUACAGGUAGGCCGAGCUUCUCUACUAACCUCGUGGCUAUGAAACUGCAAGAGGCUCCAGAAUCAAUCAGAACUACUACCUCCUCUCCUCCAACGUUUCCUCUAAUCCUCAUGGUUCUCUUUGUUGUGAGGCCAACCAUGGAUUGUAAAGAGAGAACCUGUAGCUCUUGCUUAGUGUUGGUUUCCUGUUCCUCUCCUAGUUCAUCCUCAUCUUCCUCGUCUCUUUCUGACUCCUCCUCAACCUCCAAACAUUUAUAUUUUUGAAAUGUUUUGCAUCUGUGUCCCGCAAAGUACCGCUCUCCACAUUGCCUACACGGGUUAUGCACUGCCCUUCUCUGAUCACCUCCUUUACCAUCUCGUUGUGCAUCCAAUGACCUCCUUGCAGGAGUGGUUUCCCCCGGCUUAGAUGGAGAUACACUCGAGCUUCUCUGGUUGGAGUUAAGCGCUGGGGCUGAGUUAGUUCGCUGGAAUGGUCGAGAAUGAUACGCAUGUCGAUCAUUUUCUUGCUCCUCAAUGAUCUUUGCUGUAUCCACUAUCUCAUCCAUACCCAUUGGCCUCAACCUCACAACUUGCUCCCUCAAGCUUCUCUUCAUACCAUGUAAGAAAAUCUCUUCCAACACAUCGUUAGGAACGUGUGGAACUUCUGCCGAUAAUUCUUCAAACUGCUCACGGUACUCAGAUAUGGUCCCCGUCUGACGUAGUCGCAGCAUUUGACUAAGAAUGGUUCCUCCCCGGGAGGGUUUGAACCUCCUUCUUAGUUUCAUUUUAAAAUCCCUCCAAUCCAAUAGCUCAUCCCGAUCCUGAAUCAUCCUCAACCAUGUCACCGCACACCCCACCAUACUCGCCAUUGCCUGAGUAAGUUUCUCCUUUUCCUCCGUUUGGUUCACUGAGAAGCACUUAUCCACCCUAAAAAUCCAAUCAUCAGGGUUCUUCCCUUCAAAAUCAGGUAACUCAAGCUUCUUCUGAGGUGGUGAACUCUUCUGCGACACUGAGUAACCAGAAGACCCCGCGGUGAACGGUGUCUUGGAAAUCUCCGCUGCUCUUAACGGAACAGCGUUCUCCGGAAGGGUUAGGAUUCCCUUCUCACUUCGCAUCUGCAGACCUUUCUCCUGUGGCUGACGACCUUCUUCCAACGAACGUUGUGCAUCCCCUGCACCUUCCUUAACAGAUCUAGGGUUUUCCAGGUUCGUUACCGCAGCGAUCGUAACACCCAUCGGUUUCUCCUCCAGGGAUUGACGGUGUCUCUCCUCCGCGCGUUUCUCGUUCUCCAGGGCUCGAAGGUUGUUUGCUUUCAUCUCCGCUCGCAUCUCCUCGAUGAUGCUCGCGAGUCCGCCAAGCUGACCCUCAAUCGCAGUCAUCCGAUCUGCGUUAGAAUCUUGCUUUGGUGGCAUUUUGUGGCUCUGAUACCAAUGAUAAACCCUGAUUAGGGUUUAUCUGAAAUGGGUUAGAAAAGGGAGAGAGAUAGAGAGAAUGGGGGCUGAGAGUAUAAGAUUUGUUGAUAAAUAUUUUGAUACCAUAAACUUAGGGAUAACGCCCUUUAAGUAGCAAUACAACUUAUUCAAAACGACAACGUACUAUAAACUCAUUUUAAUAUAAAACCCUCUUUCUCACCAAGAGGUUUACCCACACUUCAUCUUCUGUUUCCCUUAGCCACUUAACUUCACCUUCUUGGACCUGUUCUUCUUCUCCACGAAUGCUAAUGGGACAGCCAACUUAUCAUCUAGUCUUUGAAUCUUUGAAGCUGACUUCGAGUUUGUUUAGGUAUCCAGACGUAUAAUGAUGCCAAGCAUUAUGCCAUUUCUGCAAAGAUUCAAGAGUUCAGCAACAAGAACCGGACUCUUGUUGUUCAGUACUCUGUCAAAAUCGAACAGGACAUAGAGUGUGGUGGCGCUUACAUCAAGCUCCUCUCUGGUUACGUUAACCAGAAGCAGUUUGGUGGUGAUACUCCUUACAGGUUUAAUCUUAAUGUCUUCUUUUAGUGAACAUCAGUUCCUAGAAGGUUAUAUAGCAACCUUAGAUCAAGUUCCCUUGGCUUGGGGAUUUUGAUUAGUGUUUAUUUUCGUAUGCAGUCUAAUGUUUGGACCAGACAUAUGUGGAACGCAGACGAAGAAGCUUCAUGUGAUUCUUUCAUACCAGGGACAGAACUAUCCGAUUAAAAAGGAUUUGCAGUGUGAAACAGACAAGCUAAACCAUUUCUACACGUUUAUCUUGCGGCCUGAUGCUUCUUACAGCGUUCUGGUUGAUAAUAAAGAGAGGGAGUUUGGAAGUAUGUACACUGACUGGGACAUCCUUCCUCCAAGGAAGAUUAAAGUUAAAAAUGCAAAGAAGGUAAACUAUUUGCAAUGUGGAUUACUAAUUACACUUUACUUAGCUAUUAGUAUGACUUAUGACUACUUUUUUUUCUAUGUAGCCAGUGGAUUGGGAUGAUAGAGAAUAUAUAGAUGACCCUGAUGAUGUUAAACCAGAGGUAACUAUAUAUAAAGACAUUAAUUGUAUUGAGAGGAAGCUAUUCAGUUAGUUCUUAGUUUGAUUCAGGCAACUGUGUUCUUCCUUUUUGUUUUGUAAACAGGGUUAUGAUUCGAUUCCUCGUGAAAUUAAAGAUCAGAAAGCUGAAGAGGUAUGUACUGUUAAAAGUUGGUGGUCUCUUUUGAGUGAUUUGCAUUUUUAGUAGUAGUCUUAAGUUUUUGGGAACUCAUUGGUUUGUGAUAGUGUUGUUAAGCUCUCUCUCUCUCUCACUCUCCUUUUGUUAUUAGCCUGAGGACUGGGACGAGGAAGAAAAUGGUCCAUGGGAAGCCCCUAAGAUCCCAAAUCCAGCGUACAAAGGUCCUUGGAAAGCAAAGGUAAAUGGAUUCAACAGCCAUCAAUGGUUAUGCUUUUAUUUACUCAAUUUUUCUUCUACACCAUCUUACUUUUCUUUAACAAAACAUAUUUCCCUACAGAAAAUCAAGAACCCCAACUACAAGGGAAAGUGGAAGAACCCAUGGAUAGAUAAUCCAGGCAUGUUAAAUGUGUUGUUUGCGUUUUGGGCUUUGAUUACUUUCUUGUUGAUGCUAAGCUUGAGCUUCUCUCUUUCUUUGCCUUGCAGAGUUUGAGGAUGAUCCAGAUCUUUAUGUUCUGAAGCCUUUUAAAUACAUAGGCAUUGAAGUAUGGCAGGUAACUUCUAGAUCUCUCUUGAAUGGUAUCCAAUAUUAUUAACUUUAAUACUCUUUCUCCAUCACCAGACAGUUAUAUAAUAGCCACUGCAAAUUUUUAGUGUAGAACAGGAAACAAAAAUAAAAAAUAAAAGAUAAAAAUUCAUCAUUUUAGACAAGGGUCAGAGCUCAUAUACUGGAUUGAAAGAUUGAUGGUUAAUAUUGCAGGUGAAGGCUGGUUCGAUAUUUGACAAUAUCUUGAUCACUGAUGACCCUCAAUAUGCAAGAAGCAUGGUGGAUGAUUAUUUUGAACAGCACAGGGAGGUAAGAUUCCUCCAAGCCUUUUGUAUAUAUUUUUGCUUCUGUGUUGUUCUGUAUAGAGAAUGUCUUAAUUUUAAUAUUUAAUCUGGUAUAUACACCAGUCUGAGAAGGAGUUAUUUGCGGAAGCUGAGAAAGAGAGAAAAGCUAGAGAAGAAGAGGUUCGUUUAGUUUUUUUUUAAUUAUAGAACAGGUUCUUGUUUCUAUGUAAAGUAUCUUAGUCUUCUUGCAUGGCCAUACAAAAUUUGACAAUCACAGGAAUCUCGGAAGGCAAGAGAAGAAGGGGAACGUAGAAGGAAGGAGAGGGACCACCGGUAUGGAGACAGGAGGCGGCGUUACAAACGGGUACUUACAACAUUGAUCAAACUCGAUUAGUAUUUCUUCUUCUUCUUCUCAAUCUUAACUCUGUUGUUUCUAGAAAGAAAGAAAGAAAGAUAGUGAAUAUGUUGGUAAUGAUGCUUUGUUUUGUUUUUUUGCAGCCUAAUCCACGUGAUUACAUGGAUGAUUACCACGUAAGUGGUGUUUCUAUCUCAUCCAUGAAAAAUAUUUAAUUGCUGUGAAAAUGGUUAAAACUUAUAUGUGUCUGAUCUUUGUGUAGGACGAGCUGUGAGGCACAGUGGUGGGCAUUUCUGGCAUUGACAAACCAAUGAAAACAAGUGUUGAUGGGAGUAAGAGAUGUGUAGAGAAGGAACAUUUGGAAACUGUUUGGUUGUCUUGUGUGAUUGUAAUUUGUAACCUUUCUUGGGGGUUAAAAUGUAACCCUUUGUAUUCAUAUUCAUGUUAAAUGUAUAUUGGCAUGAAAACUGUUACCUGUCUUUUGGAUUUUCACAAACCUAAGUGUACGUGUCGCCUCUAAGCUUGAACCUUCUUUCAGAUCACAGUCACACCCUCACUCUAUUUGACACGGUUACCUGUUUAUGGAUCAUAACAAAAAAGACCUUGGACAAAAAGGCUAAACGAGAAAGAAAAGAGGCCUUAAGGUUCGAUAAAAAUGGACCAGACCGAACCGUAUAUGGGAUUUUUCUUUUCGUUUAUGACAAUCGUCAGGUGCUAUUCUACGUAACUGAUGACCUACUUGUGUCCCUAAUAGUACAUACUAAUAAACAUAUAAUAUGGGUGUUCAUUAAAAAUCAGUUUAGGCGCUCGUCUAGUCGCAAAUGAAUAUAAACGAAACAUUUUUUUUAAACCGAUUUUUUAAAGAAAAAAAAACGGUCUAGGUGUUCAAAAAAUUAACCUAGAUAUCCAUGUUAACAAUAUUUUUUUACAAGAUGCUUAACCACAAUUUUGUAUAAUAUGUUAAUCCAUCUUGUGAAAACGUUUAAAAAGUCAAAAAGAAACUUAAAAACGCGUGUAUGUUGGGCACAAAUGUUAAAAAGUGUACCUUUUCUAACUUGAAACGUACGGGUAAGAUCACAUCAUUGGAAACUUUAUUAUCAAGUAACAAAAAAUAAAUCAAUGACUCGAUACGCAUUAAAGUCGUUAUCACUAAGACUUUUGUUUUGUUUGUUCUUUAGUAUUUCGUUUAAUUUGGAACGUCCUUAACAUUUUAUAAGAAAAAUAGAUUUUGCUUAUUCAACUAUGGAAUUAGAAUUCAACUCAUAUAAGAUUUUUUUUUUUGUGUGCACAACUGAUAUAAGAUUAAUUGCAGAAAAUCUAAAGGCCUCUGAAGAGCUUUUUGAUAAGUAAGUGGAGCAGUCAUGAUAAGCGGAGUUGUCUAUCAUGUGUUAGCUUUCAUAAUGUUAACCCUAACAUCUUUUAUAAUGUGACAAACACACCAUUGGAAUCCAAUGACUGCAGUAGAUUAAUUUUUGAUUAUAGCUGAAUUUCGGGUGUGCAUUGUUGAAAACUAUUUUUACAAGUUCAAUGAAAUAAUAAAAAGUGUGAAGAGAAAUGUAUCUUUGGAAUCUACUGGAUCCAAUGGUUGAUGGAUCUUCAUAUAAAGGUUAAAAAAGAAGUGAAAUUUAAUAAUGGAGACAAAUACCUAAAACUUAUUAACUUACUCUCCACUUUAAUUUGCCCGCCAUUUUGUGCAAGAGGUUUGAAAAAGCAGUUGGAAAAAUAACUAAAAAGCCAAUAGACAAACGAGCACGAGCCCGUGAGUUUACGAGGACAUGACCCUCCUUUAACAUUUUCUUAGGGUUUAAUAAUGACACAUCGCAUUAACACUUAUCAAUCAGUUGCUCGUACACAAUAUCUAUUUAAUUAAUUGAACUUUCAUAGACAGAAAAGCAUACACUAAAUUUUCAUAUUUUGAUAUUAUACCAAAUAUUCAUAAUCUAUUGCAAGAAGGAUUCUACCUUUUUCUUUACGGAUAUUCGUAUCUGCCAUAUUAGGGCCACAUAUAACACUUUUUGUAAUUACUUGACUUGCAUACCUUUUUUUUAUAACCUAACUUAUAAUCAACAAAAGUUGAUAUUAGAAUACUUCCCUUGUAUUACUUGAAUUGCAUACCUUUUAUUUAUUUUACAAUUACUUGACUAGCAUCCUUUUAUUUAUUUUACAACUUAAAUAUUUAUUAAUCAUCUCUAAUUUUUUUUAUUUAUUGGUUGGGAAUAUUCUAAUUAAUAUCAACUUCUUCGCUUCAUCUAUUUCGUCUAAUCGUCUUUAAAGCUACCUCAAGAUCAAUUUGACAGUCUCCCCGUUACUACUAGUGAGGCUCUUCUUCCAGAACCGUUUACAGAUUAUGGGGAAAAUGUAUAUAAGGUGGCGAAUUAGUUUGAUGCGUCGAGUACAAAAAAAAAUAACUCUACAAACCAAGGAUUUUGUAACAUUGUUAAUUUAAAAUGUCGAAUGAUGGAUACUUUAUGAUAAUUACUAUAUUUACAUUAUAUAGUCAUCGAGAUAUGAAUUAAGAGGUACAUUUUACUUUUACUGAAACUUAGUUGAAAAGGACAAAAAGAAGGAAAAAAAAACCAUGGUCGAGUUAGGCUAGAUCCAAAACGAACUCUUGUUCAAAAUAACUUUAUUUAAUACUGUAUUAAUAUUCACCUAAAUCCUAUAAUAAAUAGUUAUAAGUUAUUAAUAAUUUUCUGAUUACCACAAUCUAAAACAUCACUAGCAUUAGUUUGACCACAUAAUACACAACUCGUAUGUACAUGUAUUUCACCAUCUUCAUGUUUUUCAUGGACUGAAUCAUCAUCAUCAUCGAUCUUUAUGGCGACAUGGUGACAAGAGUCCACUGAACUCUCUCCACACGACUGGUCAACAGUGUUUGAUAAAUCAUCAUCACAUAAGAUUGUGACAACAUGAUCAUCUUGAGAUUUGGUUGGCAUUGCACGAACAGUGCUUACAGAAUCUGACUUCUUGGAUGACACGGUCGAUUUCUUCUUGUUCUUAAAUCUUGCAGCGGAUGCGAGUUCAUGUACGGAUUGUGAUACCUUUUCGGUUAAGUUUACAAUAUCAAUGAGCAGAGAGACGGUGGUCGUUAAUGCGAUCAUUUGUAGAGGCUCAACAUCGUUCAAGAUGCCUGAUUUGAGUAAAGUAGAAAGAUCUUUGCAGGCAGAUUGUGAGUUUAAGACAUGAAUAUCAGAAGAUGAUGAUUUUCUCAUUUUCUUUAAUGAAAUUGACGCUUCUUUCAUUGAUUUUCCUGACUCCGAGCUCAUUUUUCUUAACGGUUCUUCUAGUUUCUUUUUGAUGUCCAUUGGGAUCUAAUAGAAAAAGAAGAGAACAAAUAAAUGGUUAAAACGAACAUAUAUUAUGUAUAAUGUUCAUAUGAAACAUUAUCAAUAUAAUAACCUUUUUAAAAACAUUUACGAUAUAUACAAACAUAGAGUAAGAAUAAAUAUAUAUAUAACUUUUUAAUAGUACUUUAAUUAUUCAUUUUUCCCCUCCAGAGGAGGCAUCAUUUCAAAAUACAACAAUAUGAAUAUCAAGAUAAUAUAUAUACAGAACGAACAAAAAAAAAGAUAAUAUGUAUACGUAUUUGUUAGUAUUUAUUACUUUAGAUAUUAAGCUAAACGCAAAAACCUAACAAAACUAUAGAAAAAAUAAUACCUGAAAAUCUGAGUUGAUGUAUGAAUUCAAGGCAUCCAUCCGGUAGGCACACUGCCUGAGUAAUGCAGCGACGGCAAGGUAUUGUUUCCAUGGAUGCCUAAAUCUAAAUUGGCCGUGACGCGGUUCCCAUUUUGCAAAAUUAGCCUAAACACAGUUUAACAAUAUACCAUCAAUACAGAAUCCAAUCCAAGUUAUUGCAAAAAAUGGUAUAACUACAAAAAGUGAAACGAGAAGUGGAAGAGAGAGUACACUACCCACCAAAGCUUCUUCAUUGCUUUUUGAAUUGAGAACACAUUUAUAUUUUUCAAGAUUCCUUCUUCUCUUCUCCACCUCCUUGACGUCCCCAUCAUCUGUCUCUUCAAAAUAUUCGUCCCCAAAUUCUGCCAGUUUCCAACUUUUUAUUUCAUAAUCAUAAUCUCAAAAAUACCACAAUAUUUAUUUAUGUUUUUAAAAAAGCAAUACCAAUCUUUUAGAAAGAUCUAGGAACAUUUUCAAGAAGAUUUUGUAAAAGCAAAUGUGAUAUUUUUGGUGGGGAAGUAUUUUUAGGUAUUAUUAAUUUAUAUACAUAGUGAACCAUAAUUAAGUAAGGGAAAGAACCUUGAAGGAAGCGGGACAGUGUAUCAAAAUUGGAGGCAAGAAGAGAGUGAAGGUCUUGUCCAGCCCAGACAGGGCAGAUAAAGAUAGAGAUAAGGACGCAACUGACUCCUCCCAUUAUCACUGUCGAUAGUCUCUUAUGCGCCAAAUCCAAUAUCUCGUCUUCUCUAAACCCCGACACUGAUAUCAGUGAGAACGUCAAUAUGAAUAUCAAUAUCCCAUAAUCGUAUCUCGCCUUCACCCGUGGGAAGAACCUCACGAACGUCGAUAACGCAGCUGCACACACAUAUAUAUAUAAUAUAAUACCAUGCAUUAGUCAUGGAAACAGUGCCCAUGUACAACGAACGUUCAAAUAAAAUUUUAUGCCUUUAUUCUUCAUAUAUUUUUAUAAUAUCUACAUACAUGUACAACUAAAAUUGUUGAAUAAAUUUGUGAUAUCCUAGGCGACUGAUUCUUUUGUAUAUGCUCCAGAUCGGACCUGCUUCAUAGCAUCGAGUUCGAGUUUCAAUGUUCUGGACUUAAUACCCGAGGUGAUUAUGUGCCAAAAAUCCGAAUCUUCUUGGUACUCUAUAAAGUUAUGAGUGUUAUUAUGGUUACCUUGCGCAAAGACAAAGAUGGCGAGUAGAAUAGGUUCUACUGUUGGACCGGACAAACUUGCUAGGUGAUGAGCUCCAACUCCUAGUCCUCCAGCUACUAAUGUUGCCACUGCUCUAUUUAUUCCUUUCCCAAGUGUGGCACCUAUGUACACACCAAACCAAUGUUAAAUCUACUUACUCCGUAAAUAUCAGACAUAAAUAUUAAAGGGGCUGGUUCUGAUCACAUGUCGGACUAACCUACAGAAAAUUCAAAGACGACAACGACGGUCAUGACGGCCCACAUUGCAUUGACACCAAAGUUAUCGUAGAGAGGUUGAUAAUAGUAGAAGGAAGAGACCAAAGCAAGAGCAAGUCCCACUUUGAAAGAAUGAACUAUUCUUCUUGGGUCUUCUUUUCCUACUCUCCUCCCUUCUUUCCAUAUCUCUCUCACUUUUUCCAUUGCACCUUUCAUUUACUCACCUCUUAAGCGAUUUUGAUUCUCUUAAAUACUUCCAGAAGGAGAGAACCAAGUAUAAAAUGGCAUGUUGUUUUGUCUCGAUGGGUCGAUGUUAUUUGUAGAGAGCAAUGAGAUUCUUGUGUAGGACCGGACUCGUGAAAUGUUAAACAAAUUGAAAAUGAAAUAUUAUAUUAAUCAGAGACAAGAGUAUUAUUAAUUAGAGGCAGAUAGUACUUACGUGAACAAAUUUUAUUUUGUUGCUGAUUUUAUUCGAUGUUUAAAAAGCAGAGCCAUUAGUAGCUAGCAAGCUUUAUUUUUCAUUGUUAAUUAUGUUUCGGAAAUUUCCUGUGAAGGUUCAUGUACAAAAGAAACUCUUUAUGUAAAUAUUAGUGCUUUCCACAUUUGAUAUCUAACUAUUUAAAAGUUGGUAUGUGUACAUUAAAAUAAGUAUUAAUAAAACUAUAUAUUUGUUUUUUUUUAAUUUGUAAUUUAUAACUCUUUCAUAUUUAUCUUCAUUUUAUACAAAUAAAAAUUUUCUUAAAUUUGAAAGAAACGUUUCCCAAAACUAUUUUUAAUGAUAUAAUGAACAAAAUUUCUUUAAAUACAAAGUACGUUAUAUAUAAUAAGGUUUCCAUAAAAACUGGUUAAAAUAGUUGGAUCGUACUUAAACUAAAUUUUACUUAUGUGCUAAAAUUACAAAUGUAUUUAUUAAUUAGAUCACAUGAACUAUAGUUAUAAAGUGUACUCACUUAUGCGUCUGUCUUUUUAUGAAAAAAAUCAAGAAGACAGUGGAGAACAGAUUAAUUUCGAAUGUGUUAUCAAAUAAAUAUAAUUUCAAUUAUAAACAUUUGUGGGGAGACUUAAAAUAAUGAAACAAACAUUCUAGUAGUUUUGGUUAUUGACAUGACUAAUCAUGAUUCAUGAUUCCAAAAUAGAAAGAUAGUCAAAUUGCCAUUUUCCCCAUCGUUUUCUAUCUUUCAAAGCCAGGGAUAUUCAGUCCAUUUGCUCAAUGACACAUGAUACUCGAAAUCUCGGAGAAUUAACUCACACAUAUAUUACUUCACCAAUUUAAGACAUAUCUUGGCAUAUUUCACCACUUGUCCAAUUGUUUAUUUUGUGUAUAAUGACCAUAUCCACCAGUAUUCUCUGUUUCUUAGCUAAAAACAACGUAUAUAGAGUAGGAGAUUAAUGUAUCGAUAUCGGUCCAAGUAAUAUUUAAUUAAGUUUAGAAAAAAAAAAGUAACAUUAAAUUUAAAAGUUAAGGAGAACAUGGUUAGAACGCGUAAGUAGAUGGCGAAUGGUGCCCCUUUUGCACCGAGUUACACUCAGCCUAGCGCCCAUUACCCCAAUCGAACGCCACAUUUUUAUAAUAUUUCAGUUAAAAUAAGAAAGUCAAGUUACAUUUAAGAAAUUUUUUUUUACAGCUGAAGUAUUUGUUUUGGAAAAUGAGUCUUGAUCACAUUUUAUAUGUGAAAUUGGCAUUUUGUAGGUAGUUUUUAAUAUUAUUGUGCUUAGUGGAUAUUAAGGCCUCUUAUCAAAUUUGGGUUGGGCUAUAAACCAAAUUUCGAAUAGGUCAUGAAGUGAUUCGAUGAUUUUUGUUUGUGGCUGAUCCAUCAAUAAAUUUGCCACGUUUUUUAGCUUUGAAAUCACUCGGAUGUAAAAUACUUUUUAAGAGCAUGGGAAAAUGAAAACCAAGACUUUAUUAUAAAAAAAAUGUGACCAAAUAGUUCAAAACAAAACAAUGCAUGAAUACUACAUCAAAUCUGAAGUAUACGAACACCCAAUGAAUGUUCUAGCAUCAUCCCGACCCCAUGUACGCAACUCGUAUCUACAUGUAUUUCACCGUCUUCAGGUUUUUCAUUGAUUGUAUCAUCAUCAACAACAUUGUUUGAUGUAUCAUCAUCAUCAUCACUUAAUAAGAUCGUGACAACAUGAUCACCAUCACGAGAAUUAAUUGGCAUGGCACAACCAAUGCUUCCAGAAUCCGACUUCUUGAGUGACACGGUCGGUUCGGUCGGCUUCAUCUUGUUCUUGAAACUUGCAGCGGAUGCAAGCUCUCGUACAGAUUCUGAGAUCUUUUCGGUUAUAUGAACAAUAUCGUUUAGUAGUGAGACCGUCGUCAGCAAUGAUACCAUUUGAAGAGGCUCAACAUCAUUCAAGAUGCCUGAUGAUUUGAGUAAUGUGGAAAGAGCUUUGGAUGCAGACUGUGAGUUUAUGAUAUGAAUAUCAUAAGAAGAUGAUUUCAUCAUUUUCUUUAAUGAAAUUGACGCUUCUUUCAAUGCUUUUCCUGACUCCAAGCUCAUUCUUCUAAACGGUUCUUCUAACUUCUUCUUUAUGUCGAUUGGGAUCUAAUAGAAGAAAUGAGAUUAAGUAAAGACUUAGAAGGAACAUAGUUAUGUAUAACAUCCACAUAAACUAUUUACUAUAUAUAUAAACAUAGAGUAAGAAUUUUAAUAUGUUUUUUUUUUCCUUUGUGUUUGCAUCUGUGAUUCAUAUUACAAAUAAUACGUAUAACUUGAUCUUUUUUAUUUCAUUAUUAUAUAUGCAAAUUUGUAACAAAGUUGUAGAAAAAAACACUACCUGAAAAUCUGAGUUGAUGUAUGAAUUCAAGGCAUCAAUCCGGUGGGCACAUUGCCUGAGUAAUGCAGCCACGACAAGAUAUUGUUUCCAUGGAUGCCUAAAUCCAAAUUUUCCGUGAGGGGGUUCCCAUUUUGCGAAAUUAGCCUAAAUACAAUGUAACAAUAAUAUCAAUACAUAAUCCAAUAGUUCAAAAAUUGUAUAAACUAAUAAAAGUGAAGCAAGAAGGGUAAAGAGAGAAAGAGUACACACCAAAGUAUCUUCAUCACUUUUUGAGUUAAGAACACUCUUGUACCUCUCAAGAUUCCUUCUCCUCUUCUCAACCACUUUGAUGUCUCCAUACUCUCUGGCUUCAAAAUAUUCACCCCCAAACUCUGCCAAAUUCACACUUGUAUAUAAGUAUAUAUAAGAGAAUUCUCAACAAAAAAAAACCUAAUUUAAUUUAAAAUUAAUUGAAGAUAACAAAAACAGUUAAUUUUGAUAAAAUUAAAACUAACAAUUUUUUUUUGUAAAACAUCAUACAUAUGGAAACGGACGGAGUAUAAGAGAGUUUUAAAAAUAAUAUAACAACAAAACAAACCUUGAAGGAAGUGCGAGAGUGUGUCCAAGUUGGAGAUAAGAAGAGAAUGAAGGUCUUGUCCAGCCCAGACAGGACAGACAAAGAUGGAGAUAAGUAUGCAACUGACUCCUCCCACCAACACUGUUGAUAAUCUGCUCUCCGCCAAAUCCAAUAUCUCUUCGUCUCUAAACUGGGACAACGAUAUCAGUGAGAACGUCAAUAUGAAUAUCAACAUCCCAUAAUCGAAUGUCGCCUUCACCCUUGGGAAGAACCUCACGAACGUUGCUAACACAGCUGCACAUAUAUUUCACCGUUACUUUUCUUCGAGGUAAACAGAAAAUGUAUGCAUGCAAGUAUAUGUGUGUUACGUAAGGUUACCCGUUACAAACACAAAGGUGGCUAGAAGAAUGGGCUCUAUUGUUCGACCAGACAAACUUGCUAGCUGAUGAGCUCCAAGUGCUAGUCCUCCUGCUACAAAUGUUGCCACUCCUCUGUUUAGUCCUUUACUAAGUGUGGCCCCUAUGUAACACACCAAACCAAAGUUAAUAUAUACCCAUUUUAAUAUUUCCUUAGUCAUUAAAAAUAUUAAAAUGCUAGCUAGGAGGUAGCGCUGAGUCUGGUUACAUGACGAACCUACUGAGAAUUCGAAGACGACAACCACGGUCAUGACAGCCCACAUUGCAUUGAUACCGAAGUAAUCGGUAAAAGGACCGAAAGGUUGGUAAUAAUAGAAAGAAGAGACCAGAACAAGAGCAACCCCAACUUUGAAAGAAUGAACUAUUCUUCUCGGAUCUUCUUCUCCUACCCUCCUUCCUUCUCUCACUAUCUCUCUCAGUUUCUCCAUUACACCUUUGGUUAUCACUGACCUUCAAGAAGGAAGAGAUAAAGAAAUAAAGAGAUGACUUGUUUUAGAAUAGAUGGAUCGAUCCGUUAUUUAUAUAUACAUAGUGAUAGCGUAAGAGACUCUUGUCCAUUGUCCGGGACUCGUGAAAAUGUUAUCUUAUUAUUAUAAAAAAAGACUCAAUAGUGCGGUGCAGUAUGAACUUUGAACGUUUAAUGAUAUUUUAAGUGAAAUAAUAUUAUUUAAUUAACCAUAUGGAACCUGGUCUAGUUAGUUGGGUACUAGUUAAGGCCUACCUCAGUGUAACGAAAGUUUAUUAUGUUUAGCUGGAUUAGUUAGAUGAGCAGGUAGUCAUUAAGUAUAUUGUACUGUGUAUAUUAUAAUAGUACAGUGUAUAAGAUAUUUAAUUAACGAAUGAGGGAAGAUUAAUAUAGCUCAUCAAAGAUCUUUGGAAACGAUCGCGUAGAUGAAUGCUUUAAGAGUUGAGCUCUCUCCCCUUUUCUUCGGUGCAUUGAGUCUAACUUUAGCGGUGCACCACACCACAAAAGCUAGGCGUGAGCGUGACGUCCGCCUAAACGAUAAAUCAGUCUUCAUAUAAUUUUACUAAAAGGAAAUUGGUUUAGAAGGUGAUAAGCAUUAAUCACCUAGCAAUUUUUUGAACAUUGACUAUGUUUCAAUGUUGGUUCAAGAUCAUAUAUGCACAAGUACAAAACUUUGAUAUGUACUCGUCUAAUCAAAUUGGUUGGUCUCUCUAGAGAGGUAGAAUUUUGUUUCCACCCAUUCCUACUUGCUGUCUAUAGUGUCUAAGCAAGUAACCCCAAGGGAGCCAGAAAAUUUCUUGGUAUCAACACAAACGUUACAAAAGUAUGAGCUGCUUAAUGAAUAUAAGUGAUACACAAAGGCCCCAACGUCUAUAUGAUACAGAAUAAAUAGAAAAACAGCAAACCAUCCAUCCCCCACCUAACACACCCUAAUACGGAUGAUAUGCAUGUCGACCAUUAUAACUCAUGUCCCACACGGCAAGACUAUACCACAAACCAAAACGAAAAGGUAAUCAAAUUGGAGAGAAACAUAAAGAUUUUGUAGGAAGCAGACUAAAUAAAAGUUGAAAGAGAGAACUAAAGCCCAAACGAAUGAACUCUACAAAUCACUACUAAACCACCACCAAAACUGACUUUUCAACCCUUACGGCAUCUCAAUUUACAACAACCCCCUGAUAUCUCCAGACCCUCGUUGUUACUCGUCUAUGGCUCAUCUUUCUGUACACCAACAUGAGGAACACCAGGAGGCAGAUGUUACAAAGUGUUUGGCUACGGUAUGUAUGUGCACGAGUGCCUCUUCCGUCUAUACCUUACAUCCAAGCCAGCGAGCCUCCUUUGUCAUUUGGAGCUUGUGGGCGUCCUCUGGUUGGUGUCGCUGGCCUAUUUGCAUUCAGCUCCUGCAAAAUGCCAAUACCAAACUAAGUACCAAUUUUUCAUGUCAAAUUACGUAUGUACUUAAGAUUUCGCUAAUGAACUGAGGCUAUAGCAACCUGCAUCCAAGUGUCAUCUGGAUGUGAAGCUUCAGUUGAUGAAAGCGCUGGAGGUAACGGAUGAAUGAGCUUAGGAACCACUACAAGAUCUCUCCCCAGUACCAAGAUAGCCCCAGCAUUGUUUGCCGUACCUGAGGUUAGUGUAAGGUUAUUAACCAAACAAAUAUAAUCACAUGAAGGUAUCUGAUAAGAUUAUGGCACUAGUGACUAGUGAGUUCAUACACAUACCACAAUAGUUUGUAGCUGAAAAGAGAGUUAUCAAAUGCCCCUGAGCAAAACGCUCAAACCCAUCCAUCACGCAUUCGUGUGCACGUACGAUUAAUUGAAGAUCAUUGUUGUUGCAGAACUCCAUAACACGAUCAGGCUGCAUUUUCCAAGUCAUGGUCAAGAACAGAACAGGUAAAAAGGAAAUGCAAAAGCAAUUAACACUUCUUCAUAUGGAAAGUGACUGGGAGCAAACUAGAUUAUAUUACUGGGAGCAGAUCUUAUGAAGGGAGGAAAAGCAAAACUCAGACAAGUUAUAAAUUUGAAACAAGAGAAAUUUACUCACCCCAAAUGUAACCAAUCCAGGGCCUCUAGCAUUGGGCCUUAAACCUUCCACACUGUCAUUUUCAGUCGGAUCCGACCUAAUGAAUUCCAAAUUAACAAACUUGUAAGACUUCGACCACAAAAUUAACCAGAACAACAUAUAGAAGACAUAGACUAACCAUAAUAAAUCCAUGAGCACAAUGGAGCCAGCUUCCAUUGUAAUUGGACGCUGAAUACUCUCUAUCUGCUCCACAUGAUUUAUAGAACGACCAAUACCCCCAUGCAUACAUAAAAUUUUCUUCUCAAUCGAUGCAGCAAGCGGUAGCCAAUUAAAUAAACGGUUUAUUCGGUGCCACACCCAGAUUCCAUCACGUUCACCCUGCAAAGCAACCACAGCGUGAGACAACUAAACAUGGAAUGGAAACAAGAGAUCCAGAAGCAUAAUACAUUACCAUUCGCUCAAUACACUCGAUUCGGAAGCCAAAAAGAGCAUUAAUAUCAGCAGCUUCAUGGUUUCCCCGAAUUAAGUGUACGUUAUGCUGGUACUCAACCUGCAUUAAUGAAAGUAGAAUGUCAAACCCUCUAUGGUCAAGCAACUAGAACAUCUGCAUCAAGUCAAAACUAACACAAGACACUUAGAACAACCUUUAAUGCAAGCAGAAGGCAGAUUGUUUCUAGACUGUGUUGACCUCGAUCAACAUAGUCCCCUAAGAAGAGGUAAUCGAUGUAUCUGACAAUUAUACAACAGAAUUUUAGUAAUGUUCCAGCAAAAUAGCAAAAGUGAAAAAAAGUAGCGGGCCAUGACGUCAGAAUGUGAACUUACGAUAUGUCUCCAGCUGUAGAUGGUGAACCAUAUUCAUCAAAAAGGCGCAUAAGAUCCCCAAACUGUCCAUGCAGAUCACCAAAUAUUUUGAUAGGAGCUUUAAGUUGUAAUACAGUUGGUUCAUUUGAGAAGAUACGCUCUGCACUAUCACAAAGGUCAGCUAUUUCAUUGCAAUCUAGGAAAAACUGGCGUCGAACUGGAGGCUUCCACCCACGAGGCUUUAAAAGAUGAGCUAUAACCUAUUAUCACAUAGUUGAGAAAAAAAACUCAUUAGAACCCGUUAAAAAUAAUUCAUUAGAAUUCCGAAUUAAAAAGUAAUUUUUCGAGUUUACGCAACCAGUUUCAAACUGAACAAAAUAGAAUGCAAAGGUAUUUUCACCAGUGAGUUAGCAGUAAAGCAAAAACGGAGAUAAUAUACUAUACAAUAGCAUUUGAUGAUAGUUUCAAUUUUUUUGAUUGUAACCAAACGAUAAAUCAAUGUCACAGUAAGAAAGCAUCGUAAAAUAUAAUAUUUCACGAUUGUACCUUUUUAUCAUAAAUUUUACCAAGUGUAUUACUGUGUUUCUUAAAUCCACAUUUAGGAUCAUAAGAUUCUAUUGCAAUACGUCGUGUGGAGAACCAAGUUUUUACCUUCUUAGGAACACUACUGAUUGACAUUUGUCGAUCUAAUAGUUUCCUUGCUGCGGUUGCACUUUCUGGUGUCCCAUAACUGACACGUCGUCCCUCAUUUUCAAAUUGAUCAAUAGAAAAUUGUCUAGCCAUUCCACCCAAGGCGCCACCAGUUUCUGCAGCAACCACCACCUAAUAACAAGUGCCAGAACCAUUAUAAACCAAAAAUGUAUUACUGGUGACUCUGGGGUAAGAAAUAUUUAUAAAUGAAGAACAUGGCGUUAGAAAUAUAUUAUUAUUUAAGAUAACAAGUGUGGCACUCACGGCUCUAUGAUGAAGACGAAUCCCUGCAGAUCCCAUAGAAUCUGGCUUCAUUAGCGAAAAUGUAGGUGUCCCACUAGGUGAAGCCUCUCCACCACAAUCCCUAUCUGGAAGCUCAACUUCACCAUUGACCUGCCGUGCCUUGGCAGCAGCCAACGUAGCACUGAUCGCCUCAGCUUCUGCCGCUGAUGCUUCAACAAGAUACUCCACACCCUUGCUCGUUCUCCUACAAAGUUGUUUUGGAUACUCGUCACUAAAUACAUCACUGUGUUAACCAUACAGCACAAGAUAAAUCAGUAGUUAAGGAAGUUGGCAAACCUGAUUCCUGGAUUGAUUGCAUUUUCAGAGCUUAUAUCAUUAUGCAGAUCACCAUUUACAGGGGGUGCAACAGGGCUUUCCAGCACAACAGCACCAUCAGCAGCUGAAUCAGAUAACUCCCUAUUCCUUUCGUCUGAAAAACCAUACCUUCCAGGUAACCGACCUGGAGCCGAAUUUGUUGCCGCAGCAGCAGCAGCAUGAGAAGCCGCAUAUGUUGUUUCCGCAGCGGCAAGAUCCUCAGCAACUAAAAGGCCAUCGAGUAACACCCCUGAAGUAUCACCAAUAUAUAGUUAAGUCGUUGUGAUGCCAUCUUUGCAAUUUGAACAGGUGCAAACUUAUUACAAGAUGGAGAGAACUAAGUCUAGGAGAAAUCCAAAAUUAAUAUAAUCUCUUAGAUUUGAAUCUCAAAAAAAUACAUAGUUAAGCAAGCGCAAGUCACAGCCAGCCAUACGAUGUAUACUAUAUCACAUUCAGUGAUCAAUCCAAUCAUAGAAAUGAAUUCCUCAUGAAGAAGCAUGCAGUGGAAACUGUGGAAUCUAUGUAUCAGAAAUCAUUAGGUACAUUGACAUAAGUCUUGCCUAUAUUUCUUCUUACCUCCACGUAGACCGCCAUAGAUAAAUAUCAAAUCACCGACUGCAGCAGCAGCAUGUCUACAACGCCUAGUCAGCUCAACAGAAGCAUCACCACCAGCCGCAUCGGCACUGUACCUGCCAGUUCGCGGACUAGUAACAACGGAUUUCGUAUCACACCAUACACCUGCGGCAGUAUCCAAUACUGUACAAAGACAAUAGAUGAAAUAAUCAGAGAACUGUAGAUUCACUCAGUGCACAUAUUAUUAUAAAACCAUUAUAUAUCUCGUCUAGAAAUGAAACACAUUUAACAAUGGCUAAAAUGCUUCAGUGAUAAUUUUAUGGCUAGAACCACGUCGAUUGGCAAAAAAGAACAGCAUAUUCCUCUAUACAGCUUUCGUCUAUACAUGAUGAAACACUUCAACAAUGGCCUACAGAAGACUAAAAAUGGUGCACCUAUUAUCAAGGAAACUAAGUAUUUUUUUUAACGACAACCCAACAGCACAAACAUCUGUACAGAUAUUCAAGUUGCUUCUCGUUGUUUGCUAACCUGCAACACUGGAUGAAUCUUCAACCAUGCGUCCACCACCAAGUGCCCCACCGGACACAUGAAGUCUUGCAUUUACAAAGACCUAAAGAAUCCAUCAAGCAGUUUAAUUAUUCUGAUGAAGCCAAAAAAGAGAACCAAAGAGGAAGAAGUAUCAUACUGCUGCAUGCUGAUAUCUGGCAGAUGGUGAGACACCAGGAGCUAUGGCCCAUUCCCAGCGUCCAUCUCUGUGCUUAGCAAGUCCAUAUGCACUGGCCAGAGGCUAUCAAUUCAAAAGAACAAAUAUUUAUCCCUCAAUCAAGUAUUCAAGACCAAGACAGUCCACUGCUUUCAAAUUUCACUCUACAAUGACAACUUCUCAUAAUAAUGGUCGUGAAUAAACAACUAACUGAUAAUAUCAUUCCUUGAUGACAAUUUCAAUUUGGUCUGUGAAGAAACACAACCUCUACAACAACGGACUAACUCUCAUGGUCCCAUUCAUAUCUCACAACAAAGAAGAAGCCAAGAUUCUAUCAGCGGGUCCGUGUCUGUAUCGAGAGAGGCAAUUGAGCAUGAUUAUAAAUAAACUCUGCCACUUACCACACUAUUUGCAUCCCUUCCACCACAGAGGAGAAGAAGACCAUCGGAACGUGCACUUGCAGUUGCAUACCUAGGUACAAUGUACAAAUAGCAUAAACAAUAUUACUCCAGUUGAAAGGACUCAAUUAUCAAGGAGUGUAAUCAAACUUACAUGCAGGGAGGUGGACCUUCUCCUUCUGGUUCCAGCUUACGCCAUUCAUAAGGCUUGGCAGCAGUAUCCAAGGCCCAUACAUCAGCGAGAGGACGUUUUCCUAAUGGUUUAAAAAGGUGUUCAGAAACGAGAAGCUUUAAGGAUAACAUGAUGGUCCAACAUAAAAUACUGAGAAUAAGCCAACAUAGAACACUGCAUACCAUCAUUUCCACCAAUCGCCAUGAGAUAUCUUUGUCCCACAAGUGCCAUGACAUGUCCAUAACGCGGUCCUGGUCCAGGACCCUGAACAACAACCCUGGAUAGAAAAUAUAGCCCUAUAUCAAGACGCAAACUAGUAAAAGGAAUCCGAAACCGAGUAGCGACUAUUGACGGGUUUAUUUUACAAACCUGUGCCAUCGUGGCCGUUGUUGAGUGAGAUCAAGAACGUGAAGGUCUUCGGCAGAUAAACCAGCAGGACCAAUUCCACCCUGCACCAGAGAGAGAAUUCAUAAGCACUUUCAAAGCUGACUGGAAAUGAUCAUUUUGAAUCGAUAGGCUGAUAUCAUUUACAUAAUAAAAUAGCAUUGUUUUCCACUACCUGAAUAACUACCAUGGUCCCGACUGCAGUUGCGACAUGUGCGGCUCUUGGGGUUGGUGGUUCCCCAAAUGGUGUAAGCCUGUAGACUCAUUUCAUCAAAUUAACUGGUAUCCCAACUUAUAAAAAGAGCAGGAUCUCAUGCGGUUACAUAUACAGGAAAAGAAAAUACACAUUUUAUGCUCACCUAGUCCACUUGUUAGAAAGGACAUCAUAACAAUGAACAUCGGCUGUUGCUCCAGCCAGCCCUGCGCAUCAAAAAACACGCUAAUUAUUUUUUAGCAAGUCUAGAAAGCUAAAAAUAGCAAGAGCUUGAACAUGUAAUCUAUAAGCAAACUAAUAAAAAUAUAGAUCCUAGAUCUUAGAAAUGCUAAUCUCACAUGAAAAAGGUUACAACUUUAACUUGACUUAACAAAAAGGAAGGUAGAUAACGAGAUCUCGGAACUCGCACAAUUAUUUUAAGGUAUGAACUAAAGAAGAACGUGAACGUGAAACUGAGGAAAGCUACUGUAAAAGCUUGACACCACCAUAUAAAUCAACAAAAUCAAAGCAAGAAUCACCAAACUUUCCAAACCGAGACAAAGUCACAAUUAUUCCAAGCAAAUAACCAAUGAAGAUAUUUGUAAUAGCUAAAUCUUCAGUAGUUUAAUGCUUGUCAAGAGCCACGUGUCCCAUUAGGAGAGAAAAAUAAAUAAACUUUCUAAGAGACAACCAAAACUAGAAACAAGUGAGGCAAAAAGAGAAGGCAAAAACGUACGAAUGCCAGCACUCGGAGCUGCAGAAGUCGGAGUUCCAGUACCACCAGAGUUACCCUCAAGAGCCGUAGCACCACCAAACAACACAAGACGAGGCCCAAUAUACCCAUUCGUCCCUUCCUCGCCAACAGCCGGAACCGCCGUCAACGUAUGACCGCACCUAGGCCCAGGCCCAUCCUCCUUCUUAUCCAUCAACGCAUCAACGACCGAGUACGGCGGCGCGCACCUCGGACCAACAACGACUUGCGCUGAUUGCGCUUCUCCUCCUCCCACAGCUUCCUGCUGCGACGGUUCGGGACUCGAAAAGGCAGGCAUCGAUCCUCCUCCAUCCCCCGACGCAUCCCUCUGAGAUUGCGCUUCGUCGUGCUGAUCGUGAUCGUGCUCGGGGACCAUAGACGAAUCUUCAUCCAUUGUUUAAAAUCAAAAAUCUCAAAAGCUUCGAAAAGUAAAACCUAAUUUUAGAACCGAUCCAGCUACGAUUCGAAUAGGAGCGAAUCUCUGAUCAGCAGCAUCUCUCUCUGAGUCAGUUCUGGAGAGGUGGUCAGAUUCGUCGAGCUUUCGUUUAUAAACGGAAACAGUUAAUUUUCCCUGGGAAGAAAUUACAACGAAGCAAACAUUCGUCCAACUUUUUCUUUCUUUUAUCGACUCUCUCUCUCUCUCUCUCUCUCUCUCUCUCUCUCUCUCUGUAGGAGUAUAUAUAAGGGAAGACAGAUAUACAAGAUCCACCCGGUUAUUUAACGAUAUCCAAAUCCAAACCGGAACUCAUUUUCGGAUCGGUUUAGAUUUUUCGGAUCGGUUAGUUAAUGUAUCAACUAGACUUGGGCUUUUUUACCUCAUUCCGAAGUUUCUACCAAACCUAAACUGAGAAAACCAAAUUCCGAUUCGAACUGGUAUACAAAAAUAUCUGAACUGAAAUUCAAAAUAAAAUUUAAAAAUAUUUGAAAUUAGUUAAAUAUAUUAAUGGUUUUAUAUAUGUUAAAGUAAUAUAGAUGUUUUACAGUAUUAUAAAGAUUUUUGUAUUUAUUUUAAUUUGUUAUUUUGAAUACAUUUUAAUUAAUUUAACUAGUUUUUGAUUAGAUUUAUCAAUAAUUUAUAUCUUUUCAGUUUUUUAGUUUAAAAAAAAUAUUUUUAACCGGAAAUAUUCCGAACCAAACUUAUAAGGAACCCAAACCGAACCCGACGGAUCCUAAACGCCAGGCCUAUCAACCGGAAAUAAAAACCUCUGUACCGUAGCAAGCAGGGCACUAUUCCACCACUCGAACACUGAUGCUAUGAUCAAACAGACAAGACUAAACCAUAUUUCAAUUUUCACUCUCACCAUUCUCCUUUUUCACCAAAUAAGACUUAAAAUUUGGAAACAAAAACAUCAACAGAUUCGAGAAGGUUCAAACUGUUAUUACAUAAUAAAAACAAAAACUUUGAAGCAUCUUAGUAUGACAAAACACCAUCUGCAUAUCAUAAACUCUUGGAUGUUAUACAAUAUGGUAAGAUCAACGCAUUGUGAGAGGUCCUGUGUUAGCAGGUUUCUGGAAAACUCUCACCAGAGGCAUUCCAUCUCCUUCCUCUGUGUUCUUAACUCUCCAGUUCCUAUCCUUCUUCCUCUGCGGCUUCUUGUGCUGUUUAUGUGAAGCAGUCUCCUUCUUCACUGUCACUUUCUUAGAAGAAGCAAGCCCGUUCGCCAGAUCAAACGAGCUCAGAUCCUCCAACACGUCAUCAAUACCAGGAACUUGCUCGUCGCUUUCCUUCUCAUCACCCUCACCUUCUUCAGAAUCUGAACCUGUUUCUCGACCAGUGUCAUCCUCUAUCUUCUCCUCCGUCAUCCCAGGCGGCAUUGCAAAAUGCCGCAGCUUACCUCCGAUGUAAUCCUUCAGAAUCUGCCUCGCCGCUUUCGUUUCAUCAGGUAGUCCACUAGAGGCAACGUAGCCACGUGAAGCACAGUAAGCUCUUAAGAGCUCAGCAGCGAGAGGAGGACGAGACUGACGCUCAUAUGUUUUUGGUUUCGGAAGUGUAAUGUUGUAUACACUCUCGAUGACACUGCGAGGGACCUUGUCAGCAACCACCUGGAUAGCUUCGCGGUGCUCCGUCAUCCUGUCGAUAGGAAGCACACCGCAAGUGAUCAUCUCGUAUCUCGAGCUCGAGAACGAAGGGAAGACUAAACCGGGACAAUCACAAAGCAUAAGCUCAUCGGAUAUGAUCAAUGUCUGGAAGUGCUUUGUUUUCCCUGGAGUUGAGGUGACUCCUGUUCGUUUCUGACCGACCAAAGCGUUGAUUGUUGAACUCUUCCCCACGUUAGGGUAGCCAACAAAUCCAACAACAGCAUUCUCACGUUGAGUCUCAUCAACAGGUGCUCUGGAGUUUCUCGCUCUGACAAUCUCUUGAGCCUCGGACUGUAACCGGGCCAAGAGCUCGUCUCUGCCGUAUAUGACAACUUCUGGAUCGUCUGUGUUCUGGAAGUUAUCGGCUUUUCUCCAUUGCUCUUUCAAGACUUUGCCUUCUAGGACAGCUGUGGCAGCUAUAGCUGACCAGAAGACGAAGAGAAUGUCGUUACGGCGGAAAUAUUCUGCCCAUUUCGCCCUGUAGAUAUAUGUUAAAGAAGUAAACCAAUUGAUUAGAAGACACACAAAAAAAAAGAGGUUGGAGGGGAAGGUAGCAAGGAAACAAUAGGAGGCAUAUCUUUAUCCAGCUACAAGACUUUCGUCUUAUCUUGUAAGAGUUUGUUUAUAUUUAAUUUGAAAGCCUUUCGUCAAAAAAAAACAAUAGGAGGCAUAUACCUGACUUCAGGAGGUAAAAGAUCCGCCUUGUUGACUAGAAGCAUCAUUUUCUUGUGCUCAUCAAUCUCUCGAGCAUAUGCCUGUGUCGAGUCGAAUCUUUUAAGUAAAUUGUAUGAAUCAGGAAUACGGUGUCAAGUGGAGUCUAAAGAGAGAAUGCAAUACCUCAAGAUCAGGGCAACGGUAAAACAGUGGAUCUCUAGCAUCAACUACCAUAACAAUCUGCACAGAGGAUAAGUGUUUAAAAACCUUAAAUUGAGCUAAAUGAGAGGUUUACUGAGACUUACCAAAUCACUACGUUCAAGCACACGCCAAAGCUGUCUCCAGAUAUCCAGGUUCUUUUCAAAUGGUGUCAACACAAGCUUUUCGUUUUCCUCGAGCCUGAACACAGAUACAGAAGAACACGCAUGCAUAAGCAAAUAGCAAUGAGCCACUUAAAAAUGUUAAUGUGGAAACCAAACCAUACACCUAAUAUAUCAAAAGAAAUGAUAUAAACUCUCUCUAUCCAACUUGGGUAUUAGACCAAUCAUACAAAUGUGCCAAAAAUACUCCAGCUUUAAGCAAGCGCUAGUUUAUAUAAACUUAUUUAAUACACAUUUUAUAAAUAACAGUAAAAAUGAGAUAUGCUGGGAAGAACUGAUACAAGAGUGAGACUUUUUCCCCUUGAAAACUUCUCAGUAAGGUACAAGAACAAUUGAAUCACAAGACACAUGCACUUUUAUCUAUCAAAGCAUUGUAUUCUACUAUCUGAGAAGACUAUUUAACAGAAGCUGAGUAAAUUUUCCCAUCUACUAUCAUUAACAAACAUUUAAGUGACAGAUAUUGAUUUCAUUAAAGCUAAGAUACUGGAUAAGAAGAAAAAAAUGGUCAUUAAGAUGAUGUAAACAAAAGGCUAACCAACCUCACAAGCAUCCGGCGCCAAUUCAGAAAAGCUUGUUUCUCAUUAGCAUCAAGCUCUUCCACUGACAUUUCAGGAGUCCAAGGAGGUCUGAAGAUGAAAAAAAAUAAAUUAGACAAUCUCAGAGAUAUGUAAAAAGGAGAAUUAAAAGGACGUACCUUCGAGGCACUUGAAGACUACUGGCGUGUAAAGCCUCCUCUAUCUUCUGUUGCUCUCUCCAUUCUUCAGCUGCUAUAGUACUUGAGCUAGACUGUGUGUCUCUGUACCCAAAACAACAUUAGAUAAACAGUUAAAGUUUUGAACUUUUCAUACCAAAUCGAAUUAUUGAUCUCAGGAAAGAGAGAUCAAAACAUAACAAGUGGAAGCUGAGCUCAAAGGAUAGCUAUUUUCAAUCAAACGAUACAAAAGAGAGGAACUUUGAAAGAAAGGAAGAAGCUUACACAUUAAUGGGCAGAGGAGUGGUGUUGCUGUGAUUGAUAGUGAAAAGGCGCUCAGCCUCCUCGGCCUGCUCGAGGAUGGCGUCGAUGUCGCUGACCUCGGUGACGGAUUCGAGAACCUUCUUCUGGAGAUUCUUGUAGUACUUGCCUUUGUCCUUCGAUUCCUGGAUCAUGUGGUUGUGGUGCUUCACCAGGGACCGCCCCAGCGUCGUCUUCUCGCUCUUCACCAUCUCUCUCUCUCUCGAACUCUCUUCUUUUCGGUAAAACCCUAAAAGUAUAAAAACCCUUUUGAGACGAUGGAGUCGGUUAAUGUUAAAAAGUGUUGAGCUUUCCUUAGGUCAGCCGCCGACCGCAUUAGCUGGUGAAGCUGAUUCAAGUUUUACGCUUUUUUUUUAGCGUAAAAUGGGUAAAUCCUAUAUUUACUCUCCUACUCCUAGCACAAUAAAAAAAAAAAAAAAAUUUACUCUCCUACUCCUAGCACAAAAAAAAAAAAAAAAAAGUAACCACCAACCUUAAGUGGGAAGACGAGUAGAACCUACUAAUGGAGGAGCUAGAUGUAAGUAUUACUUCCUUCUUAGUAGUUGAUGUUUUUCAAAUUGUUAUCUAUGAUUGUAAAUUUUUUUUAUUUUCUGGAGAUGAUUUACGAAACUUAAAAGCUCUUUGUCACUGAUUGAUUGUUUUUCUGAUUGUUAGUUGUUCAAGAAUCUCAACGAGUUUCCACCAAGACGUGGUGGCUAUGGCCUGACACAUGUGGAUUGUGUUGGAAGGCGUGCAUACACUAACGAUGCCUUGGUGAAGCUCUAUACCAAGCUCGGCCUUCAUCGGUACAAUUGGUUAGAGGUAUAAACAAACCUACUAAACUAGUAUGAUGCUGCUAAUGCAGCUCGACGAUACCUUUAAAGAGUUUUCAUCUGUUUUCUAUAUCAUUAUCCCAAAGCCUCUUCUUGGGUCUCUUAAUAUUUUUUUAAUACUUUAAGUAGUUAAAGUGAGGUUAAGAGACAUAACUAAGAGACCUGUACAAUUAACGCCUCCAAUGCAAGUCUCUUAUUUAGGGGUUCUUAAAAAAAAAUGUCAUGAGAAGAAAAUGUCAUAUAGAAUUUUUAUUGUUUUGUGAAUAAAAUUUAUGAUCAAGAGAAGAAGAGAACAAAAACAUGUUUUGAUCAAAAGUGUUUGGCCGUUAUGUAUGGAGAGAACAAGAACAAGUUUUGAUCAAAUGUGUUUAGUGGUUAUGUAUGGUAUAAAGGAGAGAACAUGAAGUUGUUUUGAUCAAAAUGUGUUUGCUCUUGUAUGGUGAGAAAGAUAGAAAAUGAAGUUGUUUUGAUCAAAGGUGUUGCUCGUUCUAUAUGCAGAGAAUGAGAGAAAGAAGUUGUUUUAUAAAGAACAUGAAUGAGAAUACAAACUUUAUAAACAAGCAUACAAAAGGAGAACAUGAAGGAGAAUACAAACUAGACUCGACAACACCAACUACUAGACUACACAAGCAUACAAAAGUCUGUCAAAAGCAUGGAUUACAAAAGACAAGUCCGUGAACACACAUGAGAACACAAAAAGCGAAGGUCAUCAAGAAAAUGAUCAGGCUUUGAGUCAAUUAUAGUGUGCUCCUGACAAACAAGAAAACAAAACAAUACAACUUAGCAUAUUCCCAGCGAUGGCAACACUCGAAAACAACACAGUGAUUCCUUAGUUUUCAGACAAAAUUGAACCAAGGGUAUUACCUUUACUGACACACGAACAAUCCCAGCAAGACCGUAAGAGCGAACAAAAACCAGCUUGACGUUUGCUUCUCUACAGAUUCUAUCAAGCUUAACCAUUGAAUCUUCCACUAGCUGCAGACAAAAGGAUGAACACACAAAUAAAGGAUCAAUAAGGCAACAAUCAAUGAAGCACUGGGGAAAGGUCUAUAAAAGAAUCUGAGAGCAUAAAGAAGCUCCAAAGAGACACAAAAGCUAUCAACUUUACAAACUAUCAAUUGGGGAAAGACUCUACCCUGGUGAAGUACCUUAAUAAAUCAAAAAAGCACCCAACUUUACAACUACCAACAUAAUCAUAUUACCUGAGUGGCUAUAACAAGAGUGAACUGAGAGAAGAAAUAAGGGCUUGUCAUAAUCAGCGUAUCAGGACUCUCUUCAAUAAACUUAGCUUUAACAGAAUCAUAUCCUGCCAUGUUCUCACGAUUGAUUUAUUCUACUCCCAAUACGACGAGCUAUGGAGUUUAUACAGAGAGAGAAGUAAAUCUGGAUACCUUAAAAACAAAUCAGUAUGAAGAACAAGACACAUAAAAAACAAAAUUAUCUACAACCAGAAACAGAAAUCAAACCGAUAGAGACGACGAUACCACCGAGAGAGACGCCGGCUGAUUCCGUCGACGAGAGAUUCCGUUGAGGAGAGAGCACCGGCGAGAAGAUAUCACCAGAGAGAGACGGUGUCGUCGAGGAGUCAAGAGAGAAUGAGAGAAGAUGAUCCGGCAAGGAGAGAGAGAAAGAAGCGUGAAUGUGUGACGCGUGUCACAUAAAACCCGUCUCUUCUGCCUUCUAAUUAAGAGACGUCUCUGGUACUCGUCGAAAACCCACUUAUAUUAUUUGAUUCUAAUAAGUUUCUAACUAAUUCCACAUUUGGAAUUGGAAACAUGAAAUGGCGUUUAAUUCUCCCUAAUGGCGUCUGGUUACGAUUACCCAUAAUCCAAAAUCCGAUCCGAUACAAACGCAAAGCUAAAUCUAUUAAAACAAUAAAUAAACGUCGCCUUGGGCCCUUUCCAGCGAAUCUCCACCGUCAAUCUCUCCUUCUCCGGCUCCCUCGCCAGAUCCCACCCUUCUAAUCUCCUCACGGAUAGCUUCACCACGUAUUUCCUCGUAACUAACGGUGGCCAUGGCCGCCACUUCAUCAUCUUCACCACCAUUGAAACUCCUAAGCGACGUCACGAAAAGAGAGAUUGAAGAGACGUAAACAAACUCUUUCUCAAGUAGUUGAGAAAAAAACAGGAGAAAUGGAAAAAAAAAGUUUUUUUUAAUUUAGAUUGUUGAUUUAGAUCAAUGCCAAGAAAUAAAAAGCACGUUUUAGACACAGGAAGCUUUUAGGAUGUGGUUUCUAUCUUGGAAAGAUUAAAACUUGGAAGUUUAGCUUCUUCCAUGGUAAAGAUGAAAAAGGUUAUGGUGCGAAGAGAGAAGAGAGAGAGAGAAAGUGGCACACAGAACGCAGCACAAGCGUGUAGACAGAGAGAGAGACAACGAACAAAAGUGAAAAGAAAGAUCAUAGCUUCACAGAUCUGUCCCUCUCUCACUCUAACGAACGAUAGACUCGUUGGAAUAAACCAGCAAACCGGAGUUAAAUUGUAUUGGUUAGAGGCGCAUGCCAUUCUUUAUUCUAUGUCCAUCGCACUUUAAGACAUCCUCCAAACAUGUGACACGAUCGAUCCUAUCGUUACAAGAUCACGCAUACAAGUCAGUUUGAAUUUCUAAAAUCUAAAUGAUGGUUUUAUGCGACAAUGUUUGACAACUAAUGUGCUUCAUGCCACUGGAGUGCGGUGGUCACUGGCCCUAGCUAUUCUUCACACUAAAGGAACAAGCGGUAUCUAAUGCAUCAUGAUUCAUGCAUGAUCAUUCUUUUUUCUAUUGCAUAAUAAUUUAGCCAACCCACUUUAUAUAUAUCAGGAGGAAUUCUUAAAUUGUAAUUAGCAUGACUCGAGAUUCAUUGACUUGUUUCACACAUCACAGCCACAUGCGUAUUAUUUAAUUUGCUCAUGAGUUAUGAAGCCUAUCUGCUUUAUUUAAACACGACGAAUACCAUUGCGAUUGCUUUAUUAAAAGAAAAAUAACAAUAAAAUAUGAGAGAGACGAAGAAGAUGAUGCUUUCCAGAUUUCAAGCGAAAGAAAUUAAUUUUUAUCUUUAGUGUAUUGUUUAGUUGGAGACAAACCUUUUCAUCUAGUAACAUUGUUUUGUUUAGGAAUUUUGGCUAUCCAAACACGUAAAACUCGUCUUAUUAUUUUUUGUUGACAACGUUUCAUUUUAAUAUUUUCUAAAAAUUUGUAUGCAAAUAACUGCAUAGAAAUUUUUUUUUCACCAUUUAAUAAUUAGUGAAAUUAGUGCAAAUUUUACUUUGACAAAUGCAUGGACAUCGACUAUUUAUAGAUUUUGAAAAUCUAUUUGAAUAGUUACAACUUUUCAGUUUAAAUAGUCACAUCCUUUUGAUUUAAAAGUAAUUAUUUUGAAAAAAUACUUAUAUGAAUAGUCACAACUUUUCACUUUUUAAAAUAUACUUAUAUGAAUUUUUAGAAAAGACACAACUUUCCAACAUUGAACUUUUUGAAAAGACACAACCUUUUACACAUUUUUUUUCAAAAGACACAACCUUUCAACAUAAGUAGAUUCACAACCUUUGGAAUUAAUCAGGAUUGCUAUUAUUAGUAGAUAACUAACAUACGAAUGUUGUUAUUAGAUUUGAACCUAGAUUAUGAUAAAACAAUGACAUUAUUGCAAAUCAUUGGCAUACAAAUAUUAAUCCAUACUAUUAUUUAUGAAGUGAUUUAGCUUACCUGUCAUGAUUUUCAUGAUUUUAGGUAAUUUUGUUUAUUUGUCAUAUUUUAAUUAGUUUUAAGGUGAGUCAUUAAUUUAUUAAUAGUUUUUAGUUGAAAAACUAAUUUAUUAAUUUUUAAAAAAUAUCCGUAAUAAAUUUUAUAUACAAUAAAAACGAAUUCUGAUUUAAUAAUAUUUAAAUCUAUAUGUAAUAUUAAAAUUCUUGUUUUCUUAUUUGUCAUAUUUUAUUAGGUAGCUCUUAUAUAGGUCAUUGAUUUAUUAUUAGUUUUUAAUUGAAUAUUUAUUAAUUUUCACAAAACACUAAUAAAUUUUAUAUAUAAUAAAACACACAUUUUAUUUUAAUAAUAUUAAAUUUAUAUGUUAUAUUAAAUAAUUAAUUAUAAACUAAUUUAAUAAAAUUAUGAAAAUAUAUUUAAAAAUUAAGAGAAUUCUUGUAUAUAUUGUGUUGCUAUCUGACUAAAAUUUCAACAUAACUUGUAUAAAUUUUGAAGAGCAAAGAAUUCAUCAUAAUUUUUUUUUUUCAACAUGUUUACCAAUUAGAGUUUUGUCAUGCUGAUUUUUGGAUUAAUAAGAUAUAAAAUAAUAAGUAUUCGUAAGAUAUAACAUCUAGUUAUUUAUAAAUGGAACAAAAUAAUAGUUUUGCAAAACACUACAUCUUAAAUGACAUGGGCUCAGAAAUAUUUAUCGUAGCCCAAAUGAAGCCCAGUAAAAAAAAUCACUCUCCGACCAAACCUAAAACUGAUCGACAGAAUCCGCAGCUAGCCGCAUUGUAACCUAACCACCAACCUUCCGACUUGAGAAAGACGGGUCUUCGCUAGAGAACAUACUAAGGAGAUGAGUCAGAGUUGUGUUCGGAUGGAGGAGCUGGAUGUAAGUAUUACUUCCUUCUUAGUAGUUGAUGUUAUUCAAAUUGUUAUCAAUGAUUGUGAUUGUGUUUUCUUUUCUGGAUAUGAAAUUUACGAAACUUAAAAGCUCUUUGUCACUGAUUGAUUGUUUUUCUGAUUGUUAGUUCUUCAAGAAUCCCAACGAGUUUCCACCAAGACGUGGUGGCUAUGGCCUGGCACAUGUGGAUUGUGUUGGAAGGCGUGCAUACACUAAUGAUGCCUUGGUGAAGCUCUAUGCCAAGCUCGGCCUUCAUCGCUACAAUUGGUUAGAGGUAUAAACAAACCUACUAAACUAGUAUGAUGCUUCUAAUGCAGCUCGACAAUAGCUUUAAAGAGUUUUCAUCUGUUUUCUAUAUCUUGCAGGGGACAAACUUUGAGCUAGAUAGCUUAAUGCAAUUCAACAUGCGUAGUGCUGCAUCUCCUUACUACAUGACCUUAGUUGCGCGCCUUCCAUCUAGCGGUUUGCAGCAAAUCUUUCAGGUUCUCGUAGAGGAAGAACGUCUUGGCAUUUUAGAUUUGACAUGCCCCAUCUUUAGACCUCAAGGUAACGGUUGCUUUGUUGAUACUUUAAUCAAUUUCACUACUUUUAAUUUGCUGACUAUAUUUGACAUAUCACAUAGGGACCGAGACUUCAAAGAAAGAGUCAACUCCUUUCUUACGUCCACAUUCCGAGCCAGUGUCUACAAACUACCAAGACAGAUUGCUUGGCUGGACCAGGAACAAGUCAGCAAUUCCAUGGCCCUCCGCUUUCAGUGACACAAAGCAGCGUUUUUACAUGGUAAUAUACUCUAUUUGUGGUCGCUUGCAUGCAUCAAUUUUGCUUUUGGUGUUUUGGAUUUUAUCAAUAAUGUGUGCUUACUAUAUACGUGCAUGACUAACUCGUUUCUUACUACUAGUGUUAUAUACGUGUCUUGCAUGCAUCAAAUUACUAAUAUUUGUUUUUAUUUGGCAGUUGAAUGAAUCUGAGUUGCAAUGUGAUUGGAUAUCGUUGUAUGUGAAACUUGCAAUCUGUACUUCCCAUAGGAAAACCACAGCUGUAAGUUUGAUGUUCUCUCACUUUCUCUGUUUGUUAUAGCAUAUUAAUAAUCUAUUUGGUGAUGAUAUAAUGUCUUGUUGUUGCAGGAGGAACUCAACAACUUUGAGCUGGAGAUUGUCCAAGUGGCCAUAGAAUCUCUAGAUGAUAAGGAGCCCCCAAGUCUCAAGUCUAAAGCCGCUGUCAUCUACGUAGCAUACAAGAACUUGGCCAAGGCUAGAACUGGUGAGCAUUAUCACUACCAAGCUGUGGUGAGACGAGUCAUCGACCAGACUAUGGGAACAUUGAGCAUCCAAGGUGAUUGCUGGAUUGCAGAAGCAGCAGCAAUGGCUUCGGCGGCUGAAAGCUUAAUCUUAGGGGUCGCUUAGGACCUCAUAAGCUAUGGAGGUUGUCUAGUCCUAGGUGGUAUCAGACGUACAAGAACCGUGGCCUCCGCUCUUCCCCUAUUUAGUAAUUUAAAGACAUUUGAAAGAUGCGUAGUAACUCUUAUGUAUUGUGCUUUUGGUCUCUCGUGUUUAACUACUAUUACUUAUUAGCGAUGACUGCUUUUUGGUCUCUAUUUUAUGCUUUUGGUCUCUCUCUAUUUGUCGGAUGGUUCUCUUACGUACUGUGUGCUUUUUGGUCUUUUUCUUGUGUAUCUGUGUUUUGUGAUGAACUUGAUACCCCUGAUCAUCAUUUACAACACAAGAGAUCAAGGGUCUGCAAUUAUAGAAGGUGAUGAUGAUCACGAGUUAGUAGAACCUGAUGUACUUGUUGAAAGAAUCGUGGAUGUUGAAGACACGAAGGGACAAAAGGCUCACUUUUAUAGUAGAGAAUUUGGUAUGCAUUUGAAACAGUUCUGAAACAUAAGUUGACUUUGGUAUGCUAAUGCGGCUCAACAUAAGUUGCUGAUUCAAAGCAGAGGAACAGUUCUGAAACAGGAGAACACUGAAGAUCAUAUGAUUGUUCUAUGGACGACCUCAGCGACAACGGUGAACCCUCAAAGGUAAUAAUAAUACAAGUAACAGCCUCUUUUGAAGAUCUCUCCACGUGGAAUUAACUAAAAGUCUAUGUGGUUCUUUCAACCAGCUCACUCCCGGAGGGCGGAGCGAGUGGUUCACGGAAGCUGCCAAGUCAGCUAUCAACUGUUGUGAAUGAGCCUUCUUUACCUCCUACCAAUACAGACCCAAGUCCAGAAAGCCUUGGCGCUGCUGCUUCACGUCCUCUUCGGCAGGGUAAUGGUUCUGGUGGUCCCUCUUUAUAACCAGCAGCAAAGGAGUAAUGUUGCCGGUCCGCCUCACACCUAAUCGACAAAAAGGAAAUAAUGCUCCGGGGAAUUUUGCAUAGCUGAAAGUAUGUUCAUGUUCUUCAAAUGCUUUAAUGUCCGCAUCAUAUUAUUUGGAGAAGACUUUCUGGCUUGUUGACAGUGGGUGUGCUUAUUGGGUUGUUGUUAAGAGCAAGAGAACUGGAUCUUCUUGAUAAAGAUGUUAGAAAAAAGAGGAUAAAUGAAUAACCGAUUUUACAUGAAGUUAUGAAUCUUCAUUGGCUGAAGGAAAGAGACAAUGUAUUGGUACAACUGAAAGCUUAGAAGACUUGGCUACAGUCAGUGGAGUUGGACCAUCAGUUUUCAAAAGAUAAGCUUGUGGGCAAGAGAAAAAUACAAUGGACAACUUGGGGUGGAAAGGAUGGGAUUUUGACAAAAACACUCAAGGUAGUUAUGUAUUUGCUCUUGUUUCUUCAAGUUAGAUGCCUAUCAAAUGUGAAUGACUUUAAAAUCCUCUAGUCUACAAGGUAUCUUGGUAAUGAUGGAUCGUUGCUAUGGUUUUUAUAUAGGCACGCAUUGAUAUGGAACGUACACGAAGAGAGUGUCUGUGCAGCUCCUCACUUGCACUGAAGAUGCUUAGUAAUUUCGAUGCUACUACCAACGAGGGAGAGAGUGUUGUAUAUGAGGAAGAGAAAGUGCAGCCUGAGUCCAGGAGCAGCUUCACUUUUAAAGAAAGAUUUACAGCUGAAAGUAACGUCGAGAGAAGAUCUAACUAGAGGGUUAGAAAAGACGAGUACAUUACUUCUUAAGGAGGAGCAGUUAACACCAAGCCACUGUAUGAAGCCAGUCAAAGAAGAAACUGUUUAUGAUUCAUUCAUCUAAAGGAGUCAUCUCUGUUACAGCUACUAAAUCCACAAGUUGAAAAAAAGAAUUCACAGUGAUGGAUAUGAUGAGCAAGACAUACCGAGUUUCUGAGAAAAGAGAUACAAUUUCGUCUGGCAAGGAUUUGAAGAUGCUGGAGAGACCAACUCACGUUAAUAGUUAUGAGGUGAUGAAUGGAGUGCUGAACUUGUAACUCUUCAACCAAUUAAUAGUUUGUAGUUUAAAGCAAGAACACGUUUAUGUAACCAGUUCCAAAAUGGCAUAAGAUUUAUAAACUGCUAUGCUAUGAGUUGAUCUCCAAAAAAUAAUUACAACAUGCUAUUAUCAUAUAAGUCAAACAUGGCAUGUGUUCGCUUAACACACUUCAUUUGCCUGUAGUAAGUGGGAGUUAAAGAAAGGGUCACAACACAAGGGCAAAGCUACAAUGAGUGAGUGCUCACAGGAAAAUGAAUCACAAGAUGCAGAUUAUUACAUCUCUGUCAAAGAUGAGUACCCGCACCAAGAACAAUCCCUUUUCACUACAGCAUACAUACUUGUGCAAUACAGUGACUUGAAUAUAAGCAAUGGCAGCAGCCAAAAAUCAGAAUUCAAGACCAUGCAUUGAGACUAAACUCAGUGAAACCACAAGAUUAUAAUGUUAAACAAACUAGUAAGAAAAAACUCACAACAAGACGUAUCAAACAAACAAUUAGACAGGACAUGAGGAAUCAUAGAUCCACCAGGGCGUACAUGGAAGUAUUACAUUAAGUGUCAAUAAUGUAGCCAUAUUGCAGAAUCGCAAGUUUUCAAACAAGACCUAACCAGCCAAAAUACCUAACCGAGGAGAGAUGAGUUAAGAGGAGACAAAAAAGACAUUAGUUUCUUCCCUUUACUAUAGCUAACAGAUGCUUUAAGGGGUUAAAGAACCAAAAAAAAAAAGCUCUCACUCUCUCACACAGCUCCUUCUUCUCAGCCGCUUCUUCUUCUCAGCCACUUCUCUGCUUCUUCUUCUGCUUAUCUCUGCAACCAAAAAAACAAACACAAAACAGAGAUAAGAGAAUUGAGAAAUUGCUCAAUGGUAAUCAGCAGAUAAUUACCCAUGGUCCUGGAACGGCCUUCUUCUUCUUAAGUUCCGACGCUUCGGUGUACACCGCCGUUUCCUCUCGUGUGUGGGUUCACCACGCUUCCUCUUAAGUUCCUGCUUCUCAGCUUGGCCUUGGCCUUCUCCAUCUCCAUCUCCAUCUCCAUCUCCAUCUCCUUCUCCAUCUCCUUCUCCUUCUCCUUCUCCUUCUCCUUCUCCUUCUCCUUCUCCUUCUCCUUCUCCUUCUCCUUCUCCUUCGGGGUUUGGAGUUUCAUGUAUGAUCGGGAAGAUGAAAUUGGAUAGCAAGGGCUGCGGAGUCGGCGUUGGUCGAACAGUCUCUGCAUUCUCCUGAUCACCGACGCCAAUGAUCAUAUGUAGAAUAGCUAGUGAGACUCGGAAGUAUCCAUUAUGGCCGAUAUCCGUGCCGUUGCUCGAUUUGCAGAGUGCAACCACUUCCCCAUUGUGAAUCUGUAUGUCGACAAUGUCGACUCCGUGAUAACCAAGGAAACGAGAAUUUGGCUUUGUAGGUCCGUAGUAAAUGUCAUCCUACACAAAAACCAAUUAUCAUGAUCUAAAAUUUAAUCAGUAAAAAAAAAAAAAAAAAAGCAGAGACAAAUAAUAAGUUUACAUACCUCACCGAGUCCCCAAAGUUCAGAGAAGUCUAGAAGGGAAGCCCCGAUUGGCUGUUUGCAGAGCUGGGCCAGUGCUUCUUCUAAGGUGUCGACGGUGUCAUAAGAGUCGAUGGUGAUGUGAGGUUCUGAAUCAGCUGGAUGGUCUUGAUUACAGUCAUACACAAGCACUCUUUCUUUAGGCACUCCUCCGUGGUCUAACAUGAACUGAAAGGCUUGACGGGUAGUAGUUGCAUAACAGGAAUGACCGACUUUACCAGUUGGGUCAUUGCCAAUCUUCUCAGGAUGCACGUGGGAGUGGAGGUACCACGUAGACAGAGGAACAAAUUCGUCAUCCAACAGACGGAUAACUCGUAGGGCGGAGAUGGAAUCAGUGGAGCUAUAGGCCCAACACUGGAUGUGCUUCAUUUGGUCUCGAAUAGGACCAGAAAGCUUCUCCCAUAACUCGAGUUCCACAAGCUCUCUGUAAAACUAAUAAACAAAACAAGUGUGCUGUUAGAAAUAAGAUAUCGAAAGAGUAAUGUGGAUUUCAAAGAGUUAAUGUACCUGUUUCCUCGCUUGAUGUUUCGGUUCCUGCUGCCAAAACAACAUGAGAAUCUUCCCAUCAUCAGACAGCCUAAAAAGGCCUUUACGAGUAGUGCCUUCAGCUUUUUCAAAUUCUUCACCAUGCAGGAACUGUUUUAGUUGUUUUGAUGUUAUUUCGCUAAAGAGAUUCUUCUUCAGACGUGAGGAAAUGUCUUUGGGAAGACGUCUUAGAUCAGGCCUUACUGGUACAUACACAUACUCCGAGCCCACCAUAUCCUUAGAAAACAAAAACAAAAAAAAAUAAUUUUAGAAACACAGAGAUGUUGCAUUAUGAUAAGAGAUUGUAAACACAACAACACAUGCUAUGAUUUCUUGGGCACGCUAAACCAGAACACAAAAGCCAAUCUUUCUUACCAACAAAUCUUCCAAAUUUUAAGAAAUCUCGGUUUUGAAAUUAGCCCUGUAUUAUUAGCCAGCCCUAGAAGAAUUUUGUAUAAUAGAUGGCCUUGCCUUGUAUUAACCCAAGCCCAUUCAUAAGCCAUAACCUUAUUUAGUCUGCCUAAUUAACCAAUAACUGUAUAUAUAUUUAGUUAAUCAGUUAACUUCACAUGCAAAAAUCAAGCAUAACUUUGGUUCUCGGUUCUGAAAGAAUAAUAAGAGUUGGGAGACUACGAAGAAGAGAAAGUACCUGAUUUCUCGCUGCAACUUCACUCUCGUUCUCUCUUUCGUUCUUCGGUGUAGCGAAGAAACAAAGGCACACUUUUUUUUUUUUUUUUUUGUAGCCGUCGUCAAGUCCAGACCUAUAAGGACUGAGUGUGCUGAGACCAAAUAGAUAAACGAUGUCGUUUAUUAUUUUGGGUUCACAAAGAAAAACUGUGCAUGGGCCCUUCUUUGGCCCGAAUAGUAAUUAUUGGCUUAAAAUGUAACAAAGACACAUUUCAUUUAUGCCUACCGUGACAUCACAUUGUUUUGGUGCACCUUCAGGCAAAACGUAUCAAAUGUGUAGUAGACUCUUGAAACUUUACGUAACGUAGUGCACCUUCUUUCAUUUGUUUGACGAAAUUUUUAAAAAACAGAACAAUGAUAUUUAUUUUUAUUACCUAAGUAUAAAUCUAUUAACAUCUUAACUUUUUAGCCUAAGUUUCAAAAAAAAAACAGAACAAUAUUGAUUUCUAUUUGUUAGACGAAAAUAACAAAUUAUACUUACAGUUUUCAAAAUAUUUAAUUAUAUAGAUAAUUAAAAUUGAAUUAGCUAAUUGAACUUCAUUAAAAUUGAUUUAAAAAUAACAAUAGAAAUUUAAAGGAGAUAUUCUCUAGGUUUCUUAUUGUUAAGUUUAAAUUUCUUGGUGUUAAGAUCGAUCUGCAAAGACCAGAUGCUACACCCAAAGAGAAAUUCUCAAUGUUUUUCCAGUCACGAACACAACAAACAUUUCUCAAAAAAAUUUACGCCCUGCAUAUCACAUGUUACUGUAUCAAAAACAAACGAAAAGUACUUCAAUACACAUAUCAUAAAAUUGGACUAAACAUGUCUCACAUUUUGAUAUAUGCAAGAAUAAUCUCUAAUAUUCUUUUACCAUUUUCAGCACUAAACUGCUUCUAGUUAUGAAUGACUUUUGCUUGAAUCCACCAGCCUAUCUUGUAAGGUCUGAUAUCCCUUAGUGUACUGAUUUUCUUACAAGGCGUCAUAAUAGUUUUGAUAUCUAUAGAGUCGAUUUAAGGUUGUGUGAAUACAAUUAAUAUGAUGGAUUAUAUUUAUAUAUAUGGAUCACAAAAUUAAUUAAUCUAUAAUUAAAUAAAUAAAUAUAAAAUAUAUUAUUUUAAUAUUUGGUGUGAUGAAUGUCAUUUUUGAUGUUUUAUUAGAGAUGAAACUAAACUAAAUUUGGAUUUCAACAGGUGACCGUUCAAUUGAACGUAAAAAUAAAAGAUAAAUAAAAUAAUAAAUAAAAAUUCAAUUGAGUAAAUGAAUAAACAGAAAGGUCCAGGUUUGCAUGUUAAGUAGAAGAUAAUAUACAAACACAUAAUCUGUUAGACCAAAGUUAUUAUUUGGCUGCCAGGAAAGCCUUUGAGAAAUUAGGAAGGGUUAGCACUUAAACAUAGAAGAAAACGGUGAUGGGUCUCGGAGGAUCAUCUGUUUCACGCAUCAACACCAAAGCCUUCUCUUCAUGUACUUUUUGCUUUCUUCUCAUCAUUUGAAUAAUUGAGCUAGAGUUCAUCUAUAUUGAUUUGUAACUUCUUGUGAUGUUUUUAGCCUUUCUAAAACCAACAUUAAGAGCAAAUAACCCUCUUAGAGUCGCCGGAGCAUCAGGAGGAAGGUUCACUUGGUGGGUUACUCUUUAUUUAUUGAGUCCUAACUUGUUUUAUAAGGUAUCUUUAGGCUAUUUCUCUAAUAAAUAGUUUUAUUUGUGUGACAAAUGAAAAAAAAAAAAAGCUUUGAGAGGAACUGGUUGAGGAGAGACCUAAACGUGGUGGGGUUUGGGCUGAUCGGGUGGCUAGCUCCGUCGAGUAUUCCGGCGAUAAAUGGGAAGAGCUUGACGGGUCUCUUCUUCGAGAGCAUAGGAAAUGAGCUCGCUCACUUCCCAACUCCUCCAGCUCUCACUUCACAGUUCUGGUUGUGGUUGGUUACGUGGCACUUAGGUCUCUUCAUCUGUCUCACCUUCGGACAAAUUGGAUUCAAAGGCAGGACCGAAGAUUACUUCGAGAGAUAAACCAUUUCUCUAGUUUCAUUUGUAAUAUAUCUUUCUCAUUGUCCCUCUCUUGUGUGUAAUAUUAUUACUCAGUACGAAGCGUUCUUUCUUUGCUAUGUUUGGUGUUUCAUUCAAUAUCGACAAGAUUGUUUCUUAAUGUUGAUUAGAAGAAGGUUCCAUCAACACUUUGUUCAAAAGGUUAUCAUAGAGAACAAAACUACGUUUUAACUAUGCAUUCUACAUCUAACCCCCACGCCGAGUCCGCUCAGCUUCAUGGUUGAUGUGCAUUUUGUAAAGCUCGGGUCACCAUGUCGAUGAAUUCAUUCUCCUGUCAAAAGCAACCCGUUAGAUUCAGGCAGUAGCUCAAGCCAGAAGUGAAUGUUGUAAGAGAACAAACCUGAACCAGAGCUAACAGGGCUUCUUUGACUUUGUCUCUGUUGAUAAAUGAGCCAUUGUGUGCAGGAGCGAGUGAUGGUGGUGGGAAAGGCUGGAGCAUCGGAGUGCCAUGUGGGCCCUGCUGGUAAUAAGUCGUAUUAUUAAGGUUCAGAGGAGGAGCAGAUGGCAUAGAUGAACCAGGAAUGAAGUGUGGUUGUGCCAUCAUCCGUGGGGGGCUGAAGAAAGAGGACGGCGUCACCAAAUCUGUGUGAACGUUGGACUUGUUGCUACUGAUACGAUUACGAUUGUUGUCAAAAAGAGGCAUUAGAGGAGAGGAGGAUGGUAGAGGCGGUGGUGAUAGUAUCUGUGGAGGUGCAGCUGCCGCAGGGGAAAUGGUGGGUUGGUGAGGUUGUCGAGUAUCUACUAAUGUCUGGUAUGGUGGUCCACUUGCCGACCCGCUAGUAGUGUUGCCAAGAGACAUCGCAGACUGUAGUCAAGCCAACAACAAAAUUGAUAAGUUCAAUCUUACAGCUUGAGAAUUUAGAAGUAACGAAAAUUGACGGCUUGUACUCAAGAAUCUAAGUUGGACCGAUUAAUAAGUUGAAGAUAAUUCAAGAAUCUAAAACUAAUAGGAAGCCCUCAUGCUGUUAGUCAAAUGUGAUGCUGUCAUGAUCAUGAAGGCGAUAGUGUGAGUGUGUAUUAAAAGCUUUGAGAGACUUACGCUGAAGAAGUUAACAAAAGCAGGAUCAUUAGGAGCACCAUCUCUACCACUUAAAGAUGGUUCAAGAGGACCAUCCAUAACUGACACUGUAGGCACAGCUUCCAAUUCCUCAAACUCCCUGCAGUACAUAUUUUUUUUUUUUUAACUCAAUUUUACAUAUAGGAAAGAUACCAGCUCAAAGAGUUAUGUAGAUUAUCAGUGUUUUUCCACCUCAUACAACUAAUGGCACAAUGUCUAUGCGCUAAGUAAUCUAAACAUGAAGUUCUUACCUUCUUGAAGAUGGCUUAUUUGGCUUCUGGUUAACCUUGGAAUCUCUAUAAUAUUAUUUGAGAAGUCACUUUCUUAUGUGGCGCUCUCACGUUAACUCUCACGGUGGUUGAUUACUGUGAUACCCUUAAUGAUUUUUUUAACAACAUUGUUAUAAAAAAAAGUUUAUAUAUAACAAGGCAAUAAGGUAAUAUUAAAACUUAAAAGUAUAUAAUUAUUUUAUAUAUUUAAAAUAUGUGAUUUAAUGGCUUUUCCUCACGUAAGUUACAUAUUAACAUAAUUAUGUUAUAGUGUCGGUAACCUUAAAGAAUUUACAUAUUUCCUCAUACAUUAAACAAUUUCCUUAUUUUUUGUUAUUUUCUUAAUAGAAAGGGAAACUACGUUUAGUUAGUAAGGAUUAUAAGGAAGCUACAUUUACUUAGUAAGAAUCAUAUGACUUAUCCCUUUUCCUUAUUUACAUUUACGAUUUUUGAUAUUUUCUGAAAUUCAAUUUUGAUAUUUUUAUAAAGCUAAGGUAAUAACUAUACAAUUUUCUACAAUACAUAGGAAUAUUAUACUUUUUGAUAAGUAUACAAUUUCCUAUUCUUAAAAAUUUCUCCUAACAAUUUUAUAUAAUUUUUUAUAUAUAAUUUCCUAAUCCUAAUAUUAUUUGAAUGCUCCAACAUCUAUAUAAAUAAACAACUGAUUCUCAGAAAUCUAAACUAUCAAACUAUCUACACAAAUAUAAAUUUUCAUCCAUCGUUCUUAUUCACAAAAACCAUGUCCUUUCUUCGUAGAAAAACAACCCCUUUGGUUUCCAUCCGAGAAAUUCAUCCAUCUUUGGAUACAUGCAAGAUCAAAGUGAAUAUCAUGAAGCUGUGGAGAAAGUAUAUCAAAGGAACUGUUUCUAUUGAGAUGGUUUUGAUUGAUGAUGAGGUAAUUCUAAAAAUCGAUCCAAACAGAUUUUAAUUAAACCAUGCAUGAUUCGUAAUUAUAUAGAGAUAAAAUAUUUAUAUCUGCACUUGAAUUCGUAUUAAUUAAUGUUCCUUUACCCGUGCAUGAGCUGUUUAUAACCAUGUGUUUUGAUAGAAUUCGUAAUUUUAUUCUUGAAUUAUAUAUAAUCCCUAACUUUUGUCAUUGGUUUAUAGGGUAACCGUAUUCAUGCAACCGUAGAAGGUGAUGAUUUGGUUAAGAGUUUUGAGAAUAAAUUGGCAGAAGGUGAAUCAAAAAUAAUUAACACAUUUAAAAUCAGUUCUUACAAUGGUGAUUUUAGAACCAGUUCACACCCUUUCAAGAUAUCUUUUUAUCGAACUACUUAUGUGGAUAUCUGUGAAGAUUUUCCAACAGAAGUGCCUGAAAAAUAUUAUAGAGAUUUUACAGAUAUUCUAUCUCGAAACAUCGAUAAGAACAUCUUAAUAGGUAAAUUUUUCUUUUAAUAUGCAAGACUUGUAUUUUUCUUUUGGGUGUUGUUUUUCAAAUCUUUCUUAUACUCAUUUAUUUUAUUUACGCAGAUAUAAUAGGACAAAUUGUUAGUGUUGGAUCUUUAUGUGAGCUUACUGCUAAAGGAAAUCCUACUAAGAAAAUUGAUAUUAUACUGAGAGAUACAAGGUAAGCUAAUAAGUAACUAAAUUUUAAAUGUGUUUGCCUUUAUACCAUGUGUUUGUUCUGUAUUUUAUUUUUUGUCAAAACUUCACAUGUUUUAAAUACAGUGGAAUGCAUUUACCAUGCACUCUUUGGGGAGAUUACGCUACCCAAAUCUUUGAAUACUCUAACAAACACAAAAAUUCUAAAGUUGUAUGUGUUUUUAGAUUUGUGUGUAUCAAAGAGUAUAAAGGUACGUCUUAUUCUAUUUAUAAAACAUCACUAAUUCUGCAUUGAUAUCUUUCUUAUUUAUUUAUAUUAUAAAUUUUCAGGUGUGGUAAGCGUGUCUAACGCUUUCAAUUCAACUCAAAUCAUGUUUGAUCUACAAACACCAUAUGUUAAAAGAUUCAUAUCAAUGUAAUAAAAUCUAUACUCAGCUCAUAAAUAUAACUUUGCAAACAUCAAUAAUCGUUGUUUAUUGUUUUUAUUGAUAGGUUGCCAACUGAAAACCUUAGUGACAACAAUAUGCCAUCUACUUCGUCGUCUGUUUCAUUACAUGAUGAAUUUCUAGGCAAAAAGAAUGUUCGGAAGCAUAUAUGGGAGAUUAUUCAAUCAAACGAGGUCUUAUGCGCUAUUUUAAAUAAUUAUUUUAUAUUUUAAUGUUUAAUUUAAAACUAAUCAGAUCAAUAAUUCUAUAGGUUGGACGAUGUGUAACAAUGGCAACAAUUGACUCAGUUUCAAAAGAUUGCAAAUGGUACUAUAUAGUUUGCAAGGCUUGUGAUAAGACUGUACAACCAUAUCCAUACGAAGAUGACAAACCUCCCUUAUUUGAUUGUGAAAAUUGUGGUGAUAUUACUGACGUUGAUGCAAGGUAACUUAUUGGGUUUAGUUUGCUUUAUACGUGUAUGCUUUUUAACCAUUACUUAUUAUUUUUGCUUCCUUCUUACUUAUAAACAUUAUAGAUAUCGCCUGAUUCUACAUGUCUCCGAAGGAUUUGAUGAGCAAGUCAAAUUUCUCUUAUUUGAUAUUCUUGCACAAUAUCUUCUGCAAAAAACUGCGUUUGAAUUAGCAGAAGAGGUUGCAGAGGUAUUAUAACUUUCUUCCUACAUAAAUUGUGUGAUUUAGUUCAGCUAUUAACUUUGAAACAAUUUCUUAACUCAUGUCUUUUAUAGGAAGAACCACACGUUCUACCAGAAGCCCUAAAAAAUUUGAUAGGCAAAAAGUUACUAUUCAAGAUUAAUAUUGGGGAGGAUAACUUAAAGAGCAAAAAUGCAUCAUACAAAGUUGAAAAGUUUACCGACAAGAAAGACAUAAUUGAGAAUUUUUGGACACAAUCUUCAGAUGAAGUAAUAAAUUUGCUAAAAUUUUGGUAUAUUUAAAGAGAGUAUUUAACCAAAUCAAAAUUUAAAAUUUAUUUCCUUUGGUUUUGCAGGAAACAAUUUCGCAUUCAAGCUCAACAAACAAUGUAUGUAAUUCGUUGCAAUCAUCACCGUCAUCGCAACCAUUGUCUUACAAAAGGAGAUAUGAUUAUACAAGUACAAGUUCUCAGAGACAUGAAAAGACUUCAAAUAAGACCAUGAGGAUUGAGAAACCAGCCUUAAAGUGAUUUUAGCGGAGAAAAUAACCAAAAAGUGCUUUUGUUUUUUUAUCAUGUUCUUUUCUUUCUUGAGAUUGAUUUAUAUCUGUAAUGUUUUUUGAGAUUUGGUUAAUGGAUUAUAUUUUCUCAUAAUUGUAUGCAAAAAUAACUACAAAGAUUAAACCCAGCUAGAUUUCAUAACUUGAACUGUUUCGUAGAAAACUGAGCACGUUGAAUAUAUGCCAUGACACACCAAAACAUAUUCCAGAAGUUCAAGCUAUACAUUAAUGCAGCAUCACAUCGGUAUUGAUGAUCUUGGAACAUGGUAUUGUUUCUAUUUCCAUAAGUAUGAUGAGUUCCUGGUUAAAAUCCUCUGUUUUCCAAACAAAUUCUCUGGUUACAACUUCUAGCUCAGACUUAAAAACCAUUAAUCCACUGGUCGUUGAUCCUGUCUUUUAUGGCCACGUGUAUUCAGUGAACGGUAUGAGCCGGCCAAGUUUGUUGAUCAGAGUAAAGUUGCUUGAAUGACGUGUGCAUUACGUGGCGGUGGAGCAGAGCAUCCUUUGAGAUUUUUUUGUUUCAUGCAGAUUGUUUGGUGCGGUAGAGGUAAACGUCGAGUCUGGUUUAGAUUUCUGGUUGGAUGGUGUCUGGAUGAAGUGUUGACAAAAAUUCCCAGUUUCUAGAUAUUAAGAAAAAAAAUAUUUUAGUAUUAUGGGAUUUGGAAAAAUACUCUAAUUUCACAAUUUUGCUAUCAGCCUAUUUCCUUUUUUUAAACUCGCUAUUAGUCUAUCUAUAUUUCAUUAUCAGAAAUAGAAGUUUCAGUAUUAAUUAUAAGAAAAAUAAAAAAUAACCAUUCCAAACCUAAUUUAUAGAUAUUCUGAUUUCUUUAAUUCUUUUCAAAAAAGGAAAGAAAAAGUUUAUCAAUGUCUAUAUAAACCAAUAGGUCUACCACUCGAAUUACAAUUCAUAACUACCAAAAAAUUGCCUAGAAAGAAGAACACGCAAAUUAUCUUCCAGGUGCAUGAGUUAUUCUUUAAAGACAAUUCUAUUACUAUAUACUUUUCUAAUUGUCUAUCCUAAUGCGUAUAGGUUGCGAUUCUAACUUCCAAUAAACAUCACAAUGAAGCGUCAAAGUUCAUCAGUUAAAAGAAGUUCUGCAGAAAAUACUCCAGCUUCUAGAAGACGUAAUUAAAACUUACAAAUAUUACUAGAACAUACGAUAUAUUACUCAAGUUAACUAAUUCAAUGCACAUUCACAGGUACUUCUGCAAGAGUUCCCCAAUAUGCUUUUGAAUCAGUGCAAACCAAUUCAGAAAACAUCCCUACCGGCCAUUCAGUUUACCACCAAUACAUAGACAUAGACAAUCUUCAAAGACAGAGACCACAAAAAGCAAGAAGACAACGCAUGGAUAUUAUAAAGUCAAAGAGAGCCAAUGCAUGUACUGAGAAUUCAGGUUAGACUUAUACCUACCUUUUUGGUAGGUUUUUGAAGCAAAACUACAUAUUUGUUAGAUAUAAUACUUGUAUUCAUAAUCAUUCUCUCUGCAGAUUUACUCCCUGCUUCUGUCAAUACAGAUGAUUUUGUUUGCUUCAUUGCUACUGAUUCCGAACCAGAAAACGAAUCUGACUGUGAUGGAUAUGAAGCUGAAAGGGUCACAAAUCAACCUCCAUCAAUCAUAGAACAACAAUUACAUAUUUCAUAUGAAUCUGGAACAGGAAAACCAGGAAUAACAAACAGAGGUACAUGAUAAAGAAAUUUAAAGAUUUAUUUAUUUUAUCACCGAUUGUACUCUUUCUGCAUUCUCAUAUGAGGCAAUUAUAGGUUACAAGGAUGAUGGAGAUCCUAUAUACACGUGUUCAGACUGUGGAGCUUACAUGUGGUUCGGAGAACGAAUAAAUAAAAGGAGGACAAGAGCUAAACCCGUUUUCACAACGUGUUGUCAUAAAGGAAAAGUCAAGCUUCCACUUCUUAAAACUCCUCCAAAGACAUUACUAGCAUUGCUAUAUAAUGGAGAUGCAAGAAGCAAACACUUCCGUGAAUUCAUCAGAGCUUAUAAUAUGAUGUUUUCGUUUACAUCACUUGGUGGUAUCAUUAAUAAUUCCAUCAACAAUGGGAAGGGACCAUACGUGUUUCAGCUCUGUGGUGAAAAUUAUCACCAAAUUGGUGAUAUUUUACCAGAUGCUGAUAAAGGCCCUGCAUUUUUACAGCUCUAUAUACAUGAUACUUUGAAUGAAAUAUCAAAUAGAAUUUCUGCUUAUGGGUAAGGUUCUUUAAUAUAAUAUUUUAAAUCUACAAAUAUGUGUAUUGUAUCAUGCUAUAAACUGAUAUAUUACUUCUCUUUUUUUUGCAGAAAAACAGGAUCCACAUGCAAACUUAAAGAAGAAAUUGUUGCCAUGUUGAAAAAAAUGCUCGAUGCUCACAACCACCAUGUUAAAGGAUUUAGAUGUGUCAAAGAGAGAUUUAAUUUGGACCAAGAUACUUCAGGUUUAAGGUUAAGGCUUGCAAGUGACAGAACUACAGAUGGAAGAGUUCAUAAUCUUCCUUCAGCAGACGAGGUUGCUGCUUUAAUACCUGGUGACUUCAAUAUGAGUCUAAAUACACGUGAUAUCAUUAUCCAGAGUAGAACAGGAAAGUUACAACGAAUUAGUGAAUUACAUCCUGCUUAUCUACCGCUGCAAUAUCCACUACUGUUUCCGUACGGAGAAGAUGGGUUUAGAUUAGGUAUUGAUAUUGGUUUCGUUGACACUACCGGUAGAAAAAGGAAGAAAGUGACAAUGCGUGAAUUUUUCGCUUUUCGGAUACAACAUAGAGUUGGUGAAUCUCCUACACUUGUGAUGUCCGGUAGACUAUUUCAACAGUUUUUGGUUGAUGCCUAUACAAUGAUUGAGAGCAAUAGGUUACGCUAUAUUUGGUUAAACCAAAAAAAUCUUCGGUCUGAGCAUUAUGAAAAAAUAGUUCAAUCAGCUGAGAAAGGAGAUUGCAAUCUCUCCACCCAAGGAAAACGUAUUUUUAUACCUUCCUCUUUCACCGGAGGAUCAAGAUAUAUGAUGCAGCAUUACCUCGAUGCGAUGGCAACGUGCAAGUACUACGGUUUUCCUGAUCUUUUUAUCACUAUUACUUGCAAUCCUAAGUGGCCUGAGAUUACAAGAUAUCUGGAGAAACAUAAUUUAAAAUCUGAAGACCGUCCAGAUAUUUGUUGCCGAGUUUUUAAGAUGAAAUUGGAUAGUCUCAUGGACGAUCUGACCAAAAAACAUCUUCUAGGAAAGAUUUCUUCAGGUAAAAAAUUUAAACUUUAAAAUAUAUCAUGUCAUAUUAUUCUAAUUUAAAUAAAAAAGUCAAACUACAUAUCUUAUUUAACAUUUUUUUUUUAAAAUAUUGUAGCUAUGUACACUAUUGAGUUCCAAAAAAGAGGUCUUCCACAUGCACAUAUGGUUCUUUUUCUUCAUCCAGAUUCCAAAUUACCGACUGGUGAUGACAUUGAUAAGAUCAUUAGUGCUGAAAUCCCUGAUAAGUACUUAGAACCACACUUAUACGAGAUUAUUGGGGAUUUGAUGAUACAUGGACCAUGUGGAGUAGCUAAUAAAACAAAUGUAUGUAUGAAAGAUGGCAAGUGUACUAAAUUCUUUCCAAAACCUUAUAGCGAGAAGACUACCGUUGAUGAACAUGGGUACCCUCUUUAUAAACGAAGAAGAGAUGGAAGGUUUGUUCCCAAGAAGAAUCUCAAUUGUGAUAACCGCUACGUUGUUCCGUAUAACAAACAGCUAUCUCUUAGUUAUCGUGCCCACAUAAAUGUUGAGUGGUGUAACCAAUCACGCUCAAUCAAGUAUCUCUUCAAGUAUAUAAAUAAAGGUCCAGAUUAUAUUAGAGCAUCAGUUAGGAGAGAAGAUGAUAACGACGAACCUAUUGACGAAAUAAAGCUAUAUUAUAGUUGCAGGUAUAUCCACAUCAUAAUUUAUAACUUAUUUAAUGCUUCUGGUUUCCUUGAAAAAUAAAUACGUAUGGGAGAAUAAUGAUGUUGUGUUAAUGAAUAAAAAAUUCUAGGUACAUAUCAGCCAUGGAGGCAACGUGGAAAAUUCUGGCUUUUCCAACUCACCAUCGCACAACAGCAGUAGAAAAGCUGCCAUUCCAUCUCCCAGACCAACAGCUGGUUGUUUAUAAUGAAGAUGACCCAGUAGAUGAUGUUUUAACCCGUUUAUCUAUCGGUAUUAAUAAGUUCCUCGGCUGGAUGGAGUGCAACAAAAUAUAUCCUGAAGCAAGAGAAUUAACAUAUUCAGACUUUCCAUCAAAAUUUGUGUGGCAUCAAAAAGAACGACAGUGGAAACCAAGGAAAAAAGGUUUUGCUAUUGGGAGAAUUACAUAUGUGCCACGAUCUUUAGGUGAAGUUUAUUAUUUGAGGGUUUUGCUUAACAAAGUCAAGGGUGCAAGAAGUUUUGAAGAAAUAAGAACUGUGAACGGUAUUCUUUAUCCCAAAUUCAAAGAUGCAUGUUAUGCAUUAGGUUUACUAGAUGACGAUAAAGAAUAUAUAGAAGCCAUUAAAGAAUCAAGUUUAUGGGCUACAGGUGCUUCUAUAAGAAAACUUUUUGUUAUAAUGUUGCUAUCAAGUAGCGUUGCCACACCUCGGACAGUUUGGGAUGCCACAUGGGAGUAUCUAUCUGAGGACGUGUUAUUCAAACAAAGACGGCUGAGAAAAAAUCCAAGUAAGUUAUAUAUACUUUUUAUUUAAAUAAAAUAUCACAUAUUUUAAUAUAGCAUUAUUAUUAACAACAAUCAUUUCGGUAUACAGAUCUUACUUUAUCUGAGAAUCAGAUAAAAAACUAUGCUUUGCUCGAGAUAGAAAAAUUAUUGCGAUUAAACGGAGUUUCACUUUCAAAAUUCGAAGGAAUGCCACGUCCAGUAGACACCGCAACAGAUACGCGCACCAACAUUUUGCUUAUGGAUGAACAAAGCUAUAACCAUGACGAACAGAGAAAAAUUCAUCAAGAGUUAUUACCUAAGCUAACAGAUGAGCAAGCAAGCGUCUAUCAAGAAAUAUUAGAUGCAGUGAUCCAUGAAAAAGGUGGUGUGUUUUUCGUUUAUGGUUUUGGUGGAACAGGAAAAACAUACCUAUGGAACAUACUAUCUGCUGCUGUUCGAUCAAAAGGCCUCAUUGUACUGAACGCAGCAUCAAGUGGCAUUGCUUCUUUGUUGUUACCAGGUGGUAGGACAGCUCACUCUCGAUUUGGUAUACCCAUUAAUCCAAACGAUUUUACUACAUGCUCUAUGGAAACAGGAUCAGAUCUAGCAGAAGUGAUAAGACAAGCUAAGCUAAUAAUAUGGGACGAGGCUCCAAUGAUGAGCAAACAUUGUUUUGAAACUUUGGACCGAAGCAUGCGUGAUGUUAUUAGAUGUAACGACGAUAGGCCUUUUGGAGGUAAAGUCGUGGUUUUUGGAGGAGAUUUCAGACAAAUCUUACCGGUAAUUAAUGGAGGUGGUAGAUCAGAAAUAGUAUUGUCUGCUCUAAAUUCAUCAUAUCUGUGGAACAGCUGCAAAGUUCUAAGACUUACGAAGAACAUGAGGUUACUCAUGGGUAUUGGUAAUCAUGAUAAAAAAGAGCUUGAAAUUUUCUCUAAAUGGAUUCUUGAUAUUGGUGAUGGAAAAGUCAAUGAACCCAAUGACGGAGAAACUGAAAUAGAAAUACCUGAAGAUUUGCUAAUCACAGAGUGUGAAGAUCCCGUAGAAGCAAUAGUAAGAGAGGUUUAUGGGAAAUCAUUUGCCAAUAAUUCCAAUCCAAAAUUCUUUCAGGAACGAGCAAUUUUGUCCCCUACAAAUCUGGACGUUGAUAUGAUCAACAACUAUAUGUUAUCUCAUAUGGCAGGUAAUGUCUUUAACUUAUACUUGCUAUAUAGAUGUAUGACCCAAUGAAUAAUUUCCUAUGAUUUAUGUACUUUUGUGUAAUGAAAAUUAACAGGUCAAGAAAGAUCCUAUCUAAGUUCGGACAGUAUUGAGACAUCAGAUUCAAGCACAAGAGAUAGCAUGAUUUAUUCCCAGGAGUUUCUUAACAGCAUAAAACUCUCUGGACUUCCAAACCACAAUUUGACACUAAAAGUUGGUGCCCCUGUGAUGUUACUUAGGAAUAUUGAUCCUAAAGGUGGACUGUGUAAUGGAACAAGACUUCAAAUAACUCAAUUGGCUGCACAUGUUAUCGAGGCUACAGUUAUAACAGGUAAUAUGGUUGGUCAAAAGGUAUUAAUACCUAGAAUGUUUGUUACUCCACCAGAAACAAGAUUUCCAUUUAGAAUGCGGCGUAGACAAUUUCCACUUGCUGUUGCUUUUGCUAUGACCAUAAACAAAAGCCAAGGUCAAUCAUUGGAGAAAGUUGGUUUGUUUCUACCAAGACCUGUUUUUUCUCACGGACAACUUUACGUAGCAAUUUCCAGAGUGAAAUCAAGGAGUGGUCUGAAAAUUCUUAUUACCAACGAAGAAGGCAAGCCGCAAAGGACAACCAAAAAUGUUGUUUUUAAAGAAGUUUUUCAGAACAUUAAGUAAUUUAAUUUUUUGUUUUUGUUUUAGUUUUUGUUUCUAGCUAUAGAAACAUUUGGGUGUUUAGACUAAUAACUAUGAUUAAGAUACUAUUUUCACUUUUACCCGAAACCUAAACAAAGAAAAAGAAAUUGAAAGAAUUUUGGAUUUCAACUUUAUUAUACUCUAUUCUAUUACGUAGAGAUGGGAGUCAUACUUCUAAUAAAAAUCACAAUGAAGCCUCGAAAUUCAUCAAUAAAAAAUCAUCAGUAAAAGCUUGCUUUACAGCAAUCUGCCAGGAGGAGAAGCAGUAGUACCUUGGCCAAAAAUUGUUUGGAGUACGACAGAUCGUCUGCUAAAUCGGGAGAGCACAUCUUCUAUAACUGUGACUUCACUUGGUCGGUAUUGAGAGAGGUUGCAAGACGCUUCAAUCAUACUCCUGUCAGGAACUGGGGACCAAGCGCUUCUCAAUAUGUAAGGACUUGCGGGAACAAAAAAUCAAGAUGAUUACCUUAUUCUCCUGGAAAUCAGCUAGCUACUGAAUUUUGCAGGAACAAAACAGGCGUUUACAUAACUCGGUCUUCAGAAAUGAUGAAAUUCUAAUUUCUUGAUUGAUCCGCAGAUUAGAGAUCGCAAUCUGAGUUUCAGACAAACUUAUGCAGCUUUAGCUCAGAAGAUCUUCUACCCCUCCACUCAGCCAUGACUUGAGAUUCUCCGACUAUCACCAUUCCUUCCUCCUCUUCGUUAUCAGUACAACUUCCCAACUCAACUUUGGGCUUCUCUCAAUUUGAAAGUGGGCUCUCUUCUGAUUUUAAUGGGUUUUAAAAUUGGGUUUAAAAUUUUGGUUUGCAACCGGCACUUGACUUUAAAUUAUAGCCAAUGGGCUUGUAACUUCUUUUUUUCUCGGGCAUUAUAUUACAUGAAAACUUUUAGUCAAAAAAACAUUUACAAAAAUGGACCAAAACGUGGAAAACAAUUCCUGAGUUAUUGGAUUACGUUACUUUACAAAUGAUUAGUAGGUUUAAAUAAAACUGUAUAAAACGAAAUAAUUAAAAAAAAAGAGCCAAGAUAUGAUAUUACAAAAAUAAUUAACAACAAAAAGUAAAAUUAAUUAACUAUACAAAAUUUAAACAUCUGUAAAAUAAUAAAAGUAAAUAUCAUGGCAAAACUGAAUAUUUUGUAAAAAAAAUCAAAAUAACUAAACAACUCAUAAAUAAAAAUGUAGUUAUGAUAACAUAAAAAUACAUAAACUUUUUUUAAAAAAUAUUCAUGCCCGCGCAAGAGCGCGGGUAAAUCACCUAGUAUGCGAUAAGUAACCUGUCACGCCAAGGGAACCAUUAGGCGAAGAAGAGUAUAGAAAUAAUAAACAUAUAUAAUGCUGAGCAUCUAAGCCAUACCAAACUAUAUAAGAAAAAAUCUACAUGAAACGUCUUCACAAAAUCACACUAUGUUUGCCAACAAGAAUCUGUCUGAUACUAGUCAAACAAAAACUGAUAACAAUUGAUACCUACUUGUAUCUAUGCAGCUAGAUUUUUUUUUGUCGAAUCAUAAAACCAGUUUCUACGCGAGGAUAUGCACUGAGUAGCAAUGUACCUCUCGAAGAGCCGUGCAACCUCCUCACAUUCACUUUGAUUAUAGAACCAAAUGCCAUUAACUUCUUGAGCUGCAUUACGGUAAAGCAAAUAUGGACCUUGCACUUCAUACUCAAACUCUCCAAGUAGAUCUUCCACCAGGUUAUCUAUCCAAAAACAAAUUCAACAAUACUCCUUAAUCAAGAAACCAAUUCUACUAAGGAUCUAAACCUUCCUAUGUACUAAACUACUUAUCUAACUCAAAUUACUUAUAUAAUUCAAAUUGCAGAUAAAACUAUGUACUAAACUACUUAUAUAACUCAAAUUACUUAUAUAAUUCAAAUUACAGAUAAAACUAUGUACUAAACUACUUAUAUAAAUCAAAAUUCAAACGCUAAGAAGAGAAUCCUAACCUGUAUUACGUCGAUUCAUCACAAUAAACUGAAACCGAGGCUGCUGUCUAUUUCUGAAAUAACACGAAAUUGAAUAAUCACAUUGUAAACGAUUCAAGAAAGCAAUCACAAUAUAAGUUAAAAACUUACCUCUUGACGACGAACAAAGAUCCUUCAACGUCCUUACGACUCUGAAUGAAACAAGAAAAAGAAAGAUCAGAAGCAAACAUCAUCAGCAUCAUACGAUAAUGAGUGAUGAUUACAACUCACCCAUUCACUUUUCUGAACGUUGAAUUCGCCCUAUAGUGAGUCGUAUUACAAUUCACUGGCCGUCGUUUUACAACGUCGUGACUGGGAAAACCCUGGCGUUACCCAACUUAAUCGCCUUGCAGCACAUCCCCCUUUCGCCAGCUGGCGUAAUAGCGAAGAGGCCCGCACCGAUCGCCCUUCCCAACAGUUGCGCAGCCUGAAUGGCGAAUGGCGCCUGAUGCGGUAUUUUCUCCUUACGCAUCUGUGUGGUAUUUCACACCGCAUAUGGUGCACUCUCAGUACAAUCUGCUCUGAUGCCGCAUAGUUAAGCCAGCCCCGACACCCGCCAACACCCGCUGACGCGCCCUGACGGGCUUGUCUGCUCCCGGCAUCCGCUUACAGACAAGCUGUGACCGUCUCCGGGAGCUGCAUGUGUCAGAGGUUUUCACCGUCAUCACCGAAACGCGCGAGACGAAAGGGCCUCGUGAUACGCCUAUUUUUAUAGGUUAAUGUCAUGAUAAUAAUGGUUUCUUAGACGUCAGGUGGCACUUUUCGGGGAAAUGUGCGCGGAACCCCUAUUUGUUUAUUUUUCUAAAUACAUUCAAAUAUGUAUCCGCUCAUGAGACAAUAACCCUGAUAAAUGCUUCAAUAAUAUUGAAAAAGGAAGAGUAUGAGUAUUCAACAUUUCCGUGUCGCCCUUAUUCCCUUUUUUGCGGCAUUUUGCCUUCCUGUUUUUGCUCACCCAGAAACGCUGGUGAAAGUAAAAGAUGCUGAAGAUCAGUUGGGUGCACGAGUGGGUUACAUCGAACUGGAUCUCAACAGCGGUAAGAUCCUUGAGAGUUUUCGCCCCGAAGAACGUUUUCCAAUGAUGAGCACUUUUAAAGUUCUGCUAUGUGGCGCGGUAUUAUCCCGUAUUGACGCCGGGCAAGAGCAACUCGGUCGCCGCAUACACUAUUCUCAGAAUGACUUGGUUGAGUACUCACCAGUCACAGAAAAGCAUCUUACGGAUGGCAUGACAGUAAGAGAAUUAUGCAGUGCUGCCAUAACCAUGAGUGAUAACACUGCGGCCAACUUACUUCUGACAACGAUCGGAGGACCGAAGGAGCUAACCGCUUUUUUGCACAACAUGGGGGAUCAUGUAACUCGCCUUGAUCGUUGGGAACCGGAGCUGAAUGAAGCCAUACCAAACGACGAGCGUGACACCACGAUGCCUGUAGCAAUGGCAACAACGUUGCGCAAACUAUUAACUGGCGAACUACUUACUCUAGCUUCCCGGCAACAAUUAAUAGACUGGAUGGAGGCGGAUAAAGUUGCAGGACCACUUCUGCGCUCGGCCCUUCCGGCUGGCUGGUUUAUUGCUGAUAAAUCUGGAGCCGGUGAGCGUGGGUCUCGCGGUAUCAUUGCAGCACUGGGGCCAGAUGGUAAGCCCUCCCGUAUCGUAGUUAUCUACAACAGAUGGUAAGUCCUCCCGUAUCGUAGUUAUCUACCCGACGGGGAGUCAGGCAACUAUGGAUGAACGAAAUAGACAGAUCGCUGAGAUAGGUGCCUCACUGAUUAAGCAUUGGUAACUGUCAGACCAAGUUUACUCAUAUAUACUUUAGAUUGAUUUAAAACUUCAUUUUUAAUUUAAAAGGAUCUAGGUGAAGAUCCUUUUUGAUAAUCUCAUGACCAAAAUCCCUUAACGUGAGUUUUCGUUCCACUGAGCGUCAGACCCCGUAGAAAAGAUCAAAGGAUCUUCUUGAGAUCCUUUUUUUCUGCGCGUAAUCUGCUGCUUGCAAACAAAAAAACCACCGCUACCAGCGGUGGUUUGUUUGCCGGAUCAAGAGCUACCAACUCUUUUUCCGAAGGUAACUGGCUUCAGCAGAGCGCAGAUACCAAAUACUGUUCUUCUAGUGUAGCCGUAGUUAGGCCACCACUUCAAGAACUCUGUAGCACCGCCUACAUACCUCGCUCUGCUAAUCCUGUUACCAGUGGCUGCUGCCAGUGGCGAUAAGUCGUGUCUUACCGGGUUGGACUCAAGACGAUAGUUACCGGAUAAGGCGCAGCGGUCGGGCUGAACGGGGGGUUCGUGCACACAGCCCAGCUUGGAGCGAACGACCUACACCGAACUGAGAUACCUACAGCGUGAGCUAUGAGAAAGCGCCACGCUUCCCGAAGGGAGAAAGGCGGACAGGUAUCCGGUAAGCGGCAGGGUCGGAACAGGAGAGCGCACGAGGGAGCUUCCAGGGGGAAACGCCUGGUAUCUUUAUAGUCCUGUCGGGUUUCGCCACCUCUGACUUGAGCGUCGAUUUUUGUGAUGCUCGUCAGGGGGGCGGAGCCUAUGGAAAAACGCCAGCAACGCGGCCUUUUUACGGUUCCUGGCCUUUUGCUGGCCUUUUGCUCACAUGUUCUUUCCUGCGUUAUCCCCUGAUUCUGUGGAUAACCGUAUUACCGCCUUUGAGUGAGCUGAUACCGCUCGCCGCAGCCGAACGACCGAGCGCAGCGAGUCAGUGAGCGAGGAAGCGGUAUUGGUGCCCUUAAACGCCUGGUUGCUACGCCUGAAUAAGUGAUAAUAAGCGGAUGAAUGGCAGAAAUUCGAUGAUAAGCUGUCAAACAUGAGAAUUGGUCGACGGCCCGGGCGGCCGCAAGGGGUUCGCGUUGGCCGAUUCAUUAAUGCAGCUGGCACGACAGGUUUCCCGACUGGAAAGCGGGCAGUGAGCGCAACGCAAUUAAUGUGAGUUAGCUCACUCAUUAGGCACCCCAGGCUUUACACUUUAUGCUUCCGGCUCGUAUGUUGUGUGGAAUUGUGAGCGGAUAACAAUUUCACACAGGAAACAGCUAUGACCAUGAUUACGCCAAGCUAUUUAGGUGAGACUAUAGAAUACUCAAGCUUGCAUGCCUGCAGGUCGACUCUAGAGGAUCCCCGGGUACCGAGCUCGAAUUCAUAUUAUUGUAAAUGUACAUAAGAGUUUGUGAUUAUAUACUUAGUGGUUCUUGUAUAUGUGUCCAAGAAAGUUUCAAUGGCUUAGUGGUAACUGUCCUAUAUAUAUAUCAUAUUAACCCGGGUUCGAUUCUCACCUUCGCAUUGUUUUUUUAUUUUUUACGAAAAAAAAUGAGAUGACAUGGCAAUUUCGGGUUCUCUGAUUGGUUGAUUUUUCUAUCCUAUGUGGACACCCUCUCCAUGGCUUAUAUCCCCCUUUUAGUAUAGUAUAGAUUAUUAGACUGUAUAGCGUCGAGUGUUAGUUGACACAAAUGGACAUAUGGUAUGAUCUAUGAUGAUUUGGCUCUGUUUCUCUGCUCGUUUACUUUCUAUUUUAAAGAUAAAAAUAAUAACGAUAAAUGAUAGUUGUAAGCAUCCGACAUGAAAAGUAUGUUACCAAGAAAAAUAACGUAAAUGGUAAUUUUAAUUUCUUUUGAGAAAAAUGGGUAAUAUUAUUGGUCGAACAUAAGGGGCAACGGAUGGUGCGUGAUACAUGUACAACAAAAGACAUCGAUCCAGAGAGGCAAGGAAAAUGUAACUUUAUAAAAUCAUUAAUUUGUAUAUGAAAAGUUGUGUGAUUAUGGUUUUCUAUUUUUGUUCCAAGUUACACUAAAUUCUGCAUUUAGUUUUUCUAAACUUGAGUCUUGAGGAUGUCCCAGUUGCAGUGAAUGAUUCCCUUUAAUCAUGGAGAAAAUCAAUGUAAAAUUUUCUGUUUUCAUGUCACACUUUAUGUUUACCACCCAUUACAACUACUUUCACCAAAAUGUCAUAUAGCUUGCAAGUCUUGGUUAAUACAUGCACGAAUCCUCCAUCAAGUCCGCAAUGUUCAUAAGUAAAAUUACGAACUAAAGUUCCAUAUCAAGCUAUUUAUUUUCACCGAUACACUAUGUAGAAUAUAUAUGUUCUAUAGUUCCUUUUAUGGCAAUACUCGAUGAUAAAAAAACUUGGUGGAUCGUUUACUAAAAAAUUCAGUAACGUUUUAUUAGAGAAGAUAAACAUUUUUUAUGGAGAUCAAACUAUCUUUGUUAAUUUGACUACGCAAAAUAGUUAAUGGAAAAGGAAGACUGACUCGUGAGCUUGGUAGAUACAAAAGAGGUUGUCAAGAAAAGCAGGUCUAAAAGUUCUUCCCUCUUCUUUAAGUCACCCAAUUAAUUUCACAUAUAUACAUACACAUAUUGCAUUAAAUUCAUUUAUGUAUAAUAUACAUAUUCAUACAUCUAUAAAGAUCAGCAUUAUUACACUCUAGAGAUCUAGAGAGAGAGAGAAAGAUGGGGAGGCCUCCAUGCUGUGACAAGAUAGGGAUCAAGAAAGGACCAUGGACUCCUGAAGAAGACAUCAUUCUUGUUUCUUACAUCCAAGAACAUGGUCCUGGAAACUGGAGAUCUGUUCCCACCAACACUGGUCAUUACUUUAACAUAUUUUCUUCUAGUUUUAUAUUUUAUUUUAUUUCAGUUGUUGUUUGCAUAUGUGUCCUGAUGAUUGUAUAUUUGGCAUCUGAAAGGGUUAUUGAGAUGCAGCAAGAGCUGUAGACUGAGAUGGACAAACUAUCUGAGACCUGGAAUCAAACGUGGAAACUUCACUCCUCAUGAGGAGGGAAUGAUCAUUCACUUACAAGCCCUAUUGGGUAACAAGUAAUCUCAUUACUCAACAUCUCUUUUCUUAUUUUAAAUUUUCUUUUUGUUAUAAUCUUUGAUGAUAUGAACCCUAACUUGGCUUAUUGUCUACAUAUGGUUGAAUUUAAGAUGGGCGUCCAUAGCUUCAUAUCUACCACAAAGAACUGAUAAUGAUAUCAAGAACUAUUGGAACACCCAUUUGAAGAAGAAGCUCAACAAGUCUGAGAGUGAAGAGAGAAGCAUUUCAGAGAACAUCCCGUUGCAAACUUCAGCCGCAAGAAACACUAUUAAUCAUAGAUCUACCUAUGCUUCAAGCACUGAAAACAUUUCUCGCCUUCUAGAAGGUUGGAUGAGAGCAUCCCCAAAGAGUAGCACGGCUAACUUCUUGGAACAAAAAUCGCAAAACCGGACUAACGAUCUCAUGGAUCAUCACAAUGAUCAGUCUCCAUAUGAACAAGGUUCUUGGGAUCAGGGAUUCCAUGUUCAUCCAAAGAACUCAGAGGAAAACGUUAAAUGCGAUCAUGAUGUUCAAGAAGAUGGUGAUGGUGAUGGUGAUGCUACUCCACCAUUGACAUUUAUUGAGAAAUGGCUUUUGGAGGAAACAAAUACUGGUGGUCAAAUGGAGGUGAUGAGUCCAUUGAUGGAGCUCUCUAAUAUGCUUUAAUUUAGGAGAUGUCCCCCUCUCUCUUUUUCUUUCUCCCUGUGAAUCUUAUUAAUGUGACUACUAAUUUUAUAGACAAAAAUAAAGAAACCAAAAUACAUAAUAUCAUAUGUUUUUUUGGUUUCUCUAAUAUAUAUUUAGUUAAUGAUCACUGCAUAAGUUGUAACUGAUCUGAAUUUGUCUACUCAUUUAUCAAUUUGUAAUAUUAUAUGUAGAGGUUAAAUAUUAUGUAAUAUCAAGAGAACUUUUGGUCACAAAUAACAUCAGUUUAUAAGAGGUUGAUCAACGUUAAUGGAAUGUGGAAAAUAUAUUUGGAACUCUUGUUAAUUGUUACCUUUUAGUCCAUAACAAAAAGAUGAAUGAGAGAUGUAAGUUAAGGCUUUAUAUCAUACACGAAAACGUGUGAUCUUUAUAUUUGAAGAAAUUAGAAAUAAUAAUGAAUGUAGGCCAUCCAUACUAAAGAUGGUUAAACGUAUAUGAAAAAGAGAAACCCCAUACGUAAUGAUCGCUGAGCAUCCUCCAAUAAUGGCGCUAUAUGUAAUAUGGUAGUCACUUUCUUCUCUUAAACUUAUAAUUUUAAGCAUUAAAUUUCGAAAAUAAUUUAGCAUUUUUAUAAAAUACGUAUACUCUAUUUUUUUCUUCUGACGUUUAUCAUUUCAUCAUGCAAGAGGAAAACAUAUCACAUCUUGUUCAUCCAUUACGGGUCGGUGAUAAGGUCUGAAAUGGGCCUAUAGCCGACACUGACCACAAGUUGGUCAAGCUUGGGUUUGGGCCAAGCUUACUUUCGGCAGCCAUUAGUAGCUGACUUCACCGUCCACCUUCUUCACUUUCAAUCUUUGCCUACCAUAUAAAAAGGAUUAUUCGUUUUAAAGACUACCAAAAGCAUUUUAUAUCUCUUAAUAAAAAGGUAUAAUUAUUAGAAUUAGCACCAAUACUGCCAAUUGUCAAAGCAUUUUCUAAUCUGUUUCCACCAUGUUUAUCUUUUGUUUUCCCUUUGGUGUUUGGUUUGGUCAAUCAAAUAGAUCCCAUUCAAUGUUUCAAAAUGAAUUAAGUUUUUUUUUAGUUAAUUUAAUAAUUCGAGGUUUAUUGUUGACUACGUCAGUCCUAGCUGGGUCUAUGUAUGGGUUCUCCUUUUCUGAGUAUUCUUUUGUUAUAAAAUAAUAUAAAUUUGGAAUCAAACAAAACAGAGCAAGUAGCUUUUGUAAUUAUUGUACUUUCAACUCUGUGAUCAAACAUUCGAUCCAAAAGAAAUAUACUUCCCACUGACUCUGGUGAUCAUCCUUCCUACCUCAUGAUCAAAAGGUUAGUUUCCUUUACAUAUAAGAUAAGAGAACCAAGCUUAUGUGUUUUGUUCUUGAUUCAUAUAAACUUGUGUGCCCCUUGAUGCUACUAUUCAUCUUCUUUUAGUAUAUCUUUCUUAAGCUAGCUUGGUGUGAUCGUUCUAUUCUAAUUUUGAUUUCUUCUUUUUUUUCCCCAAAAAAAUUGUAAGUUGAGCUGUCUAUUUCUCUUUUAGAUCUCUUUAUUGUAGGAACCACUUGAUCUAGAGUAGUCCAAUUAUUAAAAAAAAAAAAAACUUAUGUUUGGAAAAGUUGUUAUUUACUGUGGAAAAUAGACCAAGACAAGGAUCAUAAGCUUAACUUCUAUGUACGCUUGUUUUAGUUUUAGUCAACGUUCUCUCUUCUUGUCUCUGUUUAUUGUCUUAACUAAUUAUUUGAUUUGCAUCUCGUUAAUGCAGAUUUGAAACCUGCUAUUAUUGAUUCUUGAUCUUAUAUGUUAUACCAACAAGAUGGAUACUACACAGAUAUCUCCAGCAAAAUCUCAAACCGGUUCACGGAGUUUCACAAAAGCUUUGGCACUAGCCUUCAACGAGUGGCUGCUGAUGGUCAUGCUCUUUGCUAACUCCAUAUUCACCUACGUGAUCACGAAGUUUGCAGAUUACUCCCAGCUCCAAUCUCCAUGUCUUAUAUGCUCAAGGCUUGAUCAUAUCCUUGGGAACACAAAAGAUUUGAAGACAUCUCACUGGGACAUGUUUUGCUCCAAACACAAAUCAGAAAUCUCGUCGUUGGUUUACUGUCACGCUCAUGGCAAGCUGGUUGAUGUCCGAGGAAUGUGUGAAGCUUGCCUUGUUUCUUUUGAUACAACCAAUAAGUCCAAUGCUGAAAGUUACAAGUUAUUGGUUGGGAAGUUGGAUGACCAACCAAGCACAAGUCCAAGACACUGCACAUGUUGUAAUCAGCUGUGGAUACCACAAAUUGAUUCUACUGGUGAGGUGUUGGCUAAACCGGAAACACUAGCCAAGAUUGGUUUGGUUAGUGAUGAGAGAACCGGGAAAGAAACUUGUACACCAAAGAAAAGUGUCAGGUUCAAUGAUUUGCCUCAUGUUGGGUACACUGAGCUCAAGGUUCACUCAGAUACAGAACAAGAAGAUGUAUUUUCAGAAGAUGAAGGUGUUGCGGUUAAAGAAAAGGAUCAUAGGAUUCAAAAUGUGGACCUGGAGACAUCUGAGAAGGUGUUGAAGGAGGAAGAAAUCAUUUCAUUAGAUGAUAGUUUUGUAACAUCAAGAGCCAUGGAACAUUCUGAAGCUGCUUUGGAGGAGAAAGAAGAUUUGAUUCAGGUCCAAGAUACUUCUAUAAUAUCAGAUUCUAAGGAAAGUCCUGCAGAUGCCUUGUUGGAGGUGAGUGAGCUUAUUACAGUCAAUGUUGUGCCUGAAAUAUCAGAGGAGGUGUUAAAGGAAGAAGAGAUCACAUCAUUAGAUCAUCUUCUCUUAGCAUCACGUGGCAUGGAAGAUUUGAUUCAACUCCGAGAUAUAUCUUUAACAUCAGAUUUUAAGGAACUUCCUAAAAAUAUCUUAAUAGAGGAGUCAGAGCUUACAGGUACUUCAACAUCAGUUGCAGCUGAAACUCAUGAAGAUCUCUUAGUAGAGGAUACUGUUUUAGAGGAGAAAGAAGAGCUGGUUCACCUACAAGAUACUUCUGUAACACCAGAUUGUGAGGAAAGUUCUGCAGGUGCCUUGAUGGGGGAGACAAAGCUUCUUUGCAUCAAUGAUGUUACUACUUCAACAUCAGUUGCGGCUGAAACUUCUGAAGAUGUCUUCAUGGGAGAGACUGUUUCAAAGGAGAAAGGAGAGAUGCUUCACCUCCAAGAUACUUCUUUAACACCAGAUUUUAAGCAAAGUCCUGCACAUGCUUCAUGGGAGGAGGCUGAGCUUGUUUGCCUCAGUGAUGCUACUUCAACACCAGUUUCAGCUGAUCCUCGAGAUAUCUUAAUGGGAGAAGCUAUUUUAAAGGAGGAGGAGGAGCUGCUUCACCUCCAAGAUACUUCUUUAACACCAGAUUCGAAGGAAAGUCCUGCAGAUGCCUUGAUGGAGAAGGCUGAGCUCGUGUGCCUCAAUGAUGUCACUACUUCAACAUCAUCAGAUUCUGAUACAAAUCCUGAACAUGUCUU
Molecule: long non-coding RNA, 157573 nt
Filed under: Brassica napus (rape)
Lineage: Eukaryota; Viridiplantae; Streptophyta; Magnoliopsida; Brassicales; Brassicaceae
Description: long non-coding RNA (BNAP_LNC007220)
Source: RNAcentral